UUGUUUUGCUCUCCGGCAGAGGCACAUCUUCCUUCAUCACCAGCCAAACAACUACUUCCCCUGCGGGGCCUCCAUCACCUACCAGAUCUUUGUAGGCCUUGUUGGCCCACCUAACUCUGUUUAAACCGUCUGAUAUAAACCCUGGACAGGUGUCCUGCCCGAGAUUUACAAAUUUCUCCUCAUCUGUACGUCCUAACCCAUAUACUUCCACCCACGCGUCGGUUACGCUUUCCACUUUUACCCAUGACCCCACUACCCGUACUGGCUGAGGAAACAUCACUCUAGAACGAUCCAUACCAACUCCUCCUCCGUACCCCUGCAGCAACUGCAACUGACCAUUAAUAUCAUUAUUGUUGUUAUUAUUACUGACACGCCCUUGAUUACCACCAAAACUCAACCAGAUCGGAGCAUUCUUUUCGUUUUUCUUCACCAAAUGAUCCGUCGGAGAGUCCUCCUUCCUUUCCGGACUCUCCGACAAUAACGGCAGCGUCACUACGGUUUCACCACCAGACACCGUUUUACCACUAGAUUCAUUUUCUUCAGGUGAAGCCGCUUUCCUUUUCCUACCGGUACUAGUUCCGCUAUUGGAUUUCUUGUUAGAACUACUACUAUUACCAUUUUUAUUGUGAUCUUUAACGUACCUUCUCUUCCACCGUCCAGUACUUGGAGUAACCUCAGUCUUCUGCGGCGGAGUAGUAGCUCCGGAAACAGAACCACCGGCUGCCGGUUUCGGCGCAAUAGGUCUAUACCGCAGCAUUAUCCGGUCCACCUUUGACAUAUCGUACGCUCCCCCACCCCCCGCCGCGUACCUAGCUAUACAACACCCUCCUCUCCCAUCCAUUUCCUCUUAUUCUUAAGAGGAGAAGAAGAAUCUUUCGUAUUUUUGAUUGAUUUUAGGGAUUUUAAUUGUGAGGUUGAAUGAAAGCAAAGAGAAGUGAAGGUAUAGGAGGUGAAUUUAUAAGUGGGAAGAGAGAAGAAGGGACGCGUGUGAGGGUGGUGAAUAACACGUGGGAGAAGAGAGGUGAAACAGCGCAGAGAGGUGAUUGGUUAAAGAGUAUAACGUGGCGUUAUGUUAAGGUGAGCCCCACGUGAUUGAACCUAUAGGAUUGAGGUUUUGGGGUGGGGUCCACGUUGUAGCCAAUGAGAAUGAAGGGAGUGUUAUGGUGUGGUAUCAGUAGAGGGACACGUAGGUGUAGUAGGGUGUGUUGUGGGGUCGUGUGUGGUACAGGGUCUUCCAGAAGAAGAACACGUGGUCCAAUGGAUGGAGAAUCAAGUUGGACUCUGUAUAACGAUAGCACCACGUGGAUGGUUGAUUCUACUUGCAAAAUUUGUGGGUUCAAAGUUCUGAUACUUUGACGAGACCAUGGGACCAUUGUUUUUUCUUUUUAUAAUAUAUAUUACUCCAUCGCUUAUUAUUUAACCCAUUUUAAUUUGAACAGAGUUAACAAGAAAGAAGAAAAUAUAAUUAAAUCUUACGUUCUUCAUUUUUUUAAAAAAUAAUCCUUUUUUAUAUUACCUUUAUCUCAUUUUAUGUGUCACAUUUAAUUGAACACAAAGUUAAAAAAAUAAAUAACGAUUUUGUAAAAUUUAAAAAAUUGUCCCUUCUAAAGUUAUUUUAAUAUUUACUUUUUAGUUAUUUUUUUUUGUUAAAUGAAACCAACUAAGGAUAAAAUGAUAAUAAUAUCAUUAAAUAGUUACCAAAUAAAGAAAUAUGACAUUUUUUGAAAACGAACUAAAAAAAAUCACGACACAUAAAAUGAAACGAAAAAAGUCUAUGUUUAAAAGAGGAUUUUUUUUUUUUUUAGAUGGCGUAGAGCCGAUAUUGAGAUGUCAAUGGGAGUUCUUGAGAAAUUAAAGAUCAAUCUAUCAUUCUUAGAGUAACUAGCAAUACAUAAUUUAAAUUUUUUUAUGUAACAUGUUUAGGAUCAAAAGUUUAAAGAAUACUUUUUGUACAUGUAAUUACAUAACUUUUAUUUAAGAACAUAAAAUUAAAUUUUUUUUCUUAAAUUUUGUAGCAAGUCAAAACAUGUUAAUCUUUUUAAAAAGAUUGAAGUAUAUUAGAUAAUAUGUCAAGUGUAUGAAAAUGUUUUUUAAUUAAUUCUCUCUCAUCUUAAAUCACUUGACAUAUUUGUUAUAAAAAAAAUUUAUCUCAAAAUAGUUGGCAUCAGGCCUAUUUGGCCAUGAAAAUCAUAAUUUUUUUGAGUUAAAGUUGAAGUUGAAGAUGAAGUUUGAGUUAGAGUUGUGUUUAGCCAUGAGUAUGAAUUAAAGUUGCUUUUGAAAUUUUGUGAGAGAAGAUGAGUAAAGAAAGUGAAAAUGUUAUAAAUGUAUUUACAUUAUAGUGAAUGUGUAUCAAGAUCUAUUAAGAUCUACUUUGAUCUCUAUUAAGAUUUAAAGCAUCUAUCUUUUACUCAAAUUAGGAGUAAAUUUUUCCUAUAAAUAGAGGGAUUUUGUUCAUUAUAUUUACAAUCUGAUAUCUCUCAUCCCUCAAAAAAAAAAUAACAAUUACUCUCUCUAUUCUUCUUCUUUAUUCUUUUUUUGCUUUAUUACAAAAAACAAGUAAAACUUGUUUUUACUUUUCAAAAUAAAAUUUGAAAUUUUCUUGACCAAACACAUCUUUUUUUUUUUUUUUUUUUUUUAUGAAAGUAAAAUAUUUUUUCGAAAAUAUGUGAAUAGUUUUCAUUGCCAAGCGGCUACUAAAAAUUCAAUAGAUAAAUAUUUUUUUUUUCACUAUAUCCAUGUUAAUCUAGAAAGAUUAAUCUACUCUCAAACUGGAGUAUUCAAGAUUAAAAAAAACAUGUUAGUCAAUUUGACGUUCUUAUUAAUUUCUCCUUUAGCAAUCAUUAAGGAUCGUUCAAUACGAGGUAUAAGAUAUAAUAGUUUCUAAAUAAAAUAUAAAAUUAUCCUUGUAUUUAUUUGAAGGUAUAAGCUAGUUUCAAUAUUAUUUAUUCGGUAGUUUGUUCUCAAUCAAAUUAUAUCUAAAAAUUAUGUAAAAAAUAAAUAUAUCAAGUAAUUUGAAAUAGAAAAAAUCACCCUAAAUAUAUAAUGUAUAAAAAUAAAAUUAAAUAAUUAUUAAAUUUUUUAUUUUUUUUUUAGUGAAUUGAGAAGAAAUUUAUGCUAAACAAUUUUAAAUGAAGAGAAUAUUAUUUUUUUAAUGGUGUCCAGUGUAUGUGUUGGGACUCUAAAAAAUCCAAAUCGAUGCAUUGCAGGUUCUAUUUUUAGACAGAAUGCUUUUAACAGAAUUUUUCAUUUCCAACUAAUCGAAUUAAAAAUGGAGUGAUUCUAAGUAUCUCACAAUAAUCGGUAUUUGUCAUCUACCGUUGUUAAGAAAAAAACCCUUACAUCAUUAAAGUGCGUACAUUAUUGGUGUAAAUAAUUAGGUGCAUUUUUGAAUAAUUAAACAAUAUUUCUCGAUAAAUGUCUUUAAUUUAAAUUUGUAAUUUAAAAACAAACUAAAUUAUCCGUUACAUCCAUCACAUACAAGUACUAUUAUUUGUACUUGGGGCCGGGUUGUUCGUUCGAGAACAAAGUUAUUUUAGUAGUAUUAUAACGACAAGAUUACAAGAUGAGGUUCGAUAGUGGAUAUUUUCAUUUAGUAAAUUUUUGAUUUGUUGAAUAAAAAAUGAAUAUGCAUGAUAUAAUAAAAAAUAUAUAUUUUGUUUAAAUUGAAUAAAUAUCGAUAAUCUUUUUCUCAUUCUAAUCAAGUUUUUCUUUUAUUUAUUUAUGUUUUGGGGAAAAAGCUUUGAAGAAGGAAAGGUUUGUUGUUUUGUAUUCGAAUGUUAAUAAUUUCAAGAUUGUUCUCUAGCAUAUAGUAUGGCUUCAAAUUCACAUAUGACAUGCAUGUAUUAGCAUUGGUGCAUAUAUUGGGCGUGAAUAAUUUUUUUAUCCUACAUUAUAUGAAAUUAUUAAUCUCUCAAUAAGAAUAAUAUCACAUUCUUACAAUAUAAACAACCUAGAGGUUCCAACUCUUAAAUAAGAAAUUAUAUUUUCUUAUUUCACUGACCAAACGUCCCACUAGGAAACUGUGAUUUGUACCCAACAAAAAAAAUAAAAUUAAUUAUUGUAUUUUUUAAACAAUUUUAGGAAUAGUAGUGAAAUUACAAUUCAGUUUCUAUGUUUGUUUCAAAUUUAAAACAAUGAACUGAUAAUAGCGGUGAUCAAUAUGGCUUGCUUCUACUGAAACACACUGAAUAUUUGAUUUUCUUUUGAGUAUUGAAUUGACAAGACAAGGGACAAACAGACAAUGUUAAAUCCUAGCGUAGAUCUUUGGCACAUUACUUAAAUAUAUAUAUGAUGUGACCUACCAUCAAACCAUAUUAUUCAUUUCUCCUCUUUACAAAAAGGUGAACAUAAAUUGAAGACAUUCACAAUACUAUUUUGAGCUUUUAACAUUUUUCUCAAUAAACUCAAAAUUCUUCAUGAUAUGUAUUAUUAUGAGGAGUUUUAUUUGAUAGGUUAGUUGAACUAAUGCGAAUGAAUUUAAGUUUUGUCAUUCAGAAACACAAGAUGUAGAGUUAUUGCACAUUCUGUUAAGUUUUUUUUUAAUCAUAAAAAGGAAGAAUUUUCGCUAUUGCUGCUAUAUAAUUGUAAUACUACUAGGAAUAAUUACCCCACUUUGUGGGAAUACACUGAUGUUGUUGUUGUACUACUAGAAAUAAUUAAUACCCAUCGUAGCGAUAUAUCGUUGCUUAACAGUACUUGUUCUCUUAAUUCAUUUUGUACGAAUAUUUUCUUAUUCUUAUUCUUUUAUUCUAUAUUAAAAAAAUUCCAACAUUUCUUGCUCGAUUAGCUUCAAUUUCUGUAUUUUCUCUCACUUUUUUUUUUUUUUUUACAGUAUAUUAAUGAGAACGGAAAAGGUAAAAGAUUACAUGUGUGAAAUUCUUAACAUCCUUCAUUUAAUUGAUUGUAGUGAAGAUAAUUUUUAUAUUUUUAGCUGUUGAUGUACUAAAGCUCCUCUGUUCUUUAUCUUAACUGAUGUAUUAGUAACGACGAAUUAAUUAAUAAUUAAGUCAUAAUACUACACAGAUAUUGUGGUUGGUAAUUUAGAUUUUAGCAUGUAUACCCAACAUCCCAGAUCAAUGGUUUUUUAUUACUAUACUUUAUAUUCAUAUAUAGAAAAAAGGAUCUAUGUACAAGUUGUGGACAAGGACAUUUACCAAAUCAUGUGAAUAAUAUCUGUUUUCCAGAAUUGUCAAAAAUAUUAUUACUACAUACAAAAUGAAUACGUGUUGGUUGGUAGGAAGAUACAGAUAUAAAACUUCGUCAUCAGUCAAAUGGCAUGAGGUGUUAGAUGUUCCCAUGACUAUAUGCAAUUGAUCUUCAUCAUCCAAAAUCUACAAUCAUUCACAUAUAUUUAUCUUAUUAUUUUUGUGUAUCUAUGUCAUAAAAAAAUAUUUUAGAUAUAUUGGAUUAUAUUACUGUAUAAUUUUAAACUAAAAGUAUGAUUUUGCAAACAUUUUUUUAUAUAUUUUCGUUUCAUUUGAUGCGCCUUAUUGAGCGAUUUCAAAUUUAUGAAAGUGAGAUUUAUGAAUUUUUGAUCUUACAUUAAUAACUAGUAAGGUUGACGUUAUGUGACCAUGAUGUCACAGGCAGACAUCGUGGGCACAGCCUAGCGGAAAUGUAAUGUGGUACUGUGUACAAUACACUCUUGAGGUCCCCUUUAAUUUGCAUGCAAUAGACUCUUGAGGUCCUCAAACCCUACGUACAAUGUGAGCUUUAUUGCAUUGAAUAAUUUUUUAUUUUUUGAACAUUAAAUUGGAAUAAUUACUUUUUAUGCCAUUUGUAAAGAGAAAUACAGUACCAACUAUUAUUUUGCAUGAAUAAGAGAACAUUAUGUUACGAACCAUAGACGAGCGAGUUGAUUGGACCAAUUAACAACUAAUAUUAUUUCCUUUUUAAAGAAAUAAUAAUGGUGUUUGUUUUUUCAGAGAGGAAAAUGAUUUGAUGCUAAUGUAGUACUAACAAUCCUUAUAAAAAUGUUUCCAGUGAAGAGCUUACAGCAAAUUAAGGAUUAGAUUCUUCUUUAACAGCACAUAAAAUUAAAGUUGUAGUAAACCUAAAGAAGAAGAAGCAGUACACUUGAUGAUUUAGAUGAUUGCUGCGCCGAAUUUGAGUUACUUUAUGUUAAGUAACUUCAAUUUUUUGGAUAAUUCCAUUAUCCACCAUUUGUGAUAAUCACACGGGGGAAAAAAAAAAGAACAACCACAUGGACUUUAUUUUGGUGCGUUACGUUGCUUGAUAGACUACAAGUACUUUUCGCCGUUUUUCUGCAAUUUACGAGCAGGAUAAUAGGCGUGUUAAUUUGAUAGGACGAAAAAACAAUUUGUGCUUUUUCUUUUUUAAAAGUGAGUUUUAAUUGUUUUAUAAUGUUUUUAUAAAUAAAUAUUUUUUUAAAAAAAUUUAUAUAUAAUUUAGUAAAAUAUUAUGAGGGUGGGGAUUCGAGGAUGACGGGGUGAGGUGAUGGUUAAGAGAUGAGAUCGAUUGGGUAUAUUGAGAUUUGUGGGUAGUGGUGGAUCUAAAAAUUUUGAGAACAGUGUACCUAAGGGUCAGUGGCGGAGCUAGAAUUUUUACUGAAGGGGUUCAGAAGUAAAUAUACGGACUAGUCGAAGGAGGUUCAAUACUAUAUAUACAUAAAAAAAGUUUUGAUCAUAUAAAAAUAGUAUAAUUUUCCGAUGAAAGGGGUUCGGAUGAACUCCUGAAAUGUAUGUGGCUCCGCCACUAAUAAGGGUGUGAAAAAUUAAACAACACAUUCAUAACAUGGCCUACUUAUGUACUCCGAAUCAUUUUUUAGCGAAAGGUGUGCCUUAGAAUACCCUUGGCCUAAGGUGGCUCUACCCAUGUAUUGUGGUUCAGGAGGCAACUGUUAGGAUUGAAACAAUCAGGUAUUAUGCGAGAACUAACAAACCAAACCUCGAAAGAUGAUAAAUGAGAAGACAAAGGAGAAAUAUUCAAAGAGACACAAUAAUUUAAUGUGAUUCGUCAAAUGACCUAUAUUGACAAAAAAGAGAUAACAAUCCAUUAUAGUAUAAAAAAAAUACAAAAUAUCGAGAGAAGUAAUAAAUUUUUUUGUCCAUUUCCAAGAGCUUAGUUUUAGUGAAAAAAUUAUUUUCAUCAAUCAAACAUGAAAAGAAUUAGAAACCAAAUACAUCCAAUCGGCGCUACUUGAAUAAACAUGAAAGGCCAAAAAUAGCUAUUCCAAUAUAUGAAAAUUUUAAACAAUUGCUCUCUCUCAAAAGGAAUGAACAGAUUCGAUGUAUCAUAUAAUGCAUUUGGAGCAAUUUCGAAAAUGUAAGUUAAUUUUUAUAUAUAUAAACGAUUUUCUAUUGUGAAAAUAAAAUUUCGAUAAAAAUGUAUAUUCUGGAACUAAAAAGGACAAUGUCCUAAGAGUUUCACUUCUACAAGUCCAAACUUUCAUGAGUUUUUCUUGAGUUUGAACAACGUAAGUCAAAUUGCAAUAGCAUUUCCUUGGAGUCUUUGUAUUUUAAAUAACGCUGAAGUUAUAAAACUUUUCGUACUUCAAUAUAGUAAUAUUACUAUAUUAUGGUCUAAAUGAUAUUUUUGCAUUACAAAUAGUUCAAGUUAAAUUAAUAAAUUUAAACUUGUUGUUAACAUUAUUUGAUGAAUGAUUCAAAAAGUGAUGGUUUGUGCAUUUGUUCCAAAUAAUACAAGUAGUAGAAGAGUCUGGAAAAGGGAAGCAGGCAAUGGAAUCCAACGAGAAAAAGAUGUGUUAAAAGAGUAUUGAAAUGUGGUAGUUGGUCUAUGGAUGAGCAAUAUUUUCAACAAUUUAGUACAAGCAUAUAUAAUGUAAUGCAUCAUCAUGUGUGGUCCUAGUACAAGGUGAACUAUUGUUAUUGGACAAAUUGUACUUCAAGUCUUCAACUCAAUGAGAUUAGCAGUUUGAAUAAAUGGAUAUAAUAAUGGUUGUGGGUGAAAAAGUAACAGUAACUAAUUUGCUAAUUGCAAAUUUGUAAUUGCUUUAAUUCUCAGUUUGAAAAUUUCCAAAAGGAGGAUUCCCUUUCGUAAGACUUCACUAACCAACUCAAGUGAGUUUGAUGACUAAUACUAUUUUUGCUCUUUUUAGUUAUAGAUUAAUAUACACUCAUAUCAGAAACAUACCUAAUUAAAGACUUAACAUUUUUGAGUUUUGAAUUUGAACUUUGAAGUUAAAAAGUUUUUUUUUUUUUUGGGAAAUUUAUUAAAUGUACAUAUUUAAUAAAUAAUAAUAUAUACAAGCAUUUAGAUCAUAAUUAAUAAGUUAUGUCAAAUUUCUACUUCCAAUUUUCAUAAUUUAGCUCUGCCUUUAUCGACACACGAAUACUCAUUAACACUAUCAACGUACUUUUUUUUUUGGUUUUCCAUCCAGUGUUCGAUGUUUGGUGCCCGCAUUGGAGCCUCGACUAAUCCGGAUCGCACGUUGCAGGGCCCAUUAAGGUGGCAGCACUCCCAACAGAGUUUUCUCCAUACCCAGGGUGGAACCCUCGAGCUCUGGUUAAGGGCGGAGCAGCUCCAUCCACUGCACCACAAUCCAUAUUGGUUCAACGUACUUAAUUUAUUGUAACUUGCUACUUUAUUUUUAAGUUAAUGGUCAAAACAUACCUAAAUUAUUCGUGAUAGUUUAGAUAGAAAAUUCGUACAUCUGAUAUUUCAUGUAUAAAACGCAAAAAAUCAAGACAUUUUUGAUGUUUUUCACCCUCCACACUUUCAUUUUUCGACAACACUGUGGCUUUCAUGGGCGACUAGACGAUGUAGUUGCUAGUCAAUUAACUUGAUAAAUGAUAAUUAAUUAGUUCAUAUUCACAUCAAAUAUUAGUUAAUUUAAUCUUCAUAAUUCGAAUCAAAUCACAUAAAUUAAAAUAAAAUAUAUAUAAAAAAAAAAAAUUAAUUUCAAAAUUACUAAUGCUGAGAAAUAACGCGCGGGCAAUAGUGUGGAGGCAUAUUUAGUAGUUGAGAAGUGAAAACAGCUCUGAACCAUCCUUUAGUUGUGCUGCGGCUGUUUGGUGUUCAAAUGUUCAUAUGGUUUUAUGGAUAUGAAGAGCCAAAUUAAACUUUUAACUAGAAAGUUAUGUAUGUGCAGAUGGACCAAUUAAUGGUUAGAGUUGGAUAUAUGAACAAAUUAAAGGAUACUUAAUCUUUAUCAUAUAUUAUAUAUGCUGUCUUAUCAAACCUCUCUUUAUGUGACAAGUGCCUCAUUUUCAUAAAUUGGUCUGACUCUCAGCUAUAUUCUAGUUUCUAGUACGAACCAACCAACUAAAAUGAUGUGAAAAUCAACCAGUUGAUAGGAAGAAAAGUGGCUCCACUAAUUUGAGUAUUCCCUCUUCGGUAUUAAUUACCAAGAUUACUAAAUUUUAAAAGUUCAAACAUAUUAUUAUUAAUUAGUUCAUAUUAGUAUAAUGUUUAAAUCUCCAUAAGGUUAGCGUAGCUUUGUUUUAAGAUAGAGUGCAUAGUUAGCUAAGAGAGGUAAGGUUAAAGUAGUAUUAAUAAAUAAAAAUUUGUUUUCUUUAUGACUUUUUUAUCGAGUGUAAAAGAGAAACAUAACAAUUAACAUGGAAUGAACAGAUUUUGAAUAUUUUUUACAACUAAUAUUCUUGUAUAGAGACAUCUUUUCAACAGUGACAAAGAUAAAAUUUAUAUAAAAUUAUAACUCAAAAUUUGUGCGGAUUAAAAAAAAAACAAACGAAAUUGGAGCUGGAAUAAUGUAGAGUUGGCCUCGCUAACAAGUUAGAUUGCCAAAUAUACUGUGUAUCAGUUAGUGAAAAAAUAUCAUAUAGUUUGGUCCUAACCUAUCAUAACCUAUAAAACAUGGCACAUGAAAUUAAUUAUUUUUUUCAUAUUAAUUUAUAUGAUGUAUUUUUAUUAACCACAAAGUUCAAGAAAGAUGAACCCUUUAAAAAUUGUUACUUCCUCUGUUCCAUUUUAGUUGGAUACAUUACAUGAUGAUUAAACAAUCAUAAAUUGAAUAAUAAAAUUUUUACCCGUUACCCAUAUUAAAGAUAUCCAUUGAGCAUUAGAAUGGACAUUGAAAUUGUUAUUAUUAACACAGUAAACUAUUAGUUGUAGGAGUGAAAUGAAAAAAAAAAAUAUUAAUUAUAUUCUGAUUUAAGAAAUUAUCAACUAAUAUGAGAUAUUUAUAUUUAGUAAGAUAACCAACCAAAUUGAGACAAAAAAAGUAUUAAAUAAGUCUUAAUUAUUUAUGCGAUAUAAAUUACUCGUUGCAUUUAUAAAUUAUUAUUUGUCUAAAACAGACUAAAAAGGAGAGUUUAUCACAUGCUCGGAGAUAAAUAACGUAUAUCUUUCAACACGAACAAGCUGUUGACACUUGGCAGUAGAGAUGUGGAGGAAUGCACAUAGACUAAGCCAUUUAAUUUGAGUUUAUUUGCCCCUAAUUCACAUGUCUUCAAUUAAUUAACGGCGCAAAUAGUCAAUAGAGAAAACGAAAGGGGGUUAAUGAGUAAGAGCUAUGAUUGACAAAAAUGGAGUUAAAUUAUCAAAACAAAAUCUUGCUUACACACAUAUCUAAGUGGUAGGCAGGAUUCUAUGAAAGCUACUCUUUUACUUAUUAAUUAGAGAUCAAUUCACAAUCACUAUUUUUAAUUUUGGGUUACCACUUAUCCACGUUGCGUAAGGGACCAGUAAUUGUGUUUCUCAAUAUCAUUCAUUACAUUCACUGAACUAAUUGUGAACUACAUUUACUUGUUUCUCCUCAACCAAUAUUGCUCCAUUACUGUUAUUUGUUUCGAGUCGAGGAUUUGUUAAAAACAGUAAAUCUCUCUACUUCGUCUGAGGUAGUGGUAUGGACUGUAUAUACUUUAUCCUCUUCAGACCUUACUUUAUGAAAAUACACUGAAUAUGUUGUGGUUAUUAUAGAUAAUACUCCAUUAGUGAUCUAGAAGAAUAAACUUGCUGGGAUUAAAAUAUUGGAGUGUACUUCUUCACGUAUUAUCUUUUGCUUCCUUUAUUGCAUCCCCCUAAAUGUUCAUCCCAGCAAACCGAAUGUUAAUUUUCGUACAAAAAAUAAAGAGCAAAAGAUAAAGAAAACAAUUAUAGAAUAAGUAAACUACGGGCCCAUUUGGUCAGGAAAAUUACUAAAUUUUCAAACAAUAAUCUUUCUUUAUAAAGUGAAAACGAUAUAAAUGCAAAUUGAAAUCAUGAAUAUAAAUUGAAGUUAUUUUGAACGUUUGUGAAUGACAUGGAGUGAAAAAAGGUAAAAACAACUCCAAAAAAAUUUAUAAAAAUCCUAACUAAACGUAAUUUUUGAUAUUCAAAAACAUUUUAAAAUAUUCAUGACCCAACGGCCAGUAUAUAAUAUUGAUAUUUGGCGUCGUGAUUAGGGUUUUGAGGGUACUUUCAAAACUAAAUCAAUAUAAUAUAAAAAUGGUUAUAUUUAAUGGAUUUGCUGGUUGAAGCCGAUUGGCACCCGUAAUAAAGUGAUUACGACUCGAGUAGCUUUCAGUCAGACAGGACUAUCUAUGGGAUUUUUAUUUAUAUAUACUGAAGUGAAGUACAGUACAUUUUUUUACACAUUCAAUAUAUUAUAUUAUCUAAUAUAAUAUACUAGAAUUUAUGCGUAUGAUUUUUAUUGGCUGAUAUAUCAUUGAAAUGUUAUGCUUUAAUUACAAGCAAUUUGAUAGUAUAAAUAUAUACUCCUAGAUUUUUUGCACAGUUCGAUAUAUUUGCGCCCGUGAAGUAUGUUAUCUUAUUUAAUACGAAUACGCCAAGCACCAUCUUUGAUUUACUGUUAACAUGGAUAAAGCACAACCACCAAGAAUUGUAGUGGAAAAAAUGAAAUCCCUCAGUAUUAAUUAGUGAUUUUAGGUUCGAGCGGAUAUCAAAUAUCGAAUAAAAAAGUUGCAGACUAAGGGAUCCUAAUAAUGUUAUUCACGUUUAGUCUUAAGGGGUUUUGGUUGGGAAAGGGUUAUUUCGAGAUUAAUUAUCCCACCAUGUAUUUGGGUGAGAUUAUUUAUUCCAUCACUAUGGUGUAAAUGGUGGGAUAAAUAUUAAUCUCGACUAUAACUAAUACUUCAAAUCAAAUAUGAAAUAAAGUAAUAUUUUAUUUUAUCGCGGGACUAUUUAACCCUAUACCUCACACCAAACGACCCCUUAAUAGUGUUAUUCACGUUUUGCUUUUUCAUAGGGGAAGGGAACGGUGUAUAUAAAACGAAAAAAAUAUUGUGGUGAAAAUCAAGUCGUCCACGAAUAAAAAGUAUUUGGUUCCUAAUAUUGUCAAGUUCACAGGACAGGUGGAAAAUUGAAAUCCCAAACUAUAUCUGCCAGAUCAAAUGUCAAAAUACAUACAUUUUAGGUAAAUAUAAGCAUCGCUAAUACAAUUCUUUGGCAUUAUCUUUUUUUUUUUUUCCUUGGCGUAUAUAUCACAACCCUUUAAAAGAAAAAAAUUACAGAAAUGCAACCAUGUUUAAAAUGGUUUGAGAAUGCCAUUUUUAAGGAUAUCUUGUUUUUCCAUAUAUGCAUGUUGAUGUACCUACAUUUUUUUCCAAAGUAUAUAAUUACUUGGAUGAUGAUGAAAAAAAAUUUCUACUUUUAGCAUUGGGAUAUUCCCAGUACCUACCUGCAAGAUUGUCUAUACUAAUAAUUUAAUGUUAGUUUUUUUUAAUAUAGUUCUAGACGAUUAUGGGUAGAAUCAUCACUAAUUAAGAGAAACAUAAUCCUCAAUUUUGAAAAAGACAUUUAUGAUCAUUGUAUCUUAAUAUGUCAUAUAGUCUUACAAAGCUAGCUAAUGUCCUCUGAGAGUGAGACAUAUAUAAUUUUAUAUUUUGAUUAUGAUCAUAGAUUUUCAGAAAUUAAGUUUUAGUGUAGAAGAAGAGAAAUUUCGUCCUUGCCUAUAACUAUAAGUGACGUUCUUCAAUAAAUAAUACUAACUGACCUAUGUUUGUGUAAUUAUUAAUGCAAUCGAGAAAUUUUAAUUUUGCAUUAGGAGUAUAUCUUAUAUACUUUUCGAUUCUUUGUUUAAACGUAAUAAGAAAUCUACUUUUAUAGAUUAAAGGAAAUGGAUCAAUUUUUCUUAUCUACAUUUCUACUUGCAUUAUUAAAAUAUAAUCAAAUUUCUACUCUUAUUUCAAUUAUCAUGUUAUAGCAAAAUUGGAUAUAAAAUUAGGGAGAGGAAGUACAAUAAUUCUGGAUUUCAUUUGAGGAACAAUAUCUUAUUCCCUUCCCCACAUAGAGGGUGCUAACUCUUUAAUCUUGGUUCGUUAGAAUAUAUAUAUGAAUAUAUGUGUGUGUGUAAAGUAAUAAACAUGACAUGACAUACUAUACCUAUAUAGCAAAGUCAAAAAUUUUAACAAGGGAAUUCAAAAUACUACAACUUUGAAAGUAAUUGGUUGUGUUCAUUAUAAGAGGAUCUUCAACAAUUUGUAAAAAUUAGCACCAAAUGCUUUACUACACAAGCUUGGUUGAGCAGAGGAAGAGCUAAUAUGAGAAGUACUCACAGUAGAAUUCAGUAACUUUUGUUUCAUUAUUAUACUUUAUAUUCAAUAACCCAUUACCGAAAUUUACUGAAUUGGUGUAUAAUAUAAAUCGUAGAAUUCAUAAAUUUAAAUUUAAAACUGAUAAAUUUUAAAUUACAAAGGCAUGCCCUCAUCUUCUUUCUUUUGUCCUGUAUAGUACUCCCUUCAUUUCUUAUUAUUCGCUCCUUUUUCUUCUUUUUUUUUUUCCAAAGUUUCGUCAUUUUAUAUUCAUGCAUCUUUAUCAUUUUGCAAUUUUAUAAAUACUUGUUUUAGGGUUUAAAAGGACGGCCAGAGUCGAAGUGUAACAUUGAUUAUGUCCCUCCUCCUUACAUUAAUUAUAACAGUUCUUAUUAUUAUAUUUAUAAGUUGUAUUUAAAAAUGAAUUUAUUCUCCUUGGCUUGCUAAAAGUAGAUAGCAAUCUGGAAAAGUCGUAGAUUUGGAUAAUGGAAUACCAAUUAGAACACAACACAUAAAAGCAAAUGUAAUGAUGGAAAGGAUUAUUAUGUCUAUAAAUAAAUUAGUAGUGCAUGUUUAGCUUAAGUUGGAAAGAAGAAUUAAUGAGUUGACACGUGUUGACGUGGGUACCAUAGGAAAGUGGACUGUUGCUGGAUUAGGUUUAUUCAACUUUCAAAGUCUUACUCCAACUCCAAGGAAUCAAAUACUAAAUUCGUUAGAAUAUUUGCAGCUUUUAGGGCGACAAAAUCUUAAAGUAAAAGAUACUUUUGAUGACUAAUCAAAACUUCUUCCAACCAAAAUUCGACACAUCCCUUUACUAUAAUAAUACUACGUCCUUUUCAAUUUAUGUGGUAGUUCUCUCUCCAUCCAUCUAAUUUAUUUGUCCUUUACUUAAAAUUAUAUAUUUAUGUAAUGAAUAGCACGAUAUAUAUUCCCAAAAUGAGCUACUUCAUGUAUUUUAUUUCAAUUAAAUAUGAUAUAAGUUCAACUUAAAAUUAAUCAUAAAAAUAAUUAUUUUUUAUUUCUUAUACAAAACGAGCAAUAAAUUUAUUAUAUUUAAAAAAUAAAAUAAUAAAAUUCUUUAUAUUAUUUUCUGUUAAAUUAAUAUUAAAAAAAUAAAAAUAGACGGAGAAAGUAAUCUGAUCAAGUUUGAGAGAAGUUAAAAAUACAUCAAGAAUUGAGUUAUUUGGCCAAACUAUUGUAAGAAAAAAAUAAAGACUUUUGAGUAGUAACUGACAAAAGCUUUAUUUCAAAUUAAAGAUGAUAAAAAAAAUAUUUUUUCAAGUAUAUUUAAAACUUUAACCAAACUCAAAUUAUUGUUCCUAUAUUAGAUAAAACUAAUAAGAACAAACAAGUUUCUAUAUGUAAUUAAGGACUUCUAACUAGUAUAAAAUUUCUAUUUAUGAUGGAAUCAGAUUAUGUCACACAGAUGAUAUUUACUUUUAUUUUAGCUACAAGAUGCCGCUUUGAACGAAACAACUCCAGGUUUUAUGGGAAAUAGGGAAUACGCAUUUACUCUUUCUUAUUUCCUUAAUAUAAUGUAGCUUGUUUGUUACUCUUCUUGAUUACUACUCCCUUCGUUUCACAAUAAAUAACUUGUUAAAGUAAUUUUAGUGUGUUUACAAUUCAAGACAAAUGUUAGAAAUUUUUCUAAAUUUACCCUUCAUUAAAUGUGCAUUGGGAGUAAUGUAUCAUGUGUCUUUAUUUUUUUAAAAGGGUAAAAUUGAAAAAACAUGAUAAAUUUAUGUCUUUGCUUUUUUUUCUUAACAUGUGUGUCACAAUUCAACAAUUAACUUAUUAUGCAACGGAGAGAGUAUUAGUUUUGACUUUGCAUGGAGUUUAUAAAAUAAAGAAAGUUUUUUGAAAUUUAUUUUUUAUAAUAAAUCAUAAAUAUUUAGGUGCUAUAAAACAUUUAGCAAAAUAGACAUCUGAUAGUUAAAUUAUUACUAGUAAAUAUGAAUUUAUGUCACACUCACUUAAUAAAAAGAAACGCGAGUCACAUAAAUUGAAACAUAUGAGGUUAUAGUUUUUACCAUAUCUGGAGAUCCAUUUAGCUAUAAAAAAAAAUUAUUCAAUUUUUUUUUAAAUAUAUAUAUUUGAAAUUAGUGAUUCUCAUCAAAAUUUCAAACUCAAAGUGAAAUUGUAUUUAAGUAAAUUCAUUAUUCUAAAUAUUUCUUUAACCAAAUACUUUUUUUUUUUAAUUUAAGAACCAAACAGAAUUCUAUAAAUUUCAAAUGAAAUAAAAAGUAUUUGGAAUCUAUGGCCAAACACCCACCAAGUGCGUGAAUGCUAACAUUUUUUUUUCCUGUGAAACGAAAAGUACUUUCACUUUAUUUUCUUCGUUCAGUAGGAAUAAAACUAAAAAAAGGAACUGCUUGAAAUAUUUUUAAAUGAUGACCAUAUCCAUUAUAAUUGUUUAACAAGAGGUUCAACGCAGAAUUUAUUCUCUCUACUAUUCCCUCGUCACAAAAUACAAUAAAUGAAACAUGACAACUAUUCACCUAUACCCUUAUUGUUUUUUGGGAUAAUAAUUUCAACGUAAAAUUUGUAUAAAUAAGAAAAAGAAAAUCUUCACAUAAUUAUAUAUUAUUAAAUUCCAUAUUUUGUUAAUUCCCACCUGAGCUAUAUUUAUUAUUCAUUAAAUAAACAAUCCUCGAAUUAUAUAAUAUCUAUAUAUAAUUAGCUCGCGAAGCAAACAACCUCUCAUCAAAUUGAACACACUGUGUCGGAAUUUAAAAAAUUGAAACUUUAUAAUAAACGUUUUUGUGUACUUUCUAUAACAUACUCCUACUUAAUUAUUUUAUACAUUUACAAGAAGAAAUAGAGCAUUUAGGUAAUAAUCACAAACACGAAAAGUUCUAAUUAAAGGAGAGUUAGGAGAUGUAUAACUUGUUUUCUUAAGUGAUUUUUGUCAGAUAUUUGCAUGCAAGGCAUAUUCAAUAAAAAAAGAGAGAAAAAAAAUAGUGUAUACCACAGUGAUUCAUCCACCAUAAUAAUGAUCGAGAAAAUGUAUAUUUUUUGAAUAUCAAUUUAGAAUAUACUAAUUUUAUACAAAAUUAUAUAUAUAUAUAUAUAUAUUUUUAUUAUAUUUAACUAGAGAAUGUAAUUAUUUUCGUGUAACUUGGCCUAUUUCAAUUUCAACCCGGUGUUAACGAAAUAAGCAACUCAAGUUUGGGGCUUAUCCGAAGUUCAUCACAGGCCCGAAACUACCAAAUUAUUAAUGGGCUUGCUCUAUGUAUAUUCCGUAUACCAAAAUGGGACAAUUUGGGGGGAAUUGAAAUUUAUGUUAUUUAUACAUUGUAUAUUUCUUGUUUGAUCCAUAAGAAAAUUUAGUGAAACAUAGAAAAUAUUUUCUAUUUAGUUGGUCCAUAUACUCAUGAAAAUAUACAAAAGAAGAUUUGAUUAGUUUGAUUUAGCAACUAGGAAAAUUAUAAAAGACAAAUAGGCAAAUGAAAAACGAUUAUCAGCCGAACGGGUUAAAUUAUGAUUUGUUGUUUAGUUUGUUUACUGUGCUUCACUAUAUAGACUUGCUAUAUUUUCGUCACUAUUUCCUUCUUCCUUGUAUUUGAAUCUCCUGCAAUCUAUCCUCUCUGGACUUCACUUGUAGAAUUUCACUAGGUAUGUUGUUAUUGUCGUUUAGUUCAGCUUUAUCCAUUUCGAUCCAAUUAAGUAUUGAUGGGACAAUAAGUAACAUGUUUGUUGCUUCAGUGAUUCGACCCCUUUCACAAGCCAAAUAAAGUCGAACCCAUUUAUUUGACACCCUUACCUUAAGCACCCUUCAAUUUUUUGUUUGGAGUGCUAGCGCAAAUAUAUUGAUUUUUGGGACCCCAAUUCAAGCCAUAAACAAAGUUUAUAAAUUGAACUAUUUGUUUUUUUCUCAUCAAUCCCCACCUUCGGUGAGCAGAGAAACUCCAUGAUCAAUUUCCUAAAUUUAGUGCGCUGACCGAGGAACAGGGGAUUAAUCUGAUGGCUGCCGGCCAUGGGAUGUCUUGGGAAACAAAAAAAAAAAAACUCAAUCCCUUAGAUGUAAAUUUAACUAUUUCAAAAUGAACUUUUAACCACAUCAAAAAAUUAUAAAUUUUAAUUAAAAUUUGACAUAGUUCUUGUGGAAUCAUAUUUUAGCACUAUGUCCAAAGGUGGUGUUGUCAAAAAUUGAGACAUAUAUGAGUGAAGCAUACAUUGUUGACCUUCAUUCCCCUAGACAUACACUACAAUUAACAUCGAAAUAGUUAUUAAUCUCCACUUCCUUCAAUACACACUUCAAUUUCAUCACCCUCUACAAUUUUUUUAUUUUUCAUGGAAACUAAACACUUUGUUUUACAGCCUUAAAGAAGCAAGAAAAAAGAAAAGAGUCAUGAACGAGCCUGGACCAGUAUUAUUGACAAACCGACCCAAUAUCAAAUUAAGGCUAUUUAAUGUUUGAUAAAUAAAUAGCAAAAUGGAUUUCAAAACGCAAUUAAACUUCCUGCACCUUUUGGUCUUAUAAAAAAAAUGCUCCCAAGCUAUAUGCAGAUGAUUCGGAUUGAAUGUGUCGAAAAUAUUGCAGACAUAGUUAGUGUUUGAUGAAAGUCUGCAGCGAAAAGAGUUGGAGCUACAAUGCCAAUUCACACAUUGGAAGCAAUGUGGUGAUCUCAGCCCAUUCCUUUCGUGUUCUGGCAUAAGCAAUGGGGUGAUCUUUUGUCUGUACUGCAAAAGAUGCUACUGAGUGAGUUUGUGAAGAUGUCUAACAUGGACGGAACUUAUUAUUAGUACUGGCCUUCCAAUAUAUGAACUCACAAGAUCAGAUUACUAAAUGGCGAUAAUCAAUCUUGUUGGACCUUUUAGAGUUACUUUUACUGCUUGCUCUUAUGUAGGGUGUUCCCAAGCUAUUCCUCUGCUUUUAACAGUAAUCAAGACAUUAUUCCUUCUUCAUCCUAAGGAGGAAGUGAAAUGUUAUCUAGCUCUAGAUGUCGCCUUCAGUGAACACGUUCAAGUUGGCUCAUCGUAUAGCCCCUAGGAAAUUUGCUUCUUCUAUGGCAUUUGGUUUGGGGUACUUGUCUUGCUUGCUGCAACGAGGUGCUUCAGGAAUUUCUCAAGUACCCACACAACUGAUAUUGAAGCACUUAAGGAACAAAAAAAAAAUAGUUGGUCAACACACAUUUUGAUCACUUUGUACCUUGCAAAACAAUGUUUUAUUGUAUGCAAGGGUUCAGCUUACUUUUUCAUCAUGCCUUUGAGUUGCUAUUCCCAUGUUUGGUGCAGAAAAUGUUUCUGAGCUACAAAUAUUACUUCACUUUCCUAACCGCAGUUUGUGACGGUGUAUGUGGCCUGGUAGUAAGGGAACACAGGAAAGUAGAGUCAAAUAUUUUUCCUUCUCACAUGGGAAUACUACCAUGUGGCCAUCAGGAGAGUGACAAAAUUAUGCAAGCAUCUACAAAUUCUCUGUGAGGCUACUGGAGCCAAUGUUGUAGCAGUAGCAAGCUACAAGGCUCUUAUGGCUUUGCAGGACACUGCUAAGGAGAUUCUGUGGACACCAAAGUAGUGUCGCGAGGUCUGUCAAGUAUUCAGAGUAUGUGAGGAAGUUCUUUGUACGUUCAGCUAUGGACUUUUGACAAUGAUGUUGAUGCAAGUCUUUACAACUCGAACCUUGAGGACAAGGUUCUUACUGGUGCAGGAGGUAUUGUUAUGAAUGUGCCUGGACUAGUAUUGGCAAAGCAGCUCAAUAUCAGAUUAAGUGGCUAUGUUUGGGAUCCGGGUUGAUAAAUAGCUCAAUCUUGGGUCUAUGAUUCAGGGGAUGGAGAGAUUGAUGUGGAUUUCUCUCACCGUAUUGGGGCAGGUUGGAUGAAAUGGAGGCUUGCUUCGGGGAUUUUAUGCGAUAAGAAGGUGCCCUCAAGCUCAAAGGCAAAUUCUAUAAAGCUGCGAUCCGGCCGGCUUUGUUGUAUGGAGCGGAGUGUAGAAGUUCUCAAUCUCGCGUAAUACCUAAUCAGGGUUGAGCUGAAAAUCCUCUAGAUUAUGCGUGGAACUAUAAAAGUUAGCAUAGACUAUAGUAUUUUGAAUUCAGCUAGUGUUAGUGAAGUUAAAAUGCAUGUUUCUUAGCUCACUCAGGCACUCAGGUAUGCUCAUACAGACAAAACACUUGAAAAAUGUUCGAACACGAUAUAUUCUAAAAAAUUAACGAGGACUACAAAAAAGAACAAUUUCCUUUAUUAUAUUACAUUGAAAAGAUACAAAUAACAGAUAAAACCAAAGUUGAACUAGAGAGCCUUUUGAUAACCAUCAAUCCCCUCAAAGACAAUAUUAUUGGUUUCAUAAUUACUGGGGGAAGAUGGCAAUACUAAUUAACAAUACAGGGACAACAAAUUAUCUCACCUUAUCAAAAGAAUAAUAAUACGGAGACAACAAAGUAUCAACUAAGAGAAGCUGCAAAAUUUAGAGCCGGGACAAUCCAAUAGGAUGAUGUAUGACAAUGUAAUUGUAGGCAUCAAGAGUCAUAAAAUCAUCCAAGACUGAGGCAGUGCAUAGCCUUGUGAAUAACUUGCAAGCCUCCUGGUACAUUCCCUUCUUGAAUUUCUCGUUUCCAACUUCUCUCUCAAUCCUAGCCAUUUCUUCCUCCACCACUCUUCCAAACAGGUCUGCGUUCACUUUCACCCCAAAUCCAUCUCCAUCCAAUUCCGCACCAUAUUUCAGCCACUGCCAGAUUUGUACUCUGCUAAUCUCAGCUGCGGCAGCAUCCUCCAAGAAGUUGUAAAGAGGGACACAGCCAACCCCUGUCAGCCAGGCUGCCAAGUACUGAAUUCCCACUCGGGUGUUCAGCCGGAGGCCCUCCAAGGUACAGACUCCUCUCGGCCUCUGCAACAGGUCUUCUUCAUCAAGGAUGGAUGCAUCUUGGCGCUUCAUGGUAUGUAUUUGGUUAGGAAGGUUGCCCAUGAUGCUAGUGAAGACUUCCAUGCAUGAUGGAAUUAGGCCAGGGUGAGCAACCCAUGUUCCAUCAUGCCCCGCCUUCGCUUCUCUCAGCUUAUCCUUCCUUACAAGUUGCAAUGAUGCCUCAUUAGCUUCUGGAUCAUCACUAAUUGGAAUAUGAGCUGCCUGUUUCACGGAUUCAACAUAGCUAUUAUGCAUCAAUUUGAUCAUGUACAAUAAGAUUCCAAAUUAGCCUACUGAAAAAAUUGGAAACUACUCCAAAUGUUUUUCUUUCUUCCAAAUAUUGUCAAACUUAUCCAAAAAUAAAGUUGGUGUUUGGUUGAUAGUCAUAAGUAUCGAAGGACGACAAAGUUGCAGCCAACACACUAACCGGCUUAGGAUUUUUCGUACAUAUCAACAACACUAAAGUCUUUCCUAUUGUAAUCCUCCAUGGCUCAUGUCGGAAUGAUCAUGUGCAUACUUCCUAACAUCAAUAACAUCCUACUAGCGUGCUAAUGUUUUAGCGUCCAUAUAGUUGACAUGUAUGCAAUUUGUUUGAGUUCCUAGUCUUAAUAAUGCAAAUAUUCUUAUGUAAAAUUAUUUAACAGAACAUAGAAUUAAAAAAGAAACCGAAAUAAUAUAGACUUACCAUGCCUCCCAUAGCAUGGACGCCACGCUUAUGACAAGUGUGGAUGAGCAAGUCGGAAUAACUCCUCAUAAAGUGUUGAUUCAUGCCAACUUGAACCCUAUCUGGGAGAAUGCGAUCUGGCUGAGCCUGGACAGUCUUGAGAUAGCUGAAAAUGUAAUCCCAUCUACCACAGUUGAGGCCAACAGAAUGGUCCCUCAGUUCAUACAAGAUUUCAUUCAGCUGAAACACAGCUGGAAGUGUUUCAAUCAGGACAGUGGCCCUAAUGCUUCCUUCCUCAAUUCCUGCCCAUUUUUCUGCCCUCUCAAACACAUUGUUCCAUAUUCUAGCUUCCCUGUUCAGACAAAAGAAAAACUGCUACAUUUCCUUGGAAUAUAAUUGUCAAGACUAUAUAAAUUUACUAACAAGAACACAACUGACCUAGAAUGUUCCAUUUUUGGAAGGUAGAAAAAGGGUCCAAAGCCCUGUCCUUGGGUCUUGCGGAAGUUCGCAUGGUUUUGGAUAAAAUAGAGGCCGAAGUCGACAAGGCAACCAGUGGCAGGUUCACCAUCAAUGAAGAUGUGAGCUUCUGGCAAGUGCCACCCUCUUGGGCGCACAAACAACUUAGCUGUCUGAUCAUUCAGUUUAUACACUUUAUUUCUGGCUUGAUCAUGGAAUGUUAUUGUUCCAUUUAUUGCAUCCCUCAAAUUUAUAUGGCUUCUCAUUAGAUUCUCCCAGCUUGGUGACAGUGCAUCUUCAAGGUCCGCCUGCGGAAUAUUAUCUUGGUGAAAUCUACAACUGCAUCACUAUGAUAUGUAGGAAGUAAAACAAAAUGCACAUAUUCUAGAUAUGCUUCCACUCCAGAUUGAGGUUAAUUGCUUACAUAAAGGUCCAGUGCUUUUCGGAUAGGUAGUUUAUAGUUUACUCUGUGGGUGUCUUAUUUUUUGUUAUUCUCUAUUGGUGUGUUAUUCCAUCUUGUUUCUACUUCAUCUGAGGUAGUGAUAUGGAUUGCGUAAACUUUACCCUUCCCAGACCUCACUUGGUGGGAAUCCACUGGGUUUGUUGUUGGUGUGAAGGUUCAGGUGCUACCUUUAUUUUUGCUCAUAUUAUUUCCCUCAACACUGGCUUUUUUUGGAUUUUUAUUCUUCUAUUCAACUAUUAACUGUUAGUCAUACAUGACAGAUUACGUAUGAUCCUGUGUUACAGUGGUGAUUAUUGUAUCAAAAAUCACGUCUCUUAAAUUUGGUUACAAUGGCUGCGUGGAUUACCCGAGUUCUCCUUUAUUUUUCAUUCCCCUUUUCUUAAAGCUUAAGGCUAAAAUUUUGUCGUCAAUACUAGUUGUACUUUGAGUCGAGAGAGAUAUUAAGUAAGAACAGUAUUGUGAAACACCGGAUUUACCUUAUAUACACAUUAAAGUUGGUCUUAAUUUUAAUUAUCAGAAGUUUUAACUCAUUGUAGCAUGCAUUGCUUGACUUAAUACUCUUCAUUACUCUUAAGUGACGUGAUUUAACUCGAUGUCGUCAUCCUAAUCUCUAUUAUCAUCGCAGUACUUCUCUGAAGCUAUUGGACAUUUUAGGAAAAUAAGAAAUGGAUACAUUAUGUUAGCGAAAUGUGAUAGGGGGGUUUAGCAUACCAUGAAAACUUUGGCUCCAGAAUUAAGGGCAUCGAUGAUCAUCUUCCUCUCGGGUGGUCCAGUAAUCUCCACCCUGCGAUCAGCUACCGCCUGUGGUACAGGAGCACACAUCCACUCUCCUUCCCUAAUGUAUUUGGUUGUCGGAUCAAAACCCGGCAAACCUCCACAAUUGUACCUCAUUUUGGCCUCUUUCCGGCACUCCAUGGCAUACUUAAUGUGGUUCCUGAACUCCCUCUGCAAAUCAGCAACAAAUUGCAAAGCAUCCCUAGUCAAAAUCUUGGAAAAUUCAGGAUCAUAUCUUCCCCUAAUGUCCACUCCCUCAGGCACAUCAUAACCAAUAAUUCUGCUGCUCUUUUUUUGAACUGAGUUAUUGGGUUGAUGGAAUGUUUCUUCAAAGCUAGCCAUUCUUUUUUUCUUUUGGUAAUUUCAAAUAAACAGUUAAUGUACUACUUUCUUUUUUUCCCUCUCUCAACAAUCUAGCUUGCAGCUUGCUCCAAUUUAUAGGGGGGAAAUGGGAGCUUUAGCUAGCGUUAUGGCCAUGAAAUUUGAUUAGAUUGUGAAAAUUUGAUCUUCAAAUAUCUUUAAGUUCUCGAAAACCGGCUUAGAUCAUUCUUUCGUUUUUUUUUUACUUCCAUUCUUAAAACUUCAAAUUUUUUUCAAGUAAAAUGCAUGUUAACGCAACUUUAAAAACUCAAAUUUUUACGUUUCUACUUGAAAAUCUAUAGUGAAAUAGGAGCUUAUAUUAGUAAAAUUUGUAAUAUGUGAAUCAUGAGUGGAGCCACCUUAGGUGAAAGGUGGUCCGAUGAACAACCUUAGCUGGAACGUUAUAUGGCAUGCAUAGAUUAAAUAUUAGCUAUUAUGCUGUGUAUAUUUAAUUAUGUAAAUCCUUAACAUAACAGGAAAAAAAUAUUCACCCCCUCUGUCAGUGAUGUGGAUAGCUACUGAGCUCAUGAUUUUCUUUAUUUUUUUUUGGCUGAGAAUAAUAAUAAUAUGUGGGAUAUAUUUGGCAAAGCUUAUCGACAUGUGCUUAUAAUUUGUGGAUAGCUACAGAUUUCAUGAGAUUUCUUUUAUAAGAUAUUUAGCAAAGCUUAUCAAUAUGUAUUUGGUUCUAAAGGCCCUUAUCUUCUAGCUUGUGUCCUGAUAUACUUAAUUUAUUUUGAGGUUUGUCAUUUUAUAUUCAUGCGUUUAGUAUCACACCGUAACUACUCAUUAUUAGUGUUUUUAACUUUAAUGACUGGCAACAUCAAAGAUUAUGACCCUAUAAUCACCCAGUAAUCAUAUAUUUAAUAAGAUAAGAGAGAAGCACCCAAGGGUGUGGCCUAGUGUUCAAUGAAGUUGGGAUGAGCACCAUGAGGUCUCAAGUUUAAUUUCCAGCUUAAACAAACACUAGGUGUUUUCUUCCCAUCUAUUCUAGCCUUGGUGGAUAGAGUUAUCUGGUACCUGUUGCUGGUGGAAGGUGGCAGGUAUCCCGUGGAUUUUAAAAAAAACAUAAGAGAGAAAAGUACUACGUACUAUACAGUACUCUAUUUUUUUUUUUCUCCUUGGCUAGCUAAGAGUAGAUAGCAAUGGGGCAUACUAGUUGAAACAAAGAGAAGUCGAUGCUCCACUUCUCAACUUAUCAAAGUCUUUUCCAAAUCCAAGGAGCCAAAUAGUAAAUUCUUGUAAUGCUUGAUACUUUUGAUGACUACUUCUUCCAACCAAAUAUCAGCACAUCCACCUGAUUUGCUUAGUGCUCUCUCUGUUCACUUUUACUUGUUUAUCGUGAUAUUCAUAUUAAUUGGUAAUAGUAAAACAUAAACACAUAUGUAAGUUACUAAAUAGGGAUAAACAUUUUCCUAAAUGAGUAUAGUUUUGUUACACUUUUUACCAAAUAAUGAUGAUAAAAGAAAGUUUAUUGCAUGGGUGCAAACAUCUUUUUCUGCGGAAUGCCGCAUAAUGGUGACUACUGCCUUUUCCAUAAGCCAAAAGGUGCUGGCAAAUUACAAAUUACUCAGAUACUAUAAUUCUAUAAAUAUGGAUUCAUUGAAAUAUAGCUUGGUAGGUGGGGCAGAACUUAUCCUUGAAUAUAUAGAGUCUGGUAGAUGGGUGGAAUAAUUCUAUCUAAUCAACACGGAAUGCAGCUUGUCUGUACCGAGUUCACGGUAUUUUCGAUGUUGAACAUAAAUUUAUACGUAAAAAAUUUCAUUAAAAUUACAGUAUAAAUAUAAAUUCAUAACUUAAAACUGCGGGACACGUAGAAUCUAAAUCUGGGACCCACAUCUGAUUCGGACGGUACGAAUUUUUGAAUUUCCAAUUUCAUAGCUAGAAAAAUAAGUUUGGGGGGCCAUAUAGAACAUGGUGAAUAAAGAAUAAGUGCCCACAUAUCUGGGCCAUGAACAUAGGAAAGCCAUAAUAUGCCAGCUGGGAAGAAAUUUCGUGUCCAGUGAAUUUCAGAAAAUAGAACGUGCCAUUGAUGGAGAUGGUGACUAAACCAAACAAGAAACGAAACCAGAGCCAUAGACAAAAAUACAAGUGAAAGGGAGAUUUUUAAAUCUAUACGGCCCAACAUAAAAUACUACGUCAUAUGAAAGCAUUAAUUAGAAAUAAUAUAGAAGGUGAUUAUAUUUAAUUAUGGACUAAAUCGAGUAUAAUGUUGUAGAAUAUUUUAUAUUAGGGUAUGUGACAUAAAUAUUUUCUCUCAGUAGAUAUAGCGUAAUUUUCACAAAAUCUAAUUUCAUUCAUUUUUAAAAUGUUUUUAUUCAUUUUUUUUUGUAUAAUCUAAUUUUACAAGCCAUCUUUGCUCCUUUAUUUUUGUUUCUUUCUUAAAUUUUUCUCUUCUUUUUGUUGCUAUAUUGAUUAAAAAAAAAUUUGGCAAUAAUCAGUGUGUGUGUAUAUAGAUAUAUAUUCUUUCACUAAGUUAGGUUUUAAGAAAUAUACUACUGAUUUUAGUAUUUAUCUCAAGUAUGUCUAACUAUUUAGCUUUUUUUAUAUUUUUAUUAGUGUAAAAAUAGUUAGUUAAUAUUUUAUCUUUAUAUUUUGUUGUCUCUUUGAAAACAAAAACAAAGAAAAAAUGAAGAUAAAUUAACCUAAUAUUUAUCCAACUAAAGAAAUAAUUAUUAUACUAUUUAUUAUUACUUAGAUAUUAUCACGGAUCACCGAAUAAAUGAAAUAAGGAGGACAUGUCGCUGUAUUAAAGUGAAGCAAUUCACGUGAAAAAUGCUCCGAUAGAGGAAAAUGACCCAAUUAGUUGCCAAAUUGAGCUUUCAUCACCUACCACAAACCGGGAUUGGGUUGGGCUGCAUGGGGAAGUGGGUAACUGAUUUCGAAAAAUGGGCUGCAAGGGAAGGAGAUGGGCUACAUGGGAAUGGGCUGAUGGGUAGUUAAUUUGGGCCGAGAGUACAUGAACAGUUCGAGGUUUACAAUGCCAUGCACAUAUAGAACACAAAGGCCCUUGGAGUUAGAGGUUCACAUGUACUAGGAAAAAAAACAAAAGGAAAAAUUUCAGAAAUAACAAUUAUAGAGCCUUAAUUGUAACUUUUAUAGCAACAGUUUCAUAAUUACGAAAAAUAACAAAUUGUAUUUCGUAUUUAUGUAAACAGUUGCUAUACAAAUACAUAUACAACAAGAUUUAUUGUCCUUGUUUUACUCAAAUCAAUUGAGUUAAAUAAGGAAUAAUUAUCCCAUCUAAUUAAAUUUCCAUAAAUUACUCUUAUUUAAAUUAGUAGAUUACUUUUCCAAAUCAAACUCAAAUAUGAAGAUUAUUAUUUUCAUGGUCUUCAAAAUUUCAAAAAAUCAUUCUCUUAUAUCUCUAACUAUUUUUCUUGUUAUUUUUUUUAUUUUUUUAUCUUUUUAAAUUUUAAUUUCUUUAUAUUUUCUCUCUUCUACUUCUCUUUAUUUUCCUCAUAUUUGUUUUCGUUUUCUUCUCUUCUUUUUAAAUUUUUUUUCGCUUUUAUUUUUACACUUCUAUUUCUAGUUUCUAUUUAUCUUUCUUUUCUUUUUUUUUUUUCCUUUUUCACUUUUUUUUUUCAAAACUUUAUUUUUUUCUAUUUUUUUUCUUUUUCUUUUACUCUUCUAUCUCUAUUUUUUAUUUUUAAAAGACAAAUAUCUAUAUCAUAUAUACAUAUUCAAAAAAUAUACAAAAUAAAUAGACAUACAGAUCUGUAUAUGUAUUUACGAUAAAAAAUAUACAAAUAUAUCUGCAUAUGUAUUUACAGAAAUACAUAUUUGACUCACAUGUAUAUAUAAACGUAUAGGACACAAAAUCUUUAUAUCAAAAAUGACAAUUAUAUACAUAUACAUAUAGGUAAUAAAACAAUACAUGAUACAUAUCUUAAAUAGUAAAAGAAAACAAAUAAGUACAUAUGUUACCCUCUAAAAUGACAUAGUAUGUACAGUUUAAAGACAAAUCCAACACCGUAUUUUGCAUAUGUAUUUACAGAAUACAUACCUGAUCCAUAUGUUUAUUCUUAUUUUAUAUGAGUCACCUUUAUAUUUCGCAAAUACAUAUGAAGAUAUAUAGUAUAGUUAUGUUUGUUACUGUUUAAUAUGAAUAUGAUAUGUAUUUUGUAAAUACAUAUGUAUGUUUUGUACUGAAUACAUAUCCAGAUCUGUAUGACUAUGUAUUUUAUAUGUUUUUUGAAUAUGUGUAUGUGAUAUACAUAUUUGUCUUUUCAAAAUAAAAGUUACAGAUAGAAGAGUAAAAAAAUGAAAAAAAAAAUAUAUAUAAAAAGAAAAAAACGAAAAAAAGAGAAGUAAAAAAGAAAAAAGGAAGAAAGAGAAAUAGAAGUAUAAAAAUAAAAGAAAAAAAAUUAAAAUAAAAUAGGAAAAAGAAGAACAAAACGAAAACAGAAAAAGAAAAAAAAGAUACGAAAAGGGAAAAAAGAAGAAAAAUAGAAGAGAGAAUAUAAAGUGGAAAUAAAAAAUGAAAAAGAAAAAAAUAAGAUGAAAAAAACUAAUAAAAAAAAAAAGGUUGAGAUAUAAGAGAGUGAAAGACAGUAACGAUGUUUUAUAUUGAAAUCUUGAAAAUCAUGGAGAUAAUUAUCUUCAACUAUGAAAAAGGAAAAAAAAUGAAAAAGAGAAAAAAAAGAAAAGAGAAAUAGAAGAGAGAAAAUAUAGUGGAAAUAAAAAAAUAAAAAUAAAAUAAAAAAAAAAAAAUAAAAUUAUAGAAAAAUAAGAUGAAAAAAAAGAAGGUAAAAGAUAUGACUAUAUUUGGAGUUGGUGAAAUAGUGGAGUGAAAAUAAGAAAAUGUAAAGUAGCGAGAGUAAAACAUGCGCUUGCCUAUGCUACUCUUACUAUAAACUGUAAUUUUACAAAAGUAUUUUUAUUUAUUGUAAUUAUAGUCUUAAGCAUGCUACUUUUUGUGAUUUUUCCUAAAAGACCCCACCGUGUAUUGUACGCAACUUUACCUUGUAUUUCUGCCAGAGGCAGUUUCUAAGGCUUAAACCCGUAACCACCUGGUCAUAUGACGACAGACGUUUUUACUCUAAGGCUCCUCUCACAUAUGUACUAGAAAAGUAGGACCAAAAAAUGAACAAUUGUCUUUUAUUAUUAUUAUUAUUACAUGGAAAGAUAGCAGUACUCACAAUAAUACUGAUGACGGAGUGAUUGAAAAGCAAAGGUGAAUAAGAGAGGCAUAAGAUAAUUUAGCCAUCUUCUCAAAGGCCAAAUUCCAUUUCCUACUAUUAUUGCUGGGAUACAUGUCUACACCUGAUUGAUCGAUUUAGAGUCGGGACGAACCAAUAGGAUGAUACAUGACAAUGUUAUUGUAGGCAUCAAGAGUCAGAAAAUCAUCCAACACUGGUGCAGUGCAUUGCCUUGUGAAUAACUUGCAAGCCUCCUUAUACAUUCCUUUCUUGAAUUUCUCCUUCCCAACUUCUCUUUCAAUCCUAGCCAUUUCUUCUUCAACCACUCUUCCAAACAGUUCCAAGUUCACCUUCACCCCAAGUCCGUCUCCAUCCAAUUCCACGCCGUAUUUCAGCCACUGCCAGUUCUGGACUCUGCUGAUCUCGGCUGUGGCAGCGUCCUCCAUGAGGUUGUAAAGUGGGACAGAACCCGCUCCUGUCAUCCAGGCUGCCAAGUACUGAAUUCCCACUCGGGUGUUCAGCCGGAGGCCCUCCAUGGUUCGGACCCCUCUUGGCCUCUGCAGCAGGUCUUCUUCAGUUAAGACGGAUGCAUCUGGGCGCUUCAUGGAAUGGAUUUGGUUAGGAGCAUUAGCCAUGUUGUUGGUGAACACUUCCAUGCAGGCUGGAAUUAGGCCAGGGUGAGCUGCCCAUGUUCCGUCAUGCCCUGCCUUCACUUCUCUCAGCUUAUCCUUCCUUACAAGUUCCAAUGCUGCCUCGUUAGCUGCUCGAUCAUCUCUGAUUGGAAUUUGAGCUGCCUGUUUCAAGGAUACAACAAAAGCCAGUGUGCAUCGAAUUGAUCAUAUAUCAAAACGAUUCCAAAUUAACUUAAAUGCAUGCUAAUGCUUCCUUUUCCAUAUGGUUGGCAUUUAUGUCAUGUUAUUGAGUUCAUAGUCUUAAAUCUUAAUAAUACAAUUAUGUAAUGUCAAGGGCUAAUCCAUAACAAUUGCCUUAGUUCGGAUUGUCUUCUUCAACUCGGAAAAAUAAAGUUGGAAUCGAUAGUAAUCAUGGAUCAACAUACUGUGAUGAACUAAAAGAACAUAAGAUGGUAAAAAGGGGUUGAUAUUAACAUACCAUGCCUCCCAUAGCAUGGACGCCACGCUUGUGACAGGUAUGGAUGAGCAAGUCGGAGUAACUCCUCAUAAAGUGUUGAGCCAUGCCAACUUGAACUCUAUCAGGGAGCAAUCGAUCGGGGUGAGCCUGGAAAGUCUUGACAUAGCUGAAAAUGUAAUCCCAUCUACCACAGUUGAGACCAACAGAAUGGUCCCUCAGUUCAUACAAGAUUUCAUUCAUCUGAAACACCGCGGGAAGUGUUUCAAUCAGGACAGUGGCCCUAAUGCUUCCUUUCUCAAUUCCAGCCCAUCUCUCUGCCCUCUCAAACACAUUGUUCCAUAUUCUAGCUUCCCUGUCCAAACAAAACAAGAAUUGCUAUAUUCUCUUGGAGUAUAAUUCUCAAAACUGCUUAAAUUAACUAAUAACAUACAACACUACUAACCUAGAAUGUUCCAUUUUGGGAAGAUAGAAAAAGGGUCCAAGUCCUUGUCCUUGGGUCUUGCGGAAGUUGGCAUAGUUAUGGAAAAAAUAGAGGCCAAAGUCGACAAGGCAACCAGUGGCAGGCUCACCAUCAAUGAAGAUGUGAGCUUCUGGCAAAUGCCACCCUCUAGGACGCACAAACAACUUAGCUAUCUCAUCGUUCAGUUUAUACACUUUGUUUCUGGCUUGAUCAUGGAAUGUUAUUGUUCCAUUUACUGCAUCCCUUAAAUUUACAUGCCCUCUCAUUAAAUUCUCCCAGCUUGGUGACAGUGCAUCUUCAAAGUCAGCCUGUGGAAUGUUAUAUCAGUAAACUCUAUCAAAUGCAUCACUCUCAGGUUAACUACUGUUGGUGAAUAUACCAAAAUGUGUAGUAAAUUACAACUGAAAUUAAAAUGAACUGAAAUGAAUAAAUGAAGUGUUGAUAAAGCCAUUGUUUAUGUUAACAAGCUCUAAUCUCAAUCAAUUCAAUCAGGUGAACCUUCAUUAAACAAAUAGUACUUUUUACAAAUAUUAAUUAUAAUUGUAUCGUGAAAGCACAAGUUCAAUUUACGUACAUGUUGGCACGGUAAUGAACUGGUUCAACUUAUCAACAAUCUUAACUCGUUAUAGCAGGCAACUUUAAGCUUACUUUACACUGAAACUAAACUCGUGUGAGGGGAUUGUUUACGUACCAUGAAAACUUUUGCACCAGAAUUGAGAGCAUUGAUGACCAUCUUCCUCUCAACUGGUCCAGUAAUCUCCACCCUCCGAUCAGCCACCGCAUGCGGCACAGGAGCACACACCCACUCUCCUUCCCUAAUAUACUUAGUAGCCGGAUCAAACCCCGGCAAACUGCCAUUAUUAUACCUCAUUUUAGCCUCUCUUCGACACUCCAUAGCAUACUUAAUAUGGUUCCUGAACUCCCUUUGCAAAUCAGCAACAAACGUCAAAGCAUCCCUAGUUAAAAUCUUGGAAAAUUCAGGAUCAUAUCUUCCCCUAAUGUCCACCCCUUCAGGCACAUCAUAACCAAUUAUUCCACUGCUCUUUUUCUGAACAGUGUUAGUAGGUGUAAGGAAUGUCUCAAAGCUAACCAUUUUUUCAAGAAACAGUUUUAGUAGCUGGCUGGUUGUUGUAAUGCAAGAGGUAUAGAUUGGUGAAAUUUAUAAUAAUGUGGAUAGGUACUGAUUUCAUGAUUUCCUUUAUAAUAUUGUAAUGGGGAUAAAGCUUAUCGUUAUGGGUCUAAAUUUAGAUGAUAAAUUAUAGGAUGGCAUUAUGUGCGUCAGAUGAUAAAAGGAUCAUGCAGUAGGUGAUCGUUUUCCUUACGUGCUUCUUGAUAUGUUCAAAACAAGGAUAAUACUGGGGAGGGGGGGGGGGGCUGUUUNNNNNNNNNNNNNNNNNNNNNNNNNNNNNNNNNNNNNNNNNNNNNNNNNNNNNNNNNNNNNNNNNNNNNNNNNNNNNNNNNNNNNNNNNNNNNNNNNNNNNNNNNNNNNNNNNNNNNNNNNNNNNNNNNNNNNNNNNNNNNNNNNNNNNNNNNNNNNNNNNNNNNNNNNNNNNNNNNNNNNNNNNNNNNNNNNNNNNNNNNNNNNNNNNNNNNNNNNNNNNNNNNNNNNNNNNNNNNNNNNNNNNNNNNNNNNNNNNNNNNNNNNNNNNNNNNNNNNNNNNNNNNNNNNNNNNNNNNNNNNNNNNNNNNNNNNNNNNNNNNNNNNNNNNNNNNNNNNNNNNNNNNNNNNNNNNNNNNNNNNNNNNNNNNNNNNNNNNNNNNNNNNNNNNNNNNNNNNNNNNNNNNNNNNNNNNNNNNNNNNNNNNNNNNNNNNNNNNNNNNNNNNNNNNNNNNNNNNNNNNNNNNNNNNNNNNNNNNNNNNNAAACAAGGAAAAAUCGGGGGGGGGGGGGGGGGGCUGUCUUUUUGAUAUUUGUGCCAGCCUCGGGAGUUGGGAAUUUGUUAGGGAUAUUGUAAGUAUUUGAGAAAAGAAGACUGACUUGUUUGACAAGUGGCAUAGUUUGGAGUUUCUUUCUGACGUUUGUUUAGGAAAAUUAUCAAGUGAAUUAUUUGUUUGUUUAUUAUUCAUUAAGGACAUAAAUUAAACACUAAUUUUUAUUAUUGUCUUUUUGAUCAUUUCAAACGGUUCACAUCAAGUGAAUUGUUUGUAUAUGAUACAUCCCCUUACAAAAAAUAUUCAAGGACAUAAAUUAAACAAUAAAGAUAGUUGAGAACAUAUUUCCCUCCCGGUUUCAAUUUAGGUGCAUUGUUUGUCUUGACAUUUAAGAAAGAAAAGAAGUUUUGAAAAUCUUUUAAGUAAUAAAUAAGAUUAACCAGGUCGACCCUGAUUAGUUACAGUGCCUUGUUUUACUGGAAUUAUAUAUCGGAGCUUAUAGUUAUUGAGGUAAAAGGUUCUUAGCAGUGAAUUGUAUAUCGUGUAUAUAGGAACAGAGGUUCAUAGUCUAAGACUCAUCAAGCCACCAACUUGGAUCACAUAAGCAACCACCAACUCCCACUCCCUCCAAAAAGGAAAGAAAGAAAAGACAGGCAAAAAUGGAAAAUGACAAUCAUGGUGCGCCUGAAUGGCAUGACAAAAUAAUAUAGGUAUGUGUUGUGACGUCUAUGUUAUUGUCCCGGAAUAAUGUGUAGAAUUAUUUUAUCUAUGUUUGGUUGGAUGUACUAGUUAGUCAAGAAAUUAUUUAUCCCACCAUUUAUACCUCAAUGAUGGGAUAAGUUUAUUAGUUAGCUAAUCACGCAAUUAAUUAUCCCGGGAUAACUUGUUCCCAACCAAACGACUCUUCAAUAAUAAAGCACUGAGGCAGCAUCUCACACUUGGUAAUCUCUAUAUAAGCUAGUAUUAGUAUUACAGAGAUCGAACAACAUUGCUCUGAUCAAGAAUGAUAUAGUUUGUGUUUUGUAGAAAACAAGAAUAACUUAGCUGUAUACAGAAAUCUCCAUGUUUUGGACCAAGAUAAAAAGUGGUAUCCAAAAUAUAUGGGACUCUAGUAAUUAAUUUUCAUUAAAAAGAAAUAAAGGUUACUAGCUCUAACUAUACCCUGAAUAAAAAGCUGAGGGGAACUGCAAUGCACAUGAAGUGCUAAUUGGAGUUACUUGUAUGCAGUCUGGUAUAUGUCACCUAACUUUUACCGUUAGAGUCAUCCCGAGAAGAAAAGUAACCAACGUCAUCUCAACGAAGAAAAGCGUGUUAAUGAGUAAUCGAUCAACCCUCCAUCCAUAAAUGCUAAAACCACCAGGGUUAGACUCCACAUAAGCCACUGCAACGAUAAAAGCAAACUAGACAUUAUUUGCUGUCUAUGUGAAAAAAAAAAAUAUUAAGAGAUUGUACUGCAGAAGUUCGUGUAGAUCUGAUGGAAACAUAACAAGAAUGAUAUGCAUAUGAAGCAAAGAAAUGGGGAUGUAAUUGAAGGUUGGGUGAUCUAAGAAGAUGAAUCUAAAUUGUCACUUGUUAUGAGAUACAUAAAAUACAAUGGCCAAUAUUGUGCAUAGCAUAUGUCCUGCUUCCAAAUCUACUUUUCUAAAGGUCCCACAACCAUAAACCAAGGGAUGCAACACUGUCCCAUUACAAUUUACAUAUAUACAAUCAUAAAUAUUAUGCCCACUGCACUUGUAUAAUCAACUCUUACUAACUUGGAAGUGUUUAAUCUUAUGAGACUCGCUUCGUCUAGGGGCUUCCCCACUUGUCAGACUAGUACUGAUAACUAAGUGGUAAUCUGUAUUGGAGAAGUAAAGGCAAUUGAGAUUUUUACUAAAUGCAGUUUGUCAUAAAGAAUCUAAUAUUUCUGGCAGAAUAGAACCUUAAUUCAUCUGACUUUGCUCGUGAUUAGCAGGACUCGAACUCCAAUGCAAUAGAACAUACUUGAGCAAAAUUAUCUAAAUAAGGGAGCAAGUUCUAGCCAAAUAGUGUCUUUUGGCUUCUACGAGGACACAAGAAGAUACAUGACCUUGUAAAUUUUCAGUACAUUUGCAAUAAAAAAAGCUAUCAAACUGUGAAAAAUAUGACAUCCCAAAAAAUGAAGAUUUAGAUGUAGAGCAUCAGAGUAACACUUCACUAAUAGAUCUAUGGAUGAGAUACCGACGAAGUAGUUCUACUGUAGGGGCUUCAAAGAGUUAUGCUGAAGUUUCUUGAGAGGGUAUUGAUGAUCAGGAAACCAUGUUAUGUCUUUUAAAGACCAAUAUAGGCAUGCAUUCGAAGACACUUCAGAGGACAGAUUGGUAUCCUAAAGAGAUAAUGAUUUCAGAGCAGCAAACAUGUGAAUAAAAGAACUAGGCACACUAACACUGUCACUUUUAUUGUCAUUCAUGGAUAAUUUUAGCAAGAGAACUCACACAACCAAUCAAAUGCAGGAAGGUAACAAACGAGAUCUCAAGAAAAGACUAUGGCAUAUGCAUUAUACAGGAAUAUCAAUCAUUCUGACAAUGUGGACUAUUUACUAUUUCAGUUUACAAUUUGUUGAACAAACAUACAUCCUACAUGCUGGAAAAGAAAAUAAAAGAUAUUAGUUUUUCAGUGAAUCAAAUCAUUAAAGUUGCAAAAUUUUCUUGUUAUUUGGGAAUAAUAGGAACAUAAUACAAGCAUAAGCACCGCAAGUUUCAGCAAAAGUUUGGUUUUGCAUACCAAAUGCUUGUCUCUUGUGAUAUGACGACAUAGUAGAAGUGAGUUGUACAUUUGUGGGUGGAAGCAAACCAUCAGCGGACUCCAAAUCACCUUCUGAAUAAUUUACAGAUAACUGGCCCACUGUUUUUGGUGUUUCAACAUUUCGAUUAUCAGAUGAAAGUUCGGAGACAGAACCAUCGUUGCUAUUACAAGUAACUAGUGCAUGCCAUCUACUCGCUAUGGCUCCAAGGCCUUGUGCUCUAUGUGAUAUCUUUGCAGCUGCAUUCAGACAUAUAAGUAGUCCAACCAGUUGAACAAUUGAUAUUACCUGAAUAUGAAGUUCAAUGAAAAUAAUACAAUCAACCAAGUAACAAUUUUAAUAUGCUCUGGAUGAGAAUAACCACUAAUAUGAUGUUUUAUUUCUUAAGUUGACAAAGAAAACACACAAGCACAAGAUUUGAUGGUCUAGAUACACAAGUCUCAACGAUAUCGAACGCACUUUUCAGCCCCACGUAUAAACUAAAUUGGCGAGAAAUUCAAAGUAGAAUUGCCAUGGUAGCCUUCACCUGGGAAUAGAAGACGAAAUGCCUGAACAAUCAAAUUUACCGCAAAGCCAAUCAUGAGGAGGAUUUGAACUUAAUGAGUAAAUGCAUUAACAUUUACAAAAUUUGAAUCUUAAACUCCUAGAUUAUCUCUUGGUGCAUAAAGACAAUUAAAGUACUUGAUAAUGAAAGCAAAUGAGAAUGUGAUUGGUACUUAAUAUCAUAAUGCUUACCGCAAAAUCACCAGCAUUAAUGAAGUUGACGAUUCCUUGGUUUGUUGUUGUCUGUAAUAGAACUAUACAUUGACUUACUGUGACUAUCAAGUACUCCAAGAGGAGGAACAUCCUAAACCGGUGGCUAAUUUUACACACAUAAUAGGUCAGACGCAUAUGCUCAUUGAUGUAAACUGAGACAUCCAUAUCCAUUUCCAAAAGCUCGCCAAAAUGUUCGAAGUGUAUAACUUGCAAAUUGCCAACCAGAUGAAACAGAGCUGUUCCCACAAUAAAAAUAAUGGUAGAAUAUGCCCAUGAUACAAGUGAACCAACCACAAUUCCAAUUGACCACCAUAUAGAACCAUCAUAAAGAGACACAGCUCUAGUGACUUCACGAGCUAUCUUCAUCAAAAAGAAAAUUGUCAUCCACGAAACCACCAAAUAAUAAAAGACCUGAAAAUAACAAGUUACCUUAGAUUAGACGUUCACUAGGAUAAUGAUUUUUUAUUUUACAGUACAGGCUGAAUAAAUAAAUAGCUGAUGAACAUGAACCCCAAAUAACGGAUUCAAUGUUGUGCAAAAAAUUUAAUGUGAGAUUGACAAUAAUCACAGAGUUAACAGUGCCAAAAACACACCUAAAGUAUCCCGACUUUUUGGAGUUUCAUACCUGAGCUAUCGCAUACUAUUACCAAAUGUUUAUCGAACACACCUUAACUAUCAUUCAUUCACCUUUCCUAACACAAAUAUCACUAAAUGUUUAUCACUACUCACAUCAACUAUCAAUUAUUCACAUUUCCUAAUGUUUAUCAAAGCACACCUCAACUAUCAUUUGUUCACUUUUCCUACCUGAAAUAUCAACAUUGCUCAUACGGGAAAAUUGAACAAUGGAUAGAGAAAUCCUGUGAGUACACGUCGUGGUUUUCCUCCCUUGAGCAAGAGGUUUCCACGUAAAAACUGUGUGCCGAUUUACUUUGCGUUCUUGUUUUGCUUGUUUUGCUGUUACUUAUUACUUCUUAGGGACCUGGUCCUUCAGUGGUAGUGAACCCUUGCGAUUCAACAAAAUAUCACUAAAUGUUUAUUACUACACAUAUCAGCUAUCAGUUAUUCACAUUUCCUACCUGAAAUAUGACUAAAUGUUUAUCAAAGCACCCCUCAACUAUCAUUUCUUCACUUUCCCUANNNNNNNNNNNNNNNNNNNNNNNNNNNNNNNNNNNNNNNNNNCCUGGAAUAUCAUCAUUGCUCUCAUUGCUCAUGCAGGAAAAUUGAACAAUGGAUAGUCGAAGUGUAUUUCGAUAAACACUUGGUAAAGUAGGUAUAAAAGUCAAAAAAGGGAUAACUUAGGCAUGUUUUUGACCCUAGAACUCUAAUCUAAACUUGUAUUGAACACUUACCCGUAUCUUCUUAAGAUAGAGCUCACUAAACUGAGUCAACUGACCAUGAUACCGAUCCACAAAAAGCAAUCUCCUGAUGCGAUAUUUACGGAGAUUAUGCGAGAUGCACAAAAGCGAUACAGCAGCAGCAACAGACUGACAUACAAGAACCUCAACCUCAAAGUCAUUAAUCUGAUACAGUUCACAAUUAGUGCAGUAACCAAAGUACGCUACGAGAAGAGGAACAACAAUGGAGAAGACAAUAAACGCCAGCCAGGAUACGGCAGCACUGAAGACGGAGUGCUGGCAGAAACCUAACAGUCGGAGGAAGCGUUCGAGUUUGUUUAAGGAAAUGUCGAGAUCAGUGAAGAUUUGAAUAGCGUCUACGAGUGACACGUGUAUCGAGUUGUCGUCGUCGGUGGCACCGGGUUCCGGUGGACGGCACUCGGCGGCGGCGGCCAUUGCCGGGAUUAGCGGCUGAAAAAGCGGGAGAUCGUUAAUGGUUUGACAAGAAUAUGUUAGUGAACCGAGAGAUCGGCGGGUUUAUGGGUCGACAAAAUUCUGGAUUUGUUAAGUCUUUUUCAUCAGUCCAGUUUGAAAAGCUGCACUUUCCUUUUUUUUCCCGUUCAAAUAAUUUAUGUGCAGCUUUAAAAAAAAUACGCGAAUAGGUAAUCUACUAUUUUCUAUUUAUUUAAAUUUCGAUAAAAGUAAAAUUAAUCAUGAUAUUUAUUAUUUUUUAUCUAUAAUUUAUAUCGAUAUCGACUUCCUAAAAUAUAUAAGACUGCUAAAAUAUAUCGUAAGAGAAUUAAUUAAUACUUUUUCUAAAAUAUAAGAGACUCCUAAAAUAUAUGGUAAGAGAAUUAAUUAAUAUUUUUCUUUCUAUUGUUCAAUUAAAAAAAUACUCAUAAGAUAAGACUUUAUUAAUUAAGGAAAUAUUUCUAUAAAUAUUGAGAUGUACGUUAAACUAAGAACAAAUCGAUUUGCCUAUUGGGCAAAUAUAAUUGAUUGAUGCUCAUCUAACUUAAUUCAAUCAAUUGAAUCAACUUAUUCACUAUUUUUGUCAGCACAAUAGAAUUCAACAUGUGUUUAUAUAUCAAUAUAUAUAUAUAUAUAUAUAUAUAUAUAUAUAUAUAUAUAUAUAUAGUUAUAUAUGAAUUUAUAAAACAUAUACACAUGUAUACGUUAAAAGUAGUAGAUGAAUGUUGGUUGGCUUUGAAGAAUUUCUUAUGUAAAGGUUAGGUUUAAUUGUAUUAUUUUUAUAUCUUUAUUAUCUUAUUAUUUUAUUUCAAUUUACAUAUGCUAGAUGAAUGUGGGUCGACUUUGAAUUUUUUUUUAGGUAAAUGUUAGGUUUAACUGUAUUAUUGUAAUUUCUCUAUUAGUUUAUUAUUUUGUGGUAUUUUACAGUUCGUAGAUGAAUCUCGAUCGGCUUUGAUAAUUUUUUGUGCAUAAAAUUUAAGUUUAAUUGUAUUUUUUUGAUAUUAAUUUUAUCGUAAUAUUUUGUUGUAGUUUACAGAUGAUAGAUACAUUUUGAUCGACUUGAAAAAAAAAUUAUGUAAAGGUUAGGUUUAGUUGUAUUAUUUUGAUAUCUCUAUUAUCGUAUUAUUUUGUUAUUAUUUACAGGUGGUAGAUGAGUGUCGGAUGACUUUGAGAAAAUUUCCGUGUGUAAAGAUUAGAUUUAAUUGUAUUAUUUUGAUGUAUCUAUCAUUGUGUUGUUUUGUUGCAUUUUACAAAUGGUAGAUAAAUGUCGAUCGAUUUUUUAAAAUACUUUCGGUAAAGAUUAGGUUCAAUAAAUAAAUUAUACAUCUUUACAUACUCAAAAAAAAUACUAAAUUUAAUUAUUAUAUUCAUCUUUAUUAUUUAAUCAAAUAUCUUAUUUAGUGUAAUGUUUAAACUCAUUAAAGUAAGGUAUACAUGCCUUUUAAAAUUUUAUUUUUAUCUUUAAUCAAUAUUUAAGGAUACAAGGAUUACUUUAGAUUGCAAAUUAAUCUUUUAUUUUUUAUUAAAUAUCGUAUAAGUCAAAUAAUACCACAUAAAAGCAAAUGGAAAAAGUAAAUAAGUAUUUCAUUCAGUUUAUUUUAGUUGGUUUAUAUUUCUUCGUCCAUAUUUACUUGUUCCAUAUAAUAAAAUUUUAAUAAUAAAAACACAACGGUUCAAACAUUAACAUCUAGAAUUUAGAUUCAAUUCCUCAUAUUGUCAGUCUAAGUAUUUCACUAAAGUCAUUUAUCUUUUUUCUGUUCCAAUAAUAUUAUUCAACUUUGUACAUUUUUCUUAUAAAUUAAUAAUUACUAAAAUAAUCCUUAUUCUUAAAAAAAAUAAAAAUAAUCCCUUAAGUUCAUUUUUGAAUUGGAAUGAUCCGUGUUCUUUAACAAUAUGAAAUACUAAUAAUUUUUUAAUUAUAAAAAUAGUGUGUGUAAUUUUAAUUCAACUUCUAGUUGUAAUAUUAAAAUAACAUAGUCCACCAUAAAAUAUGAUUGAUACUUAAGAGUUCAAUUAUAAAAUAACGUUUUCUAUUUAUUUAUUUUAUGAUUAAUUUUUAUUUUUUGAUAAAAUAGUUCAAAUUUAGUUGUUACCUUCUUCUAAAAAUUAUUCAGAAAAUUCAUAAUUCAUAUAUAAGACGGUGAAUUCCUUCAACCUCCCGGCUCUCUAGCUAGUAGAAAAACAAUCAUAUAUAAAUAUUUUAAAGAAUUUCUAUAAUAAAUUUAAAAUAUUGAUAAAGGACAUCGUGAUAAUAUCAUAAAUCAAUCAACAUCAAAUAAAAUUAGAAAAAUUCAUAUAAGCAUUGUGUAAUUUAAAAAUAUUAAAAUUUUUAAAUAUUCUUUUUGUCAAUUUUGUAAUAUUAUUUGGAAAAAACUAUAUUACCUCUUCAACUUGAUUUUAAAAACUAAAUACAUCACUCAAUUUUAUUUUAUUUUUUUUGCUUUUUAAUAUUAUGAUAUGUCUUUUUAAAUUUCAUUACUAUCUCCGUUUCAUUUUAGUUGGACGUUUUACUAAAAAUAAAUGUCUCAUAUUAGUUGAUCACUUACUAGAUCGAAAUAGAAUUAAUUAGUUUUUUCCAUAAUAUCCCUACAAUUCAUAGUAUACAUUAAAAUGUGAACAAUAUCAAUUUCAAUAUUCAUUUCUAUGCUCAUAUCAUUAAUAUUGCUAAAGGGUAAAAUAGUAAAAUUUUCAUUAAAUUUAUGAUUUCUUAAUCAACAUUUAAAAUGAAAUGUGUCCAAAUAAAAAGGGAUAGAGGGAGUAUGCAAUGAAGUAAAAAUGUGAAAUAUAAUUGGAGGCUUAUUACUAUUUAAAAUAAAAGAAUAAAGACUAUUUAAAUUCAUGAUUUAACUUAAAAUAUGAUUUUGUUCAUAUUUUUACAAAGAAUAAAGAUUAUUUUAACGAUUGUUAGUUCGUAAGGAAAAUGCACAAAGUUAAAUGAUUUUAUUGGUGUGAAAAAAAAAAAUAAGUAACUUUAGUAAGUCAUUUUCCUAAGUUGAGAGACAAUAUGAGAAAUUUGACUCCUAGUUUUUAUAUAAAUAUGAUUAAAAUUUUAAAAAUUUAAUGAUGUAAUUAUACUUCUGCAAUUAAAUAAUUCUAAUUUUAUUAUUUUAAUGCUAAGAACAAUUAAAAUUCCUUAAAUAAGAGAGGAAUAUAUUUUAAUUAUUUUUCAAUAUACUUGACAUAUUUCUAACUUUUUCUCAUACACAGUCGAUCAAUUUAUUAUUCACUUCAAAAUUAAUUUAAAAUAUUCUAAAAGAAUGAAAUCACUUUUCUAUUCGAUGGUUUUAAAAAAAAAAAAAAAAAAAAGUAGGGCGAAGGGGAUUCCUUAAAGCAUUAUGUAAACCUUGUCCCAUUUGCUAGUAGGUAGUAAUUCGCCGAUGAUGGUUAAGGAACAAACAAACUAUCAUCCUCUCAAAAUGAGCGGAAUAAAUUGAAUUUGAAUGAGUUAAUUAUAGGUCAAAAUGGAUCAGUCUAAACUGAUAAAUAAGCACAUGAGUCCAAUUUAUUGAGUGUGAAUUCUCAGUGAUAAAAUAAAAAAAAUAAUUCUAAGAAUAAGACGAAGCAACUUCUUUAACUUUAUUUUUUUAAUACAGAUCAUUCAAACUUGAUUUGAUUGAACGAGUUAUUUUUUUGUGGAUUAAUUUAACACAUCUUCUAAGGAGACUUAUCUAAACAAAAUACAAAAUUCAAAUCCUAUUUUUUCUUUUUUUUUUGUGAUGUAAAUUGCCACAAGAUACGUUAGCACGUAAGUUAGUUUAAGCUUAGAAAGCAACAUUUCAUUUGACUGAAUCACAAUUCUUUAUUCUUUCUUUAUUUUUUUUUCCCCUCUCAUCUGUUCUGCGAUUUUUGCCCCUUUUUUGAUCCAGUCAAUCACUGUAAGUCCGACAUCCAAACCCUAUUUUUUUGAUAUAUUUUUUGAGUUUUUAUUAGAUCGUUAAUUGUUUUUAAUUGAUUUAUGUUAGUGAUUUUAUUGAUUUUGUUUUUUUGUUUUUUUUUGUUUGUGCGUUUUUGAUUUUGGAUAAGGGAUUGAUGUAAAGUUGAUUUUUUUUAAUUGAUUUAUGUUAGUGAUUUUGUUUUUUGGGGUUUUGUAUUUAUGGGUUUUGGAUUUUGGAUAAUGGGUCAGUAUAAAAGUUGGAAUCUUUUUUCGAUUUAAGUUUUUUUUUCUUUAAAUUGAUAUAUGUAAGUGAUUUCUUGAUUUUGUCUGAUUCUGUUUUUUUUGGGGGUUUUGGAUUUGUGGGUUUUUGAUUGUGGGUUGGUGUAAAGCUGGAAAUCUUUAUUUGAUUUUGAGGGGAAAAGGGGGAUUUUUUGAAUUUUUGAUUUUUGAUUUCUGUGUUGAUUUGAUGUGGUUGUUUUUGAAUUGGAUCGAGUGGAAAAGGUUGAUGUUUUUGUGAGUUUUGACUUUGUUGGUUAGUUGUUUUUUAGUUUUGACUUGGAUGUGUGUAUAUAAUCUUUUUAGUGGUUCUUUUAUGGAUUCUGUACAGCUGUUGUAUUAGCUGUAUUUUUUUAAAUGACUUGGGGAAUUUGUUUUUAAACCUUGCCCAGACCCGACCUUGUGAGAUUAUGAUACAAGUAUGAUCGUGAUUGUGGAUCAAUAUGUAAUGACUCAAGCUCGGGUGGCUGCCCAAACAAUGGAACACGCUUUGAAGUGUAGAGAUCAAGUCCCAACACUCCAAAGCCAUCCAAUAUGCACACUCCAAGGCCUCCCCUUUGUCUUGACUCAUUAAGAGCAUUUUAGUCAUUUUGUAUUAAAUUGAAACCUAGGCUAUAUAAAUAGAACAUGUUAGGUCAUUUUGUCAUAACUUAGAUGAUAUUUUGAGAGCUCUUUGAGAGUGUUCAUACAAUUGGAUAUCACUUGUAACGUGUGGAAUCACUUGUGUUGGUUGCUUGGGGAUUUUGUUCCCUUGAGGUCACCGUAAGAACUUGAUGUUAUUUGUAUGAAUUCUUGGGUUUUAGUGUUCAAUAUACACUUUGGUUCAUAGUGUUUGUGCAUUGUGUGUCAAGUUAUCUAUCAUUCUAUCUUAUUAUUGUUGUUGUGUUCAUUCUCAGUUUUGGGUGUCCAAACCCGAGACCUUAUUGUGUCAUUUUUGUUCUUGUUAUUGUGUUGUAAUCUUAGUUUGUGGCUCGCUAAUUAUAGGUGUUGAACACCUUAGAAUCUUGUUGUUAUCGUGCUUGUAUUGUUAUUGUAUAGUAAAUUCGAGAGGGGUCACCAAAAGGGGUCCUCGGUUCUUCAAAUCAUGGACUGUUUUGGUGUGUGUUAGUGUCUUCCUUGUCGAUCUUGUAUCAUUUGAUAUCAAAGCCAUCUUUGAUUUUGUUUUAACAAGAUCAAUCUUGGGUUUGAGAGUUGAAAAAAAAAUUUAAAAAUAAAUUAAAAAAAAAGUGAAGGGUUCUUGAGAUUGUUCUUGGCCGAAAGUUGGGUCUUGUUGUAGUCUUGGCCGAGACAUUUUCUUUGUGACUAGAGCUUGUAGUCUUUUGUUUGUUUAGAUUGUUUCUAGUUUUGGUUUCUUUCUCACCAACACUAAAAAUGUCUUGAUCUAAAGGUUUGAGCUUAUGUUGUUUAACUUGUUGUAAACUUGAAGUUGGCCAUGGGUUGAUAUUGUUGUUCUUGACUGAGUGGUACAAUUGUUGUGGACUUGGAGAUGAAUAUUGGUGGAGUUGUUGUUCUUGAGAAAUUAUUGUUGUGAUCUUGUUGUUCUUGAAAUGUCUUGACCAAUAUAAAGUAUAACAUAGAUCCAAAAAGGUGUAAGAUAAAGUUGAAAAGUUAUUGGUGAAGAGACUUGAACACAUCACUUCAAAGACUUGUCAAUCACUUUUUCAUAUUUCAAGGACCUUGUUUUGUGGGAAUAGUACAAGUCAAGUCUCUCCUUUUUGAGUGAAUUUGAAAAAGUUUCUAAGACUUGAAUUUUUCCACCAAAAGGCAAAUUCUUCCAUUCCAAAUUGUAUCAAGACAAAAGCUUCAAGUUGGUGAUUAAAAUUGUGUGGGACCGUGACCAGUUACGUGGCUACCACGUCAUCACGUUUUACUGUUCACGCAACAUAAUUAAGCUCAAAUUUUUGAUUUCUUAGUUUCUAAUCUUUGUUUCUUAGUUGCAUUUUGUUGAUUCUAUUGCUAAUUAGUAAUUGUCUACUAGGCUGUAAAUUAGUUUUUGGGUCCGUUUAUUCGUGUCUACAUUUCUUUGUGUGCUUUUAUCUUUUUGAAAUUCGUUGUAGUUUCUUUAGUUUCUUGGUUCAAGUCCGUACGUAUUUUCUUUGAGUUGUUUCAAAAGAGAAUCUAUUCCGACCUCGAGCCCCAAUUGAAAAUCUCCUUGGAGUAUAAACGAGUUACCAACACUUGUGAGGCCAAUUGAGAGGCAUUUCAAAGUGGGAGAGCUUGAGAGCUUGUGAGGAUGUUUUCUUUUCUAACAUUAACUAGUUUGUUGUUUUUUGUGUUUUUGUUUUAGAAUUUCUUUUGUUAGGAACUAUGGCAUUGGAAAAGGUGACCAUGAACGAUUUGAUGGCUGCCAUAAUUGAUAUGAAACGUGACCUUAGUAGUUGAAUGGAGAGAAUGGAAAAAAUAAUGGACCGAGUGGAAGGAAGAAUGGAAGGGACGGAAAGCUCUCUUUGCAAGGAGUUGGAUAACUUGAUAGAGAAUCCAAGUCUUCCUAAUCAAGUUCCUGUGAGUGGACAUGCUACACAUGAGUUACAAGNNNNNNNNNNNNNNNNNNNNNNNNNNNNNNNNNNNNNNNNNNNNNNNNNNNNNNNNNNNNNNNNNNNNNNNNNNNNNNNNNNNNNNNNNNNNNNNNNNNNNNNNNNNNNNNNNNNNNNNNNNNNNNNNNNNNNNNNNNNNNNNNNNNNNNNNNNNNNNNNNNNNNNNNNNNNNNNNNNNNNNNNNNNNNNNNNNNNNNNNNNNNNNNNNNNNNNNNNNNNNNNNNNNNNNNNNNNNNNNNNNNNNNNNNNNNNNNNNNNNNNNNNNNNNNNNNNNNNNNNNNNNNNNNNNNNNNNNNNNNNNNNNNNNNNNNNNNNNNNNNNNNNNNNNNNNNNNNNNNNNNNNNNNNNNNNNNNNNNNNNNNNNNNNNNNNNNNNNNNNNNNNNNNNNNNNNNAAAAGGAAAUGCAUCCUAAACCCGUGUCUAUGGACACUCCACCCAUUUGAUCCCGGUGAUUAUUUGAAAUAUGGUGAUGAGGAUGUCUUUUGGAAUGACUUGAAUGUGCAUGGAAUUUAUGGCCUUCCUAUCUCGGCUUUCAAGCCUAUUUGUUGUUCCAAGAAGAGUCUAUGUUUUCCACUUGAUGAACAACUCUUAUUCCUUGUUUCUUAUCACACUUAUGUGGAUAGACUAGUUGACUCUUUCUUGGGAGGGUAUUCGGGUAAGAGGGAUGUUUGGGUGUAUGUGAAGUUUGAGCCACCUUGGCAAGAUGUUAUGAUUGAUUACACUAAUCCUAACUCUCAUACCUUGAGGAACUUGUGUUUGCUUGUCCUUCCUAUUAUUUUGCAAGGUUCAGAUUUGAGGUCGAAUUCUUUUUCAAAAAGGGGAGGAUGAUACUAGUAUGAUCGUGAUUGUGGACCAAUACGUAAAGACUCAAGCUCGGGUGGCUGCCCAACCAAUGGAACAAGCUUUGAAGUGUAGAGAGCAAGUCCCAACACUCCAAAGCCAUCCAAUAUUCACACUCCAAGGCCUCCCCUUUGUCUUGGCCCAUUAAGGGCAUUCUAGUCAUUUUGUAUUAAGUUGAAACCUAGGCUAUAUAUAGAACAUGUUAGGUCAUUUUGUCAUAACUUAGAUGAUAUUUUGAGAGCUCUUUGAAAGUGUUCAUACAAGUGUGGAUAUCACUUGUGACAAGUGUGGAAUCACUUGUGUUGGUUGCUCGUUUUGAAACGUUGGUUGCUUGGGGAUUUCAUUCCCUUGAGGUCACCGUAAGAACUUGAUGUUAGUGUUCAAUAUACACUUUGGUUCAUAGUGUUUGUGCAUUGUGUGUCAAGUUAUCUAUCAUUCUAUCUUAUUAUUGUUGUUGUGUUCAUUCUGGGUUUUGGGUGUCCAAACCCGAGACCUUGUUGUGUCAUUUUUGUUCUUGUUAUUGUGUUGUAAUCUUAGUUUGUGGCUCGCUAAUUAUAGGUGUUGAACACCUUAGAAUCUUGUUGUUAUCGUACUUGUAUUGUUAUUGUGUAGUGAAUCCGAGAGGGGUCACCAAAAGGGGUCCUCGGUUCUUCAAAUCAUGGACCGUUUUGGUGUGUGUUAGUGUCUUCCUUGUCUAUCUUGUAUCAGAUUGCACUGGGUAUGUUGUUGUUUUUCUCAACUUACACUAUUAGUUUUAACUCUUUUGCGGCGACAAUUAUAGUUUACGAGUGAAUGGAUUGUUUGAUUAGAACGGAAUGCUUAUGUUUCAAAUUAAUUCAUUGCGUUUUACUUUGUUGCGGAAGGUUGAUGUUUGUGGAUAUAAGAGUUUGACUUUGUUGGUAAUUGUUUUUAAGUUUUGAUUUGAAUGUGUGUGGAUAAUCUUUCUAUGGUUGUCCAUGGAUUCGGUAAAGCUGUUGUAUGUGAGGUGAAUUAUGGUUAGGUGACUCUAUUUAGCUAAUGUUACUGUUCUUUGAUUCUAUUCUCUUGCACUGAUUUUUAAUUAGCUGCUAUGUUUUCUUCGCUAUCGUUGUUUCCUUUUCAUUACUACUUUGAUUUGCUUCACUUGAGUCGAGAGUCUUUUGGAAACAGGCUCUCUACCUCCAUGAGGUAGGGUAAGGUUUGCAUACACUCCACAUCCUCCAGACCCCACUUUCACUUUUUGUGAUUUAACUGGGUAUGUUGUUGUAGAGACAAUUAUAGUUUACUAGUGAAUGGUUUGUGUGAUUGGAAUGCUUAUGUUUUAAAUUAGUGUAUUGUGUUUUACUUUGAUGCUUUUUGGAUAUAAGAGUUUGGCCUUGUUUGUAGUUGUGUUUAAUUUUGACUUGGAUAUAUGAAGAUAAUCUUUCUAUGGUUCUUUAUGAAUUCGGUAGUGCUGUUGUAUGUGAGGUGAAUAUUUUUUUUCUUUUUCUUUUUUAAAACUGACUUAGGGAAUUAGUUCUUUCUUGUAGAGGAAACUAUAGUUUAUGAGUGAAUGGAUUGUGUGAUUGGCAUGCUUGUGUUUCGAAUUAAUAUAAUGCGAUUUACUUUGUUGGUGAAGGUAACCAUGAGAGACCAAGGAGAAAAGACCUGUCCUCUCUGUGCUGAGGAGAUGGAUUUGACAGAUCAGCAGUUGAAGCCUUGCAAGUGUGGCUAUCAGGUUUGUAAUCUUCAAGUUUGCUACUUUGGAAUAAUAUCUGGGUCAUUAGAGGACUAGUCAUUGUUAUUCACAUGUUCUCCCUGUCAAGACAUGCUUAUUAGGGUUGGAGUUGCUUUACUGGUAUUUGGUGGUAGUUCUGUAUUCUUAGACAUCUAAUUUUGUCUUGAAAGUGAUAGGACCGUGGAAAUCUGUCUAGAUUUUAAGUGCACGUAGCACUGUGCGGGUAUUAAUGAAACUGCAAAAUUAAGAAAUUAAAUAAAAAAUUAACCGUGUCAUUCAAGAAUAAAAACUGUACACACAAAUCACAAUUAUAUGGAAAGAAGAAUAAGUAAAGAACUACAAUAUCAGAUCAGCGAGUAGUUUUGGUUAGUGAAGCUCCCUUAGCACCUUAGUACUUGCACUGAAGUAUCAGCUAAACAAGGUGAAUUAGCCUGUCUGCACCUAGCUUCAGACCGUAAGCACAUCUCAAGACAGUCUAUGAUGGCAACACUAUCUGAAUUUUUCGGAACUUUUUGGUGAAAUUGUUUUAAUGGUUUUUGGAGCUCAGCCUUAGGAUGUCGCUUCUGAAAAAAAAUCUUUUAUGCAGUCUCUCCAUUCUUUAAUGUGGAAUUGUAUAAAUUAACCUUGGGGGCUGCCUUGAAGGGUUUUGUUGGGGUUUUUUUUUUUUUUGGGNNNNNNNNNNNNNNNNNNNNNNNNNNNNNNNNNNNNNNNNNNNNNNNNNNNNNNNNNNNNNNNNNNNNNNNNNNNNNNNNNNNNNNNNNNNNNNNNNNNNNNNNNNNNNNNNNNNNNNNNNNNNNNNNNNNNNNNNNNNNNNNNNNNNNNNNNNNNNNNNNNNNNNNNNNNNNNNNNNNNNNNNNNNNNNNNNNNNNNNNNNGGGAAAGAGAGGUUGAGAGAGGGAUAUAUAAGUUUCCGUUUCCACCUAUUCUCCUCGAUUGAUGCUAGAAGAUAUCUGUUCAGGGAUGUGGCAGCGGAAACACUUAGAAUUGGUGCCGGAAGAGUGCGUGCUUGCAUGUCCUUAUUUGAACUCUAUUAUGCACUAAAUUUUCGAACACCUGCGUAGAUGGUCCAUUGGAUUUGGGGUUUUUUAAAGUUACUAUGUAGGAACAUCCAAUUUUUAAGCUUCCGUUUCCUUUUAUCUUUGGAGCCAAAAUGAUAAGAACACCUACAGCUCUUCACAAACACUUCAUGUUCCUAAAGGAGAAGAUGUUAAAUAUGGAGUAACCAUAAGCAAACAUACAUAUUCCCGAAGCUAUUCUUGGCAUAUGCUCCACCUUCAUGCCCAGCAUACAUAAAAAGAGAUCCAGAAUGCUUGAGUGAGACCUGAAAAUAAAUAUCCCGCAUAAAAACCCAUUAUUAAGAAACAAGUUUUAACAAUUCAAAGAAAGGAAUACAAAAAAGAGAGUGAACCUGUUGUGGAUCUGUGGAAGUCAACUAAUUAAACAUUUAAUUAGAUUUUAGUAGUUUUAUUUAUUAUUAUAGAAUAGGGUUUUAUAUUUCCUACUUUCAUAAGGAUUAAGACUUUCUAGAAUAGGGUUUUAUAUUUUCUAUUUUCAUAAGGAUUAGACUUUCUAGAAUAGGGUUUUAUAUUUUCUAUUUUCAUAAGGAUUAGACUUUCUAGAUUAGGAUUUUAUUUUUCUUACUUUCAUAAGAAUUAGACUAUUGAUGUAAUACUCCUAUUUAAAGGUGUUUUUGGAGAAUAAAUCAAUAAGUCGUAUUUCAGCAAAUAGCAAGAGAUUGGGUUCUCUCUUCCAUUGAACUCUAAGGUUUCAGUCUUCCUUUAACGAGCUGAAGAGAUCGGAGUUCUCUCUUGCAUUGAAUUCGAAGGUUUCAGCCUCCCUUGAACAAGCUGAAAUUAUGCAUCGCCCUGUGAAUCGAUCUUUCCCCUAGAAAUCCUAACAAUUUGGUAUCAGAGCCCUAACGUAAUGGGCGACGAAAUCAAUUUCAGAUUUCAGGACGUGUGCUUACAAAAACCCUAAUGGACUCUAAAAUUGCAGCAAUGGAACGUCUCUGUGAAAGAAUUGUUUAAGUCAUCCAAGAACAAUUUUCUGGCAUGAGAAUUGGCUCCACAAAAUUAGCAAUGCAGGGAACGGAGUCGAGUAGUGUCCUAACAACUGGCAAAUCAACAAUUGUUGCUACACUGCCUAUUCAACUAGCCGACCAGAAUCAUCCAUCAAAAGGUAAUUCACAUUCGACAGUACCAAGGUAUGCAAAGAUGGAUUUUCCUACUUAUGACGACACCGACGACCCAUUAAUUUGGGCAUAUCUUUUUGAACAAUUUUUUGAAAAUCAACAUACAACGGAAGCGAAAAAGGUUGGAGUCGCCAGAUUUCACAUCUUGGGAGAAGAACAAUUAUGGUACUAUCAACUUAAACGAGUAAAGGGCCCAAUGAGUUGUAAAGAAUUUCAAAAACAUUAUUUCCAACGAUUUGGACCUGGUGAAAGUAGCAACCGGUGGGCAAAUUAGUCACACUCCGGCAAAUUGGUGAAGUUGAUAGAUAUUUCAAGAAAAGUUGGCUAGGGCUGGAAUUGGAUGGUUCGGUUCACACUAUUCUCUGGAAUUCAAGCUUGAGGACAAGCUCUUUCAACGUGAGGGGAGUAGAUCAAUUUAUUGUUAUAAUUCGUUGGAGCUAUAUUGAAUUAGAUCAAUUUUGAUAUUUAAACGAUAUGAAAAGUCUUCUUAUACCAAUUGCACUUCCAAUGUUGAAUUAAAUCAAUUUAAUGUUUUUCAAACUGAAAUUUAGAUGUUAAAAGAUGAUAUGAAAAGUAGUGUGCAAUUUUACUCAUGCCGAACAAUAACGUAUAUUUCUUCUUUAAACUCUUUGUGAAUCAAUUUAUUGUUAUUAAUUCUUCGGAGCUAUAUUGAAUUAGAUCAAUUUUGACAUUUAAACUAUAGUAUUGUUAUACUAGUUGCACUUUUAGUUUUGAAAACUGCACUUCCAAUUAGUUGAGGUGCGCGCAAUCUGGCCCGGACACCAUGGUUAUCAAAAAAAAAACUGCACUUCCAAUUUUGAAUUGGAUCAAUUUAAUGUCUUUCAAAUUGAAAUUUAGAUGUUAAAAGAUGAUAUGAAAAGUAGUGUAUGGUGCAAUUUUACUCAUGCCGAACAGUAACAUAUAUUUUUUUUUCAUUUUUAACUCUCUGUGUAUCAAUUUAUUGUUAUAGUAAUUCUUUGGAGCUAUAUUGAAUUAGAUCAAUUUUGAUAUUUAAACUAUAUGAAAAGUAUUGUUAUACCAAUUGCACUUUCAGUUUUGAAAACUGCACUUCCAAUUUUGACUUACAUCAAUUUAAUGCUUUUCAAAUUGAAAUUUGGAUGUUAAAAGAUGAUAUGAAAAGUAGUGUAGGGUUUAAUAUCUGUCAUAUUAGUGAGAUGGAAGAAAGUAUCAUUCUAAAUGUUGGGUCAAAGUUCAAACCUUUUGAAUUAACAGUUCAUUUUUUGUUUUUUGGAAAUGCAGAGAAAGGUUGGUUAUAAUAAAGAAAAGAAAUGGCAAGUGAGGCCAAGUUCGAACAGGGCGUCAGGUUCGCCUUCAGGUGGCGAAUCUGUAUCUUCUGCAACUACAGAAGCCAUUACCAGUCGUCUAAAUACCUUGAAUAUUACUGAAAGCGGUGCACAGUCUAGUGGUCCAGUCGCAUCUCUUCAGUUUGGGAGCGUUGAUUUAGCACCCCAGUCACUUGUGCAGCAUCAAAAAGUCAUCUGGAAACACAAAUCAUAUGGAACAGUAUCAGCCCCAACAGUGGAAGCUGAAAAAACACCAAAUGAACAAAAAAAUGUUCAAUUAAGUAAAUUAUUCAAGGGUAACUUAUUAGAGAAUUUUACUGUAGAUAACUCAACAUUCUCAAGAACCCAAGUAAGGGCCACCUUCUAUCCAAAAUUUGAGAAUGAGAAAUCUGAUCAGGAGGUAGUGAUCUCUCCAACUUCUCUUUUUCUAUGGUUCAUGAUGCGUAAAAGUGGUGAUUCAUGAAUAGUAGUGUGGCUCUUUCAGAUUAGGACAAGGAUGAUAGAGAUGGUCUUCAAAGGCUUGGCUACAAUGGAGGUAUAUCUCAAGCUUGAUUGGCUUUUGAUGUUAUGCUAAUUUAAUUUUCGUUUAUUCCUUUAUUGGGAUGGUACAUUGCCUUGUACAAGGCUGAUCGUAUGUUUAGUUUACUUUACCAUUUUUGGCCCUCCAUCAAAACAACACUCUAGGAUGCUUAUUCUAGAACAGGGUUUCAUAUUUCCUACUUUCAACAUGAGGGGCGUAAUGUUGUGGAUCUAUGGAAAUCAAUUAAUUAAAUAUUUAAUUAAUUGAUUUCCACGGAUCCACAACAUUACUCCCCUCACGUUGAAAGAGCUUGUCCUCAAGCUUGAAUUCCAGAGAAUAGUGUGAACCGAACCAUCCAAUUCCAGCCCUAGCCAACUUUUCUUGAAAUAGACAUUGAUAGAUUUCAACUUCACCAAUUUGUCGGAGUGUGACUAAUUUGCCCGCCGGUUGCUAUUUUCACCAGGUCCAAAUCGUUGGAAACAAUGUUUUUGAAAUUCUUUCCAACUCAUUGGGCCCUUUACUCAUUUAAGUUGAUAGUACCAUAAUUGUUCUUCUCCCAAGAUGUGAAAUCUGGCGACUCCAACCUUUUUCGCUUCCGUUGUAUGUUGAUUUUCAAAAAAUUAUUCACAAAGAUAUGCCUAAAUUAAUGGGUCGUCGGUGCCGUCAUAAGUAGGAAAAUCCAUCUUUGCAUACCUUGGUACUGUCGAAUGUGAAUUACCUUUUGAUGGAUGAUUCUGGUCGGCUAGUUGAAUAGGCAGUGUAGCAACAAUUGUUGAUUUGCCAGUUGUUAGGACACUACUUGACUCCGUUCCCUGCGUUGCUGAUUUUGUGGAGCCAAUUCUCAUGCCAGAAAAUUGUUCUUGGAUGACUUACACAAUUCUUUCACAGAGACGUUCCAUUGCUGCAAUUUUAGAGUCCAUUAGGGUUUUUGUAAGCACACGCUCUUUCUGGAAUCUGAAAUUGAUUUCAUUGCCCAUUGUGUUAGGCUCUGAUACCAAAUUGUUAGGAUUUCUAGGUAAAAGAUCGAUUCACAGGGCGAUGCAUAAUUUCAGCUAGUUAAAGGGAGGCUGAAACCUUCAAAUUCAAUGGAAGAGAGAACUCCGAUCUCUUCAGCUCGUUAAGGGGAGACUGAAACGUUAGAGUUCAAUGGAAGAGAGAACCAAUCUCUUGCUAUUUGCUCUAAUACGACUUAUUAAUUUAUUCUCCAAAAACACCUUUAAAUAGGAGUAUUAUAUCAAUAGUUUAAUCCUUAUGAAAUUAGGAAAAAUAAAACCCUAAUCUAGAAAGUCUAAUUCUUAUGAAAAUAGAAAAUAUAAAACCCUAUUCUAGAAAGUCUUAAUUCUUAUGAAAGUAGGAAGUAUAAAACCCUAUUCUAUAAUAAUAAAUAAAACUACUAAAAUCUAAUUAAAUGUUUAAUUAGUUGACUUCCACAGAUCCACAACAGGUUCACUCUCUUUUUUGUAUUCCUUUCUUUGAAUUAUUAAAACUUGUUUCUUAAUAAGGGGUUUUUAUUGGGGAUAUUUAUUUUCAGGUCUCACUCAAGCAUUCUGGAUCUCUUUUUAUGUAUGCUGGGCAUGAAGGUGGAGCAUAUGCCAAGAAUAGCUUCGGGAAUAUGUAUGUUUGCUUAUGGUUACUCCAUAUUUAACAUCUUCUUCUCCUUUAGGAACAUGAAGUGUUUGUGAAGAAUCGUUGGACUGCAUUAAAGUGGUCAUGCAUCCUUUUGUCAUUUUCUGAUACAAGUUUUGUUCAGUUUUCGAUUAGAACUUUUAAAGUUAAUUUGAAUCUUUCCUUCUAGUAGCCCUGACCUUAUGUGGUGUUGUAUUUGCAAGUAGUUGAUUCUAUGCCAUCAUCUUUUGUAUGCAAAAAUUAUUGGUGUAACUAUUUUUCUUUUGGUAGUCUUAAUUGUGCUUGCGUUGCCGGGAGGCUUUGUCGAUAUGCAUGGUGGUUUUGGUUUCGGGGAGAGGAAUGAUGAGGGAGCAACUCUGUUGGAGUUUGCGAGGUCUGUUGGGCUGGUGGUGGUGAAUUUGAGCUUUCUAAAGAAGGACGAUCACCUGAUCACCUUUCGAAGCGCGAUGGCCAAAACCCAAAUUGACUUUUUGCUACUUAGAAAAGGGGAUAGGGUGUUGUGUAAGGAUUGUAAGGUCAUCCUGAGUGAGAAUCUUUCGACCCAGCAUAGGCUCUUAGUGAUGGACUUGGGUAUGAAGAAGGAUAGGAAGAGAAGGGGCGAGGAAGGUAGACCUAGAAUUAAGUGGGGCGGCUUAACGCCGGUGAAUGCGCGGGUGAUAGGGGAUAAGGUGGCGGGAAUAGGGGUGUGGGAGUGUAAGAGGGCGUGGAUAAUAUGUUGGAUAGGGUGGCUAGGUGCAUUAAGGAGAAUGCUAGUGAGGUGUUGGGUGUUUCCAAGGGCCGGGUCGGAAUGAUGUAGUUAAGAAGAAAGUGGAGACUAAGAAAGGAGCGUAUGCUAAGUUGGUUGAGAGUAAGGAUGAAGAAGAGAAGCGGGUUAACAGGAUUGAGUAUAAGUUAGCUAGGAAGGAGGCUAAGUUGGCAGUUACGGUAGCCAAGAUUGCAGCUUUUGAGAGCUAGUUACGGGGUUGCAGGAGAGAGGAGGGGAAAAGAGGUUGUUUAGGCUCGCUAAGGCUAGGGAGAGAAGGAGCUGGGACCUCGAUCAGGUGAAGUGCAUUAAGGGGGAGGAUGGUAGGGUGUUAGUGGAGGACGGUCACAUUAAGAAAAGAUGACAGACAUAUUUUUAUAGGCUUUUGAAUGAUGAAGGGGAUAGAGCUAUUGUGUUAGGUAAGCUCGAGCACUCUGAGGAGUGUCGGGAUUUUAGUUAUUGUAGGCGUUUUAGGUGGAGGAGGUUAGAGAGGCUGUUCGCAGGAUGCGAAGGGGUAGGGCGACGGGGCUUGAUGAAAUCCCUAUGGAGUUUUGGAAGUUUUCUGGUGAGGCUGGUUUAAGGUGGUUGACUGAUUUGUUUAACGGCAUCUUCAAGACGGCGAAAAUGCCCGAGGCUUGGAGAUGGAGUUCUUUGAUCCCUCUUUAUAAGAACAAGGGUGACAUUCAGAGUUGCAACAACUAUAGGGGUAUUAAGUUAUUGAGUCACACUAUAAAGAUUUGGGAGAGAUUAGUAGAGGUGAGGUUGAGAAGGAUAGUGUCUAUUUCGGAGAACCAGUUUGGAUUUAUGCCCGGGCGCUCGAUGACGGAGGCUGGUGAAACAAUAUAGGGAGAGGAAGAAGGACCUGCAUAUGGUGUUUAUCGACUUGGAGAAGGCAUACGACAAAGUCCCUAGGGAGGUCCUUUGGAGGUGCUUGGAGGUGAGUGGGGUCCCGAUGGCGUAUAUCAGAGCAAUCAAGGACAUGUAUGAUGGAACUAAAACCCUAGUUAGAACGGCCGGAGGAGAUUCAGAGCAUUUCUCUAUCUUGACAGGGUUGCAUCAGGGAUCUACUCUUAGUCCGUUUUUGUUUGCUUUGGUGAUGGAUGUAUUGACGCGGCGUAUUCAAGGAGAGGUGCCUUGGUGUAUGCUUUUUGCAGAUGAUGUGGUUUUGAUUGACGAGACGUGGGGGUGUGAAUGAUAAAUUGGAGGUGUGGAGACAGACCUUUGAGUCCAAGGGGUUCAGAGUAAGUAGGAUCAAGAUAGAAUAUUUGGAAUGCAAGUUUAAUGAAAGGAGGCAGGAGGAUGAAAUGGUUAUAAGGUUGGAUUCUCAGGUGGUGUGUAAGAGGGAUAGUUUCAAGUAUCUCAGGUCCAUGAUUCAGAGGAACGGUGAGAUUGAUGAGGAUGUCUCCCACCGUAUUGGGGCGGGUUGGAUGAAGUGGAGGCUCGCAUCGGGGGUGUUGUGUGACAAGAAGGUGCCGCCAAAGCUUAAAGGCAAAUUCUAUAAGAUGGCAGUCCGCCUGGCCAUGUUAUAUAGAGAGGAGUGUUGGCCAGUCAAGAACUUCCACAUUCAAAAAAUGAAGGUGGCGGAAAUGCGGAUGUUGUGUUGGAUGUGUGGGUCAACUAGGGGUGAUAGAGUUCGGAAUGAGACUAUCCGGGAGAAGGUUGGAGUGACUUCGGUAGAGGACAAGAUGCGGGAAGUCCGAUUGAGAUGGUUCGGACACGUGAUGAGGAGAAGCACGGACGCUCCGGUUCGUAGGUGUGAGAGACUAGCUUUGGAGGAUUUUAGGCGGGGUAGGGGUAGGCCGAAGAAGUACUGGAGAGAGGUGAUUAGGCGGGACAUGGAGCAGUUACAACUUACGGAGGAUAUGACCCUAGAUGGGAGGAUCUGGAGGUCGCGAAUUAGGAUAGAAGACUAGUGUCGGUUUGGGUCACCAUUGUAGGGUAUUACUUGGGGGGUGUACUAUUUAUUGCUAUGCCAUCCUGUUUCAUGCUCUAUUGCGAAGUUGUUUACUUUUCCAUAUCUAAUAUUAUCUUUGAGUGUCGCAUUUAUGUUAUGUCGUAUUGUUUCAUGCUUUAUUAUUAUGGAUUUGAUUAUUAUUCAUUGUAUUGAGUCGGGGAUCUAUCGGAAACAACAUUUCUACUUCUUCGGAGGUAGUGGUAUGGACUGCGUACAUCUUACCCUCCCCAGACCCUACUAUGUGAAUAUACUGGGUUUGUUGUUAUAGUCUUAAUUGUGCUCAGUGGUUGUUGCUCAAACAACUUUGUCGAGUCAUAGCUGUGUUAUUGUUAAAAAGCAGUGGGAUGUGAGAGGGGGUUCAUAUAAAAUUCAUCUUCUUCCUUAUAAGUUUGACAAACUCAUCAACUGUUUUUCUAGGCGGUUUUAUAUUGUGCGUUGAUGCUUCUCAUUUAGUGUAAAGAUGAUAUAGGCCUGUGGGCUAUGUUGUUAGAACUCUUAAAAUAUGCUGCUAGGUGCAUGUCGGAUCCCUCAGAAGUAGUGCACUUUUGGAGGAUCCGACGUGGGUGCAACAACUUUUUGGCGAGUCUGAACAACAUAGCCUGUGGCACUAUUUACAACAAAAUUAUUCAUCCCACACCUCCCUGGCGUUCUAUUGUUGUCGAAUCAACUACUACCUGGUAAUUGUCAUGGUGGUUAACCUCUUUGAAUCUCAACUAAGGCUUGCUGCAUUAUUUGCAUGUUGAAGCUAUACUGCUGUUGGUGUUUUUGUUCUUGGACGGAUGUUUUGUGAGGCAUGGGGUACUCAAGCAAGCAAGAAGCAAGCAGAGUUCAAUGAGUUUCUUGAGGUAUUAAACUAAAAAUUGUUUGCUAUGUGGUAGAACUCAUGAUACAUACUUUAUAGAUAUUGCUGAUCCUUUCAAAUCAAUGUUUUCUUAUUACGAAUGAGCCUCAAGAAACUCAUUAAUGAUAAAUAUAGUUUAACUAAAAAAGCUUGUUGCUCUAGAAGACUUGGUGUAGUCAGAAGAAUAAAUUUGCUCAAUCUUACGUUUUUGCCUUUUAGUUUAUUCUCAAAAACUUAAGCUUUAAUUCAACCUCAUGCACUUGUGAGGUUCUCUUCCUUCUGUUUUACUUGUAAAUUUGUCGUUUAAAUUUUUCGUCUUCGCUGAUCUACUCAGUUCUAGCUUUUUCUAUUUGGCCUUUAUUCUGUUUGAUGUGCAGAUUUAAUUGGAUGCGUUGAUUGAUUUCUUAUUAUAUGUGUGAAUAUAUAUAUGUAUGUAUGUAUAUAUGUAUUCCAACCUUGUUAUUCACUAACAACAACAUACCCAGUUAUUCAUUACUUAAGAAAAAUGUUAUGAAGUCAUCAAAUUAGAUCAAAAAGGAUCUGCUGCCAAAAGACUAGAAUGCAAGUCUAGGUUUUGUUUGCAUCAUUGGCAGCAAAAAAUUCUGUAGCUCCUCCAUUUAAACUCAAUUGUCCAUGAGUAGAAGAAUUCAUAUUACUCAGACAACUGAAACUCUUAGUAAAAUGAAUCCUGAUAAUCAUUUAUGAAUCCUGAUAAUCAUUUAGUGCUCCUGAUAACUCAAAGGAACUCUUUCAACCUUUCCACUUUUUGUGUCAACCUUGCAGAUCUGCAGUGUUGAACCACAAAUGAGGUUUCUAUAUGUCAUUUGCUCUCUGGUACUGCAUAGACUAAUUCCCAGGCUUUCUUUUCUUAAUAACCGAGGAGAGAUCCCGUUAUGUAUAAAAGAUCGGGUAUCUUCCGUGGAGAACCAUGUUUUUUUGUGAGGUUCUUCUACCUUUUGGUAUACUUCUUGUCUAUGGGUAUUUAUGCGCUUCUCUAAUGAAAUAUUAUUACCUUAAAAAAAAUAACCAAGGAGAAUCCAUGAGGGUCAGAGGUGCAUGGUUCGAAAUUCGAUGGAUAAUGGGUCUACUACCCUUAAUUUAAAUAACAUGCUUUUGUCAGUGUAGUAUCUGGCUAUCAGUAGACCAAAACCUUGGGGCGACUAAUUCCAAACUUCUUGUGUUCAUAAAAAGAAGAGAUGGUUAUCACUAACUCUUACUAACAUAAAAUAGCUCUUAGGCUUUACGUGUUAUCAAACUAUAUCACGGGCUUCUUUUUUUUUCUCAAGCAAAAUAGGUCUUCUCCAGUCCUAGUCCACCUUGAUCAUCAUUGCAAACUCCAUUCAUGCUCAGAGCUUUCCACCCAAGUUACAAUAGCAGAAUCACUUUGCUCCGACAACUUUAGAUCUUUUUCCCACGUUCUAUGGCAUUUUGAACAAUGGAGGAUGUAUCUAAGGUUGAAAUAAUGGAUUAACUUACGUUUUUUAUAGUAUUACUGGUACUUCUAGAUGCUUAGCUAGUUCCACUCAAAGAUUCCCUAGACCAUCUAGGAGUUGGAAACUCAAUACAUUUUCUACACAAAUUAAAAUUCCUCAACUCUGUCUAGACCAGGAACAAACUGUUCUCCAGGAUUGGAACAAGCUGUGUUACUCUGUAAAAUCAUUGAAAAUGCUACUGAACUUGAAACUCUAGGUUAUAAUGGUUAUUUGAAGAUGCAAAGUCUUGGUUAUAAUUGUUAUUUGAUUUUUUUUCUUAAAAAUACUGAAAUGAAAUAUUUUGGCAGUUUAUGGGCUUUGGUAGAUCUUGCACUAGAGUUUUGGGGGAUAGUUUGUUCUCUAAUUUUAAAUUGUGAUAGUGGCAAUCAUUUUAUUGGUGCAAUCAUCUCCCAAGUAUGGUUAAGUGUGUCACAUAUUAUCACUGUUAAUCGAUUAUCACUUUAUUUAGAACUACCACUCUAAAAAUAUUACUCUAUUGGAAUGCCAAUUGUCAGAGCUCUAUCAAAUUUCAUUUUCAUUCUCACAUGGUGUUAGGCAUACCUGUGGCAACAUGUUUCAUUUUUCACUCUACAUUUUGUCAAUCUAGUUGCAAAAAGCAUUGUGAAGAAGCUCUUGUUCUGUCUUAUCGUUUGUAAACCAAAUUAAUAAACCUUGAAUGUUGCAGCGCAGUCGCAUGUGCAUAUCAAUGGAGUUGGUCACAGCGGUUUUGGGGGACCAUGGACAACGCCCACGAGAUGAUUAUGGUAAGGUUUCAAAAGAAGUCUUAACAUCUUCAUGCAAUUAUAUCCUAGAAAGUAGUCGUAUGCCUUGUUUUUUUUUAAAUAACUAGUAUCCGUACCCGCGCGAUGCGUGGACGAUAUUAAAAAAUUAUAAUCUUAUUUAUUUGAUCAAAUUGAAUUGUUAUUGUCAUUAGUUCAGAUAUCACAACUUGUAAUUAAGUUUUCAAAUUUAUACACGGAAUCACAACUAAUAAGUAAAAUUUCAUGUUGUAAGAUUAAGCCUAUUAAAAAACAUAUAAUCUCUAUUUUAUGUUUGAUUAAGCAUUUCAUUAUACAAAGUUUGAUUGUUUUAUUUUUAAAAAUCUCCUCAUAAAAGUUAUUUCUUACUUAUCCAAUGUUCAAUUGUCUUAAAUCUUUUCAUUCUGGAAAAAAUAGCUAUCAAGAAAUAGCGAUAUCAUGUAUGUAUGAAGGAAACAAAAGACGUCAAUAAACAAAUACAUAAAUUGUCUCUUUUAAAUAAUUUUCUCUAACCAUAUUAAUGCUCCCAAUCACAUGAAGGGUGAUGUAUAACUUGCUUUUCGUUAUAGAUAAUAAAGUAGUUUGAGAAAAUAGUCAAAUUGACAACCCAAGUUGUACAAUAAUUCUGUAAUUUCUUCUUACUUAAUACUUAUCUCCGUUCCUCCAAAAUAUCACAUAAUAAGUAACAUAACCAUCAACUAAUUGUUUGGCAUAAGACGACAUUUUAUGAAGUCACCAUUUUAGGUGAAAAUCUUGUUCACCUAAAUUGAUAGAGUAAUAAAGAAUUUAUUUGAGAUUAAAAAAUUCUACUGUUGAUGUUUCUUUCUCCAAGAUGCUCUUCUUCGCAAUUAUUCCUUGAUAAAAAAUAAAUUUAUUACUACAAAUUGAUGGCAAAAAUUGUAAAUAUUAUAUGGAGAAAAGCGUUUAUGACCUGGUAUAAUAUAAUUUAUAUUGCAUGAGCCAAAUAAUGAUAAUUAUAAGAUAAAAAUGCCACAAUUUCAAGAUUGAUAGCAAGAGCUCAUUAUAAUAUAGGACAAAAUGCUUGUUGUUCACAUCUAACAGUAUUUGCGGCUGGUUAAGAAAGUCAAGCUGCAUUAUGAGAUAAUAGUGUAUUUUUUGAAUCGGUAUAAGGUUAGUGCCAGUGGCAAGAGCUAGAGUUUUUUACUCUUAUACAGUUACGAUUUGCAACUAUUUUAUUCGAUAUUCAGACAUGUAAGAAGAACCAAGUUAGUGAAUUAUCUCAAGCAAAAAUUUAAUAUGCAAUUGAGACACCUAAAAUUUAUAAGGCAUCAUGCUUUAUAAAAGAUUAUAUCAAGUGUAAUACAUAAAGUAUAAUACAUAUUCAUAUACUUCAAUUUAAUUCAGCGUUGCUUUAAUCUGAUCAUAGCUGUGGUUCAUUCAUCAUAUCCUUGCUUAUUCCUCAAUUUGUAUGGUUCUGUAGGAACAUCUCAACCAAUAAUAAGAACUUAUCACUAAAUGCUUCAAUCUAUUAUUCAUUUUACCGAUUAUCAAUCAUAUAUUUCUCUCAUUGAGGCAAACUAAGAAAACCUUGAGAGUUAAGUACAGAAAUAAAACAAACACAAAAUCAUAGAUAAAAUAAAAGUACAAACAUGAAAGCUCACCGAGAUGGUAAGAUUGCAGAAUAUCUCAAAAUAGUUACUAAUGGUAUGCGAAAAUCCAUCCAUUGAAUUAGAAUUGGUCACCGAGUGAUAGUUUUGUGAUCUUUUUCUUCUCGCUUUUUUCUUCCUUGAUUCUUUUUUGAUCUCUAAGUGUGUUAUCUGGAAAAAGAAACUGAAGAUCAUUGGUAAAAAAAAUAAAAUGAACGUGGAGCAGUUAUAGAUUUAAUUUUGAUCUCCGCAAUAUGUAGGGAAGAAACUGAUGAAUCUAAGAAGGAUAACUGAAAUUCCCACAAUUUGUUGAGUUAAAAGGUUUAUCAUCCUUUACAUGAAAAUAAUCACAAAUUUGACUGAGAUCACAAAUUUUCUUGAACCCAAAAACUAAUAAAUAACGAAAUAAACAUUACCCAUUAAAAUGGAAUUCCUUGUUUCUACUUUCUUGCAUAGUACUGAUAGUUCUUUCCUUUUCUUAUCAUAAAAAUUUAUCAGUAACACUUUAUCAACAAUCAAUGAGAAUGAGAAGUAAAUUGAAAGUGAGAGCCAAAAUUGAAAUAAAACCUGAGAUUGAGAUAUUUGUUGUAAAAAAAACCAACAUGUUGAUGUCAGAUUUCCUUCCUAAUUGUCUUUAAUAUAAAUUAAUGGAUAAGGGAUUGAAAUUUCAAUUCUCAGAUGUUGCGCAGAGAAUGUGGAGUGCAGUUGAGAAUUGGGGAAGUGAGAAGUUUCUGGAGAAAACUAAAAUCAGAUAUCUUUUGUGUUUAUGCCAUAGGGCUUUUAAUAGGAUUUACAAUUUUCUUUUUAUUUUUUAAAAUUAGAAUUAUGUGGUGCUGACAUGUGGAGCUUUUUGCCUCUCCUUUUAUAUAUAUAGAUUGUGGUGUCAGGGAUAGCUUGACCCUCGACUAAUUCCAUGUGUACCUGCUACCUCCCCACUAGCUCAAGUAUGGAGUAACUUUGUCCAUCAAUGCUUGCACAGAAUGGAAAAAAUUAUCUAGUGCUUUUGCCUCCACUAGAUUUGAAUUUGAGACCUCAGGGUUCUCAACCCACUUCGUUGACCACUAGGCCAUGCUCUUGGAUGUUCUUUAGUCUUUUAAAAGAGUACUUGACUAUUUUUGGGUGAAAUUGGUUCUUGAGAAUCUGUUUGUCUUAAGAGAUGAAACCCUAUUCGUUGUGUUUAACUUUCACAACUUAAGGAUCUGUAGGUGCUUGCUUUGUAGGAGAAUUCUUAAUAAUUUUGGAGGUUACAUGAGAACGUGGAUUUAAGUACAGCCUUAGCACCACAUUUGUUGAUAUUUCAAAACGAACUUGUUUCUUGAACAAGUUUGUUUGUGGGUUGUAAUUGACUUUUGCAGCUUGUUCGACUGCAACCUUUCGCUGAUACUUCAUCUGAUCUUUCUUUGAACAGCGGUUGUGACUGCAGUCACGGAGUUGGGAAAUGGAAAACCAAAGUUCUAUUCAACUCCCGAUGUAAUUGCUUUUUGCAGGAAAUGGCGACUACCAACAAAUCACUUAUGGCUUUUCUCAACAAGGUAUGCAUUUAAGUGUGCUCUGGUUUCAUUCUUGGUGGAAAAUAUUUGUAUGGUUCUGUAGGAACAUCUAACCAAUAAUAAGAACCUAUCACUAAAUGCUUCAAUCUAUUAUUCAUUUUACCGAUUAUCAAUCAUAUAUUUCUCUCAUUGAGGCAAACUAAGAAAAUUUUGAGAGUUAAGUACAGAAAUAAAACAAACACAAAAUCAUAGAUAAAAUAAAAGUACAAACAUGAAAGCUCACCGAGAUAGUAAGAUUGCAUAAUAUCUCAAAAUAGUUACUAAUGGUAUGCGAAAAUCCAUCCAUUGAAUUAGAAUUGGUCACCGAGUGAUAGUUUUGUGAUCUUUUUCUUCUCGCUUUUUUCUUCCUUGAUUCUUUUUUGAUCUCUAAGUGUGUUAUCUGGAAAAAGAAACUGAAGAUCAUUGGUAAAAAAAAUAAAAUGAACGUGGAGCAGUUAUAGAUUUAAUUUUGAUCUCCGCAAUAUGUAGGGAAGAAACUGAUGAAUCUAAGAAGGAUAACUGAAAUUCCCACAAUUUGUUGAGUUAAAAGGUUUAUCAUCCUUUACAUGAAAAUAAUCACAAAUUUGACUGAGAUCACAAAUUUUCUUGAACCCAAAAACUAAUAAAUAACGAAAUAAACAUUACCCAUUAAAAUGGAAUUCCUUGUUUCUACUUUCUUGCAUAGUACUGAUAGUUCUUUCCUUUUCUUAUCAUAAAAAUUUAUCAGUAACACUUUAUCAACAAUCAAUGAGAAUGAGAAGUAAAUUGAAAGUGAGAGCCAAAAUUGAAAUAAAACCUGAGAUUGAGAUAUUUGUUGUAAAAAAAACCAACAUGUUGAUGUCAGAUUUCCUUCCUAAUUGUCUUUAAUAUAAAUUAAUGGAUAAGGGAUUGAAAUUUCAAUUCUCAGAUGUUGCGCAGAGAAUGUGGAGUGCAGUUGAGAAUUGGGGGAGUGAGAAGUUUCUGGAGAAAACUAAAAUCAGAUAUCUUUUGUGUUUAUGCCAUAGGGCUUUUAAUAGGAUUUACAAUUUUCUUUUUAUUUUUUAAAAUUAGAAUUAUGUGGUGCUGACAUGUGGAGCUUUUUGCCUCUCCUUUUAUAUAUAUAGAUUGUGGUGUCAGGGAUAGCUUGACCCUCGACUAAUUCCAUGUGUACCUGCUACCUCCCCACUAGCUCAAGUAUGGAGUAACUUUGUCCAUCAAUGCUUGCACAGAAUGGAAAAAAUUAUCUAGUGCUUUUGCCUCCACUAGAUUUGAAUUUGAGACCUCAGGGUUCUCAACCCACUUCGUUGACCACUAGGCCAUGCUCUUGGAUGUUCUUUAGUCUUUUAAAAGAGUACUUGACUAUUUUUGGGUGAAAUUGGUUCUUGAGAAUCUGUUUGUCUUAAGAGAUGAAACCCUAUUCGUUGUGUUUAACUUUCACAACUUAAGGAUCUGUAGGUGCUUGCUUUGUAGGAGAAUUCUUAAUAAUUUUGGAGGUUACAUGAGAACGUGGAUUUAAGUACAGUCUUAGCACCACAUUUGUUGAUAUUUCAAAACGAACUUGUUUCUUGAACAAGUUUGUUUGUGGGUUGUAAUUGACUUUUGCAGCUUGUUCGACUGCAACCUUUCGCUGAUACUUCAUCUGAUCUUUCUUUGAACAGCGGUUGUGACUGCAGUCACGGAGUUGGGAAAUGGAAAACCAAAGUUCUAUUCAACUCCCGAUGUAAUUGCUUUUUGCAGGAAAUGGCGACUACCAACAAAUCACUUAUGGCUUUUCUCAACAAGGUAUGCAUUUAAGUGUGCUCUGGUUUCAUUCUUGGUGGAAAAUAUUUGUCACAGUCGAUACAAACAACCAUUGGGCUAAUGACCUUUAGUUUGGCACUGAAAGUACAACAAUUUAGAACGACAUUGAAGUCUAUCUUGUAGCUGCAAAAAACAAAAUAAGUCGUUGAAGGCUUGGAAAUGUGGAUGCCUUAUACACGGAUCUUUUCUUUGUAGUAUUGCAAUAAACAGUAGGACAUAGAAGAAGUAGGUCUGUGAAUACUUGCUAAUUUUCCAAAAGAGCAAUAGGAGUUGGCUAGCGAGGUAUCACAUUGAGGCCCUCUAUGGGAUUGACUGUGGGUGGCAUAAGAACAAAGCUGUGAGAUUAUUGGCUGAUGAACAGCCCCAUGCAGCAUGAUGGUUUCUGGUCAUUUGUCUAAUAAACUGUUUUCUAUUUUCCCUCAGCCAAGGAUAGGGUGAGAGGUGGACAUGGACUUGUAAGCUGAAAUAAUUUUCUUAGUUAUUGAAAGAGAAGGGAGAAUGAGAUUUUAAUGUUAUGGCACAGAUAGAGGUGGGGUAGGUUAUGGCAUGCCUCAUUUGCCGCAUGCGAUGGUAGAGUCACACUCUCCAUUGCUAUCCAAUUGAGCAAGUUCAAAAAGUAAUUGAAGGAAGCACGAGCACAAAUCAGCAAUGUACUAGCUUUUCCGGUCAAAUGCCUAAUUUUGCAUUCAUAUUUUGUGAUGGGUGCAGAAUAUUAAGAAAUCCUGUGUAAGGAGAAUAAACCUAGCUUUUAUACCAUGUGAGAAAAAGAACAGAAUAAGAGAUUUUUUUUUGAGGGGGAGCUGAACUGCUUGAUUAUUGCCGUGAGUAUAUCACAACUUAAUUCACAAGUAGUCUAGAGGGAAGUAUUGUUCUUUAUUGCAAAACUUCAGGAAUUCUAGACCUUAACGAAUAACGUAUAUUCAAGGUAUGUAUAAUUGUCAUGCGUACAAAUCCUUAAUAUUGUUAACACGUAGCUCCAAAGACAAUGAGUCAAAAUGCUUAUUUGAAAUGUUGGUUAUAGAUGACGAACUUUGAUUCUUUGACGAUUCUUCCUUAAAAUGUUCUGAUUUUUGCUUGGAUGAACUUUAUUACUGAAUUUACAAGACGGAGAGGGGGUGAUAUUGGGAAAGUUUAGUACUGCCCUCUUAAUGUCCCAUCAAGAAGAUGUUUUAACAAAUUUCUCGAACUCAACGAAGUCUGAAAUUGCUAGACCGUGCUGCAGUUCAUGGCAUUUAUACAGAAAUCUGAAAGGACAAACUUUGAAGAUAUCUUUCGGAAGAGGGUUUUCCUCUUUUCGUUCCUGGGAAUGUCAAAUCCUUCAUUUUGAUGCUGUUAAGCUCAGCCUUUAUCAAUAGUUUUCUAAAAGUUGAACAUCCAGGCAAGAAGUUCUGUGUUCUAGUAGAUCUCCUUUGGUAGUGUAAGAACUCGGUUGCAAGUCAUGCUGGUAAUUUCCUUAGUUUUCAUGUUGAUGAUGACGAUAAACGACUUGGUAGAAGUGUAACUUUGUUUCUCAGCGGCUGCUGUGAGAAGCUAGGUCAUGUGGCGACUCUAAUACCCAUUUUGAAUUGCAUUUUACUUAUUGAAGAUGGUUGCUUAUCCAUUUAUUUGCCUUUCAGUGUCAAUCUAAGAGGACUGUUAAUUCACGUUCUCUCAUUUUUAUUAAAAAGAAGAAAUAUGAAAUUUGGUUACGUUUAUGUCUUAUUGGAGUAUGAUAAACUGUCUAGUUCUGAAAGAUCCCUUGGUUUUACACGUGAAGGAAAUCAGUGACUUCCUUCUUUGCUGUGUUUGAUGCCCUCUGCGAGGAAGGUACAGCAACCUCUGUUUGCCAGGCUCUUGACGAAGUUGCUGAUAUUUCUGUACCUGGUAAGUUUAACAUUGUACAAAACAUUCUUUAAAUUGUUCAGCUGAUUGGUCAUCUUUUGUGCCGUUUCUUUGGCCUGUUUAAUGCAGUCUCACUCCUGUUUUGUGUCUCUAUUGUUUCAGUUAGGUGGUAGUCGUAUGAGUGUGUUCUCUUCUACCCUCCUUCUAUUGAGGUGAUGUAGAUCAACUAAGAGUUGGAUGCAAAACCGCUUGGAACAUUAGCUCGUGACUUGGUAAAAAGUGUAGUAGGUUGUUAAAAAAUAUAGCAGAUGAUCAUCGGGAUAUAAAGUUGUAACUGUAUUUAUGCAUAUCGCUGCACUUCUGGAGAAGGAAAAGUUUUUGAAAUAAUGAAGUGAAGUAACUUGUAUUUAAGUAAGCUGGAGGAAGAGUUUGGUUGGACGCAAUGCCAUGCAUAUUCCGAACUCCUUCAUAUGACAUAUUGUCGUCAUGGCAUCCUAUAAUCGACCAAGGAAAUCAUUGCUAUGAUUAGCAGGGUCACAUAAGACCUAACAAAGACAUACUAUGCAAGAUUAGUAGAUUACUGCGAAGUUAAGUUGGCAAAAUUUCCUUGGCUAGAGAAGGAAGGAAUGAGAGUGUUGGGACUCUCGCAUUUUCUGUUUGUAGGUGAUACGUUUUUGUUCAGUGAUGCAAUGAUUUCCAGAUGCAACAGUUAAGGCAAGUGUCACUCAUCAUAUAAUUAUUUGUUUGAAGAUUAAUUGACAAAGGCUGAAGUAAUAAUGACGGAAAGCAUCACACAAUUUGAACAAGUAUUUAAUUGCAGAAACUAGAUUUGCUUAUUUGAAAAGGUUGAAGUAAGUUUUACUAGGUGGUACAAGAUUUACUUGAAGGUGUUAUUCCAGUACUUUUUUUUGUCCUCCCUGUUGUAUGUUAUCUUCAUCAAGUGUCUAUUUUUAUCACCAAGAAACUUGAGAGCUUCAAAAAAGAACAUUUUGUGGAAACAAAUGCCGAGAUGAAAAUAUUUCAUCAUGUACUAUAGGAGAUAACAUCUCCUAUGAAAGUGGGGGACCAAGAGUAGGAUUUGAGGGGAUUCGAAAGUGGAUAUGAAGAUUCAACACUGAUGAAAGAGCCCUUCGCAGGAUAGUCACCCCAAACAAAUACAGAAUUCAAGUAGGCGACCAGAGGAGAAGAUAUUAGGAUGUAUUAUGGGGGAGGGGUAUGCAGGGGGGCAUUUUAAUGGAAGGUAAAAAUAUUAUUUAAAAAAUGGCACGAACGUGUGGAACAUGGAUUUAUGUGGCCAAGACCUCCUAAAUAUUCGACUAUUUAAGGCAUAACGAUUCUAACCAUAUCAAACUCGAGACCAGUGAUUAUUGCACAAUUACAUCUACACAAAUUAAAGGAUGGAUGAUCCCUCUAAAGGUUGUGGAGUUUAGAAGGAAUUUAUAAGAUGGGUGAUUUAAGAAUUUCAUCUCAUGGUAUUAUACAAACCAGCCAAUAUUAUCAUUGGACCACAUAGAGGUGGAAUAAACAGAGUGCACAGAUUUUUCACUGUUUGGCCUCUUUAUCAUAAAGCUUCGAGAAUGUUGUUUCCUAGACAUGGCUAGCUGCAUAGUGAGCUAUUCUUUUGUGAAUAUAGAUUUGUCUAUCGGUAUGUCUUAUGUGUUGGGUGUGUAGUUAUGUUUUACUUGUAUUUCAAAACUUUGUUACACCUCCAUGUAUUUGAGGAAGAACUUGUGUCUUGUCACACCCACGAAAAAAUGAGCACGUCAAGGAAAAUGAAAGAUUUUAUACAAUGUUGUUCUCUUCUUGCAUAUGAGAUAUGAGUAGCAAGAAGAUAUCAUAUAUUAUAUGUGUAAGAGGUGGAGAUAAGAGUAUAUUAUUUACUUGUCUAUUACUAUGCUACAUGCAGAUUUUGGGGAUAUAGUUUUGGAUCUCUUUUGGCAUGCUCAUGAAGAAUGCCAAAUGCCUUUAAAUGUUUGUUUCGUUACUGGACUUUCAAAAGGUUGUUUGUUUCAUUACCGGGCUUGCAAAAGGUAGAAAAAGAAAAAAAAAAAUGCAAUAUUUCUGUAGAAACUAGAAGAUAUUCUUGUUCUCUUGAAAUUUCGUAGCUCCUGUGGGGUUUACAGUUAGUAUGGAUUGCUGGGUACUAUUUCUACAGAAUCAUAUUUUUUUCUAGAUUUUCUUCGGUUGUAUACCACUUGUAUACACUAAUAUUUAGUUCAACAAUCACCUUAUCGAAAGAGAAAAAGGAAGAUUUAGCGUGAAUUUAUCACUUUGUUGUGCUAGCACAUACAUCUACUUUUUCCAUCCCUCAGGCCGUUACUUUUGGUACAACUUAUCUAAGGUUUUACCUUGGAUUUUCCUGUUUCUUUCUUAGCUUCUUCCUUCACUCUCUUUUGCUCUUCAAAGGGCUUAUCUCAAUCAUACAUCCUUGCUCUCUGUGUAUGUCGUCAGAUUCAUUCUCGUACUAGAGAAAAUUGUGAGGACUCGGCAUCUUUUCUGUUUACUUCUUUCAAUCAGUAGUUUCAUUUGUCAUUGUGUUUGGUUAUUUUAUGGAUCUCUAAGAGUAUUUUAAUUAGAGCUCUAACCAUGUCGCUAAAAGCAAAAUGUUUCAUGUGCUUUUAAAUUUUGAUUGCUGCUAAAAGUUUUACAUCCUUGUGCGAAAUGAAAUGACAAUCUUAAAAUAUCCAUUCUUUCAUGCGAUUAUCUGUAUAUUUGGGAUUGACUUUUGGAUAUCUCGCAUCUGUUUUCUUUCUAAUAUGUUCACUCGCCUCUGCAUUAUUUGUUUAUGUUGUUUGUACUCGUCUUUGAGGUAGUGUUUCCGCCUUCAUACUUCGUUUUUGAUGUGCAGGAUCAAAAGACCAUAUAAAAGUGCAGGGUGAAAUUUUGGAGGGCCUCGUGGCACGCGUUGUAAAGCGUGAAAGCUCAGAGCACAUGGAGUGGGUUUUGAGAGAUUUUCCUCCUCCGCCAUUAGAUGUUGGUAAGCUGAUCUUUUCCUAUAUGAUCAUACUAAAGAAUCUAGACCAAUAUUUAUCCGGAUUUACAUGUUCUAUUUGUAUUCUUCAUGUAGUGAGAAGAUUGUUUUAUUUGUGGUGUGAUUUUCAUUUGAAUGGUUAAAGAAACCUAAAUGACUGUAUGAGCGACCCACAUCACCUUGUGACUGAGUUUUUGAAAAUGUAUCUUCUACUCAUCAACUAGUCCUCUGAGUCUUCUGUAAUACGCCCAAAUUAAACUGCGAAUAUAUUUCACGCGCAUUUGGAAUAAUUUUCAUCAACCGUACAAGCAAAAGAAUGAUAUCAAUGCUGAGGUGGCUAAAGUGGACUCAGGCAUCAUGUCAACUAUAGAAGGAAGACCUACCAGUAAAUAGAAAUAGGUAAUAGAAAUAUCCCCUCUCCAAUAAUUCAUGUGAGGCAGCCACAACAGGUUCAACUCUUAAUUUUUAUUGGUUGUGUGUGCUUUUUAUCUAUUUCUACUUUUGUGUGUCCUUGAUGUGAAUACAAUAACAACAAACCCAGUGUAUUCCCACAUAGUGAGGUCUGGGGAGGGUAAGAUGUACGCAGUCCAUCUCUAAAGAAGUAGAAAGGUUAUUUCCGAUAGACCCCCGGCUCGAGACACGGAAUAAUAAACAAAUUCAUAGUAAAGCAUGGGAUAAGAUGGCAUAACAUAAAUACGACACCCACAAGUAAUAGUGAACAGAUUCGUAAUAAAGCAUGAAACAAGGUAUCAUAACAAGAAUAAUACCCCCACCAAGUAAUGCCCUACACUAGCGACUCAAACUGACCCUAGCCUUCUGCCCUAAUUCGCGUCCUCCAGAUCUUCCUAUCUAGGGUCAUGUCCUCAGUGAGCUGUAACUGCUUCAUGUCCCGCCUAAUCACCUCUCCCCAGUCCUUCUUCGGCCUACCCCUACCCCGCCUAAAACUACCCAAAGCUAGCCUCUCACACCUACGAACCGGGGCAUCCAUGCCCCUCCUCAUCACGUGUCCGAACCAUCUCUAUCGGACUUUCCGUAUCUUAUUCUUCACUGAAGUCACACCAACCUUCUCCCUGAUAGUCUCAUUCUGAACUCUAUCCCCCCAGUCAGCCCACACAUCCAACACAACAUCCGCAUUUCCGCCACCUUCAUUUUUUGAAUGUGGGAGUUCUUAACUGGCCAACACUCCGCUCCAUAUAACAUGGUCGGACGGAUUGCCACCCUGUAGAAUUUGCCUUUAAGCUUGGGCGGCACCUUCUUAUCACACAACACCCCAAAGCGAGCUUCCACUUCAUCCAUCCCGCCCCAAUACGGUGCGAGUCAUCCUCGUCAAUCUCACCGUUACCCUGAAUCACGAGCCCGAGAUACUUGAAACUAUCUCUCUUACAUACCACCUGAGAUUCCAACUUCACUACCACCUCAUUCUCCAGCCUCACGUCAUUAAACUUGCAUUCCAAAUAUUUUGUCUUGCUCCUACUCAACCUGAACCCUUUAGACUCAAGAGUUUGUCUCCACACCUCUAAUUUAUCAUUUACACCCCCCGCGUCUCAUCAAUCAAANNNNNNNNNNNNNNNNNNNNNNNNNNNNNNNNNNNUCCAGCCUCACGUCAUUAAACUUGCAUUCCAAAUAUUUUGUCUUGCUCCUACUCAACCUGAACCCUUUAGACUCAAGAGUUUGUCUCCACACCUCUAAUUUAUCAUUUCCUUCUCCCCCGCAUCUCAUCAAUUAAAAUUACAUCAUUUGCAAAAAACAUACACCAAGGCACCUCUUCUUGAAUACGCCGCGUCAACAUAUCCAUCACCAAAGCAAACAAAAAGGGACUAAGAGUAGAUCCCUGAUGCAAUCCUGUCAAGAUAGUGAAAUGCUCUGAGUCUACUCCCGUUGUCCUCACCUGAGUUUUAGCUCCAUCAUACAUGUCCUUAAUUGCUUUGUAUAUGCCACCGGGACUCUACUCACCUCUAAGCACCUCCCUGGGGACUUUGUCGUAUGCCUUCUUUAAGUCGAUAAACACCAUGUGGAGGUCCUUCUUCCUUUCUCUAUACUGUUCUACCUGCCUCUGUACCAGGUGAAUUGCCUCCGUCGUCAAGUGGCCGGGCAUAAAUCCAAACUGAUUCUCCAAAAUAGACACUAUCCGUCUCAGCCUCACCUCGACCACUCUCUCCCAAAUCUUCAUAAAGUGACUCAAUAACUUAAUACCCCUAUAGUUAUUGCAACUCUGAAUGUCACCCUUGUUCUUAUAAAGAGGUAUCAUAGUACUCCACCUCUAAGCCUCGGGCAUUUUCGCCGUUUUGAAAAUUCCGUUAAACAAUCCAGUCAACCACCUUAAACCAGCCUCGUCAGAAAACUUCCAAAAAUCCACAGGUAUCUCAUCAGGCUCCGUCGCCCUACCCCUUCGCAUCCUGCGAACAGCCUCUCUAAUCUCCUCUACCUUAAAACGUCUACACUAACUAAAAUCCUGACACUCUUUUGAGUGCUCCAGCUCCCCUAACACAAUAGCUCUAUCCCUUUCGUCAUUCAAGAGCCUAUGAAAAUACGACUGCCAUCUAUUCUUAAUGUGGCCGUCCUCCACCAACACUGUACCAUCCUCCCCCUUUGAUGUGGAAGUUCAUGUAAUUAGUGGAUAGUCCUGCCAGAAAUAUGAAGAGCCUCUAGUACUUCUUAUUUAUUAUUUUUAUUUUGUAUAUUAUUGGUCGAAGGAGCCUAAAUGGAGCGACAUAGUCAAUGAGGAUUCAUACCCUAACUUACUUGGGAUUCGGGCAUAUUAGUUGUGAGACAAUUGGCUUUAAUUUUUGUUUUGAUGUGCAUUCGUAUUUUUCCUUUUUCUAGAGGGUUUGGACCUGGGACCUACGCUACGUGAAAUUUGUGCUGCAAAUAGAUCAGAAACGCAGGUAAUGUCGAUGUGGUUGAGCAGCUAAAGUAGUUUCAUGUAACCAAAGUACUAAACUCUAAGUCUCUUCUACGUGCAGCAAAUAAAGGCACUUCUUCAGAGUGCUGGCACGGCUUUCUGCCCAAAUUAUUUGGACUGGUUUGGAGAUGACGAUUCUGGCUCACAUUCAAGAAAUGCUGAUCGAUCUGUUGUCUCAAAGUUCUUACAGUCACAUCCUGCUGAUUUUUCUACAGGAAAAUUACAGGUUUGGGAAUUUUUUGAAGUAAAAAAAUUAAAAGAUCUCCUGAUUAAUUUUUUGAUGUUACUCAGUUACUGUUGGUUGUCUAUUUCUUGAUAGUCAUCGCUGACCUAACCAACUUAGUAUCUUCUUACAUGUGUUAUCACAAUCAUAUUAUCAUGGUACUGGUUUUUAGAAAGAGAGCUAGCUAGCCCGCUAGUAGUCUUAUAUUUACCCUAGUUGCUCUUCCCUAAUAACCAGCUUAUCAGAUCACCCUCUUCUUGUAGCAUGUUCAACAAUACCUCAUUUUAGCAUAAUUUUUUUCGCGAUGAUGAUUGCUAAUUGCUUCACGGAGAAGUAUGAAUACAGAAACCAUGGUUGGUGAUGUAGGAGAAAUAAAUUGUAGUAUUGGAGAUAUUAUUUUUUUACUUGUAAAAGAAAACUGAGGGAGAUAAUACAUCCUAAAAGGAAGUCGUAAUAGUGGAAGUAUCUCAUGCUUUCCUGUCACAAAAUCCCAUAGCUUUACUUCUACGUUCUCCCUUUUUAACUUACUAGUAUUCGUAUCUACACGAUGGGCGGUUGAUAAUAAAAAAAUUGAUCACGGCAAAUUUUAUAUGUGAAAGUAUCAACUGUCAAAUAUGUAAGAUAAUCGUCGAGUCUUCGAAUUCAACAAUUCAACUAUUCACCAGGUCUUUAAUGGAUAUUUCUAAUGAUUUUUUAUCAAAGUUAUAGCAAAAAUGUUUCCACUAACCUUCAAACUUUUCUAGUGCUAACUGAUGCUCUGUUGUAAAAUAGAACCCAACGGAUGUUUGGAACCACUUGUGAAGAGAUCAAAUUUUUACCAAAUAACUACCAAGCUAGGUUGAUCUCUUUUCCAAGCAAGUAGUCAAAGGAACAUAUUCUCCUCAAUUUUUUUUUGCAAAAUGCAAAAUGUCCAAAAUGGAAAGCACAUCAUUCAAUUUGAAUAAGGGAGUCGUACUAUUAUGUUGUAAAUUUGGUGUUGAUGUUUUGAUCAUCCUUUAGUUUUGCUCCCUAUUGUAGAUGACUUUUGAAUCUAUGUAUAUGUCUGAUUCUUUGUAACGGUAUUGGUCGAGCUGAAAAUGAAUGGUUGCCAGAGGAGAAGUAAAAUUUUUCUUUCAUUUAGCUGCACAAAACAACAGGAAGGAAUGAACGAAUAACUUCCCCAUGAAAAAGUAAAUCGAUGAGUCUGUCUCCCUCUUCACAUCAUUUUCACACCUCUCUGUGAGGUUGAGCAUGGUUUUCAGGAACUAUAGAUGUGUUAUUCACUAAUUGUAUGCGCCUUUUUUUCUCAUACAUGAAAAAGGUUGUGUUUUCCUCUCUCUUGCUAAAUUGGUCCUGUCUUUUGUCAUUACUUAAUAUGUUCUCACUUGACAUGCAUUCGCUGUUCCCUUUCUUUUCCUCCUCUUGUUGUUUCGAACGAACACUUUCUGAUUGUGCUCAUGGAACUACGUGGAUUAGUCUUGGUGUGUGGCUUAACUGAUUUGUGCCUUUUUCUCUUGAUUCCGAAGACCUGAUAGAUAGUUGUAAGGUUUUAGCUAUAUCUUUAGUCUCAACUUUGUUAACCAUCAUUUGGGAUGUACUCAUUUUCUUCAGGAAAUGGUUCGUUUGAUGAGGGAAAAGCGCUUUCCUGCUGCCUUCAAGUGUCACUAUAACUUCCAUAAAAUUAAUGAUUUAUCGAGUGACAACCUGCCUUUCAAAAUGGUGAUCCAUGUAUAUAGUGAUUCAGGUUUUCGCCGGUACCAGAAAGAGAUGAGGUCUACUUCUAACUAUUGCAACAGUAUUUUUUCACUACGUCUCUCAUUUUCACAUCAUUCCAGCAAAAUAAUGUUUAGCUUUUGGGUUCUGCUGCAUUUCGCCACAUCGUGUGAUUUUGUUGAUUAAAAUAAUUCUUGUCAUGUCAGGCACAAACCAGGCUUGUGGCCUUUGUAUCGAGGUAAUAUUUGUUCAUUUAUUAUUCUCAGCCAAAACUGGAACUGAUCUGCUUGCUGCUAUAGUUGCUAACUUUUAAAACCUUUUAACAUUGAAAUGAGACGCCAGUUCCUGUCCUAGUUUAUUAUGAGGACUCAUUUGGUUUGAUGGAUUGGAUAGAACAGUCAUGGCAUUAAAUUGAUAUUAUCUUAUCAAGUCUUUGGUUGGUCUUUGAGUCCUGCUUUGCUAAUCAUGUAUACACCAUUUGGCAUCAUUCUAUAACCUAAUAAAACAUGGAAUAACAAUACUAUAUGGACUAAACAUCAAAGUAUAAAUUUACCUUUAUUUUUUCCUUUAGUCCAUCAUCGACACCCUCUCAAUUUUGUUAAGUUCAAAAAUAAAUGCAUAUUUUAAAUCUUGCCCUUUAUAUCCCAUUUUUAGCAUGAAGAACCAAACCCCCCAAAAAAAAAGUCUUACACUUCAGUCCAAAACAUGUUGGGGUCGGCUAUAUGGAUUCCCACUUCUCCAUUUAAGCUCAUUUCAAAUCAUCAUCAUCAUACUAAAUAAAAUAAAAAUAAGUUUUAUAUAAUAUUGUGUGUAUACACACACACACAUAAAGAACUAAACGUCCAACAAAAAAUUAUUUGUGCAUUGUAUACCUGCAUUACUAAUCCAUGUAUUGCAGUCCUGCAUACUUGUUUCUUAACGAAAUGAUGCCUAAGAGAACUUGUCAGGAAUAUGGCCGAAAGUAUUCAUUCUCCAGAGUUAAAGAGGAAUCAUCUUCCUCUUCUGUAAGUAAAUCAGUGGUUUCUUUUCUGGUGCUUGAGAUGAAACUUCUUUUACUCCUUUUUAAGAACAAAGCUAUGGUAUAUAAAUAGUCGUAUAAAGUUUUGACGCAAUACAAUUUUAAAAGCCUCCUUUGGGGGAACACAAAGAGUUGCAUAGUCAUGUCAUGGUCACAUCUGAACAAUCUAUAGGACAUGAGUGUAUGCUUGAUUUUUAAGUUCCAAUUGAGAAGUAAAUAUAUUUUAUGGCCUGUUCUGCAAACUGUUGGCGUCUAAAGUAGAAUGGCUAGUUGAAUUUGUCGGCAGAAAGUUCCUGAUUAUUUUAGUCGGGGAUUUUAUGCGAUAAGAAGGUGCCUCCCAAGCUUAAAGGCAAAUUCUAUAGAGUUGCAGUCCGGCCGGCUAUAUUGUAAGGAGCGGAGUGUUGGCUAGUUAAGACUUCCCAUAUCCAAAAGUUGAAGUUGGCGGAAAUGAGGAUGUUGCGUUGGAUGUGUGGUCUUACAAGGGCUGACAAGGUUAGGAAUGAGAUUAUUCGGGAGAAGGUGAGAGUGGUUUCGGUGGAGGAAAAAAUGCGGGAAGUGAGGUUGAGAUGGUUUGGUCAUGUGAUGAGGAGGGGCACGGAUGCCCCAGUUCGUAGGUGUGAGAGACUAGCGUUAGAUGGUUUCAAGCGGGGUAGGGAUAGACCGAAGAAAUACUGGAGAGAAGUGAUUAGACGUGACAUGGAGCAGUUACAUCUCACUGAGGACAUGAUCCUGGAUAGGAAGGUUUGGAGGAAAAAUACUAGGAUAGAGGGAUAAGGUGGGGGGAUGAGUCGUAGUCCGUAGUUAGGAGGGUUUUGGUAUCUUUUGUUUGGUAAUGUACAUUAUUUUUGUGGAUGUUGUAUUGUUGUAUCUACGUUAGUUUUAUCAUGUUUCAUGCUUUGAAUAUUUUUGUAUAUUGUCCUGUGUCUUGAGCCGGGGGUCUAUCGAAAACAACCUCUCUACUUCUUUAGAGGUAGUGGUAUGGACUGCGUACAUUCUACCCUCCCCAGACUCCACUAGGUGAGAAUAUACUGGGUUUGUUAUUGUUGUUGUUGUUGUUGUUGUUGUUUGUAUGUAAGGAAGUUGAAGGUUAAAUUGCCAAUUCUUAUUGCUUUCUUCUCUUCUAGGUCAUCAACCUCAUACAGAUUAGUUUAACCCCCCUCCACCCCUGGUCCUCCUUAUAUCAUUAUCUUUUCAUUGUGAGUUGCUGAUGUAGCUUUUCACAGGCAUUUUCGUUGACCUGGAUCUAUUCAAGGUCAAUGAGAAGAAAAGUGCUGAGAUGGUAAGAAGUAGCAAUGAAAUGGUAAAAAAUGAGGAAGAGGACAGCAGUUUAGCUGAUGAAGAUGCAAAUCUGAUGGUCAAGUUGAAAUUUCUUACUUACAAGGUAAUACAGUUUUUAAAUACGCUUUCACUAACAGAGACUUCAUGUCACUCUCGCUUGUUGGUGAAUUGAAACCUGUUGUUCUGCUGCUCCUAGGGGCAUUCUUUUUCAAGUUGUAGUUAUCUUUUAAAUCAAUUGUAUUUCUUUAAUGCAUGCUCAUGCAGAAUAGAGCCAUUUAUGAGAUAAGUGCCCCUUAAUUUGUGCUUACCAACUAUAACCAAAACCGUAGGCUUAUAUGAUACUGGAAUUGUGGAAUCAAUGUUGAUCGCUUGAAGCUGGCAAGACACCUUCCUAGAUUCAACAGUAAACGACAUGGACUUGGGAUUGAUAGAUGUUUCCUUUAGGAUCCUUUCACCCUCUUAUGAGAAAUCAAAGUUUGUGGACCAUCAGAUGUCGAGAUGUCGAGCCUACUGCUUAAUUUUAUUUUAAGAAAAACCUUGAUACGAUCCUAGGAUCGCCCAACCCCUUCACUAGAAGUCAAGUUCGAGGGCUACAAGGUUUAUAGGCUGUAUCAACCAAAAGAAGGAUGUUGGAGCUUGAUUUGAGGCCGACCAAGGGAUGCCAUGAGCCGGAGAUCGAGUUGGAAGGCCAAAAUGACAAGAUUGAGGGAGGAGCUCACUGGUUUGGCGCGACUGGAGGUGCGACGGACCGUCACCAAGGUGACUGGCCGUCACUGUGGCCAUCCCAGGAAGCCCCAGGGCAGUAGCCCACUGGUUCAAGUUGACGGCCAAGUUGACCGACCGUCACUGUGGCCGUCACUUGGAGAUAGAAUGUCAAGUUCGUGGGUGUUUGUUUCUUUUAAUGCGUAGGUCACUUUUGGGCCUUAGUUUGGACUAUAAAUAGAAACUUCUAGGUUAUUUUCAUUAGUUUUUGUUGAAUAUUGAUGAAUUAACACUUGUAAGUGUUGUUGAGUUCUUGUUGAACUUGUUGAUUAGAGAUGGAGGAUGUUAGGAAUUUGAUAUCCUUUCGGUCCCCGUAAGAGCUAGGUGCUUGUGGUAAUCAUUAACGGAGGUUUUAGGGAUCGAAAUACCCUUUGAUCGCCCUUUAGCUAUCAUCUUGUGUCUAUCUUUCUAUCUUUUUAUCGGUUAAUUAUUUGUCUCGUUUUUCAUUUUUUUCUUUCAUUUUUGUGUGGUUUUCGUUUUUCAUGGUUUCGCUUGCAUCAUUUGGUAUCAAAGCCGAGCUUAGAAUCGUUUCCACGAUUCUAGUCUUGGGUUUAUUAUCUAGAAAAUCACAAAAAAAAGUCGUAUUCACGUUUUUGGGUUGUGUUGAAAUUUUGAGUUUUUGAUUUUUGUGUCAUUUUGUGUUUCUAGUACUAUUUGAGUCGUUAUCUAAAAUUUGAGUUUAAUUCGAUAAAUUUUGAGUGACUCACCAUUGUUGAAGCUUAAACUUGAAGAAAAUUCAAAUGAAUUUGAAGAUCUGAAAUUAUUGGGUGAGUUUUGAGCUAUAAAAACUAUUGGGGUUUGUUCCGGAGCUUGAAAUUAUUGAAUUCCGAGUUCGUUUGAUCGAGGGUCAAAAUUUUGACUGUUCUUCAAGUUCAGGCAAGAUUUUGAUCCAAAAGAAUUGAAAAAAAAAGAAGUUGUACUUGUUUAUUCUCAAGGAAUAUUCCCCAAAGAACAAACAAUUUUCUCACCUGGUGCUGGUGCUGGGUAACAGGCAUAGUGACGGUCAAUCACCAUCCCGACGGCCAGUCAACCCUUCUGUCACCCCAAGGCAGCCUCAACCACUUACUGGUUAAGGAGUGACGGCUAGAGUAACGGUCAGUCACCCCUUCAGUCACUUCCAUAAAGUUCCGUAAGCUCAUUUUAGAUUCUUAGUUUCAUUUUCCUUGAUUCUUAAAUAUCUUUAACUUGUUGAUUCUAACACUAAUUAACAACUAGUAAUCCAUCUACUUAGUUGCUAAUUAAUUCUUGAGUUCGUUUCUUUCCUCGUCCCAUUUCUUUUAGUGCUUUUCUUGUUUUACAUUGUCGUAAGUUCUUGGUUCAAGUCCUUAAGUAUUUCUUUAAGUCCUUCAAAAACACAAUGGCAUCUAGGGUUGAUAACCAAAGUGCUUCGGGAGAGAUAAACUUGGAAGCUAUAAUGGCGGCCAUAAUGAAUGUGACACGAGAUGUAAAGGAAAUACGAAGUGAAUUGUCGGGAUUGAAUGGAAGGAUGGUUAAUAUGGAAGGGUGUCUAAACUCCACCACAUCAACUCCUCAAAAUCUUCAUGCUUCAUCUAGUGGUCAUGCUCAUAAUACCUCCACUACUAUAACUCCAAAAACACUUCACCAAAUGCUCAACCCACCGAUACAAAUACACUAACCUAACCCCCAAAUCCCUACUUAUCCAAACAACCGGAAUCCCGUUUGCCCACUACAACCCCAAUUCAAUCAAGUCAAUUAAUAAGCUCCACAAAACCAUCCCAUCAUCCAAAACCAACCACCUCAAUCCCAACUAACCACAACUAACCAAUCCAAAUUGAGGAUGUGGAAGGUGAGGAACCUCGUAGAGGAAACGAAAAGUUGGAUGAAGUGGCCUUGUUUGCGGAAUUUGUACGGAAUAGACGAGGAUCUCAUGGGGAGGAUUUAAAGACCGAGGAGGAAGAUUUGGUCCGGUUCCCCAUGGAAGAGGAAACUUGGGAAACCGACCCCAAGUUCAAAAAGACCCUCAAUGGGACCAAGGAGGCAAUAUGGGACGAGACACGAGUCUUAACUCCAUCAAAAUCACUCUUCCUACCUUCAAAGGAACUAGUGAUCCAUCUGUCUACCUUGAUUGGGAGUUCAAUGCAAUAGGGUCUUCCAACUCAAUGAAUUAACCGAACACAAGAAGGCCGCCCAUCCAAUUGCUCAACUCGAAGGGUAUGCUUCUACUUGGUGGAGACUAAAAGAGUGCAAAGAGAGAAAUGAUAAUCCCGACCUUUCGGAUUGGGAUGAAUUGAGGGCACUCAUGAGAGAGAGGUAUGUGACGGAGAGGUUCAAACAAGAGCAACUCACCAAGCUUUAUAAUUUGCGACAAAGAGGUAGAAGUAUGGAAGAUUACUGUGAGGAAUUCCAAAAUUUGAUUCCUUGUCUUGAGAUUGUCGAACAACCUAAUCAUUAUAUGGCUAGAUUCAAAGAUGGGUUGAACUAUGACAUUGUUUCUCAAUUGGUUAUUCAUAAGUUUGAACAAAUAAAAGAUCUUGUAUAAGCGGCCAUCGAGGUUGAGAGGAACAACAAUGCAAAGGAGUCAUUCAAUAAAGACGACACAACUUCUAAUUCAUCCGGGUGGAACAAGAACAAGGAUUCCAACAAGUCCUAUGAGAAAAGGCCCGUUGAGAAGGCUACCCCAAAGUAUCCUCAAAGAAUUGAAGGUAAUCCCUAUUCUAACACCAAUCCUAGAGAUAUUGUUUGUUCUAAGUGUCAAUAAUGGGGUUAGAGAGCAAGUGAAUGCCCCAAUCGAAGAAACAUAGUUUUUGUGGGAGGUGUUGCCUACUUUGUUGGAGAUAAGGUGAACCAAGAAAUUGAUGAUGAGGAAGACUUUGAGGGUGAAGGUGAAGUUGAGAUAGGUGAAGGGGAACUUAGUCUACCCAAUGGUUUGAUGAAAAAACUUCCUCUUGAAGAUGCAUGGCCUGAGGAGGGGGAGAUUGUGAAUCUUAGCCUUAUGAUGGAACAAGUGAUGAGUGUUAGAGCCUUGGAAUACCCCGUCCAAGAGGAGAACAUGAACAUGACAACGGAAGGGGAACCUUGUUACCCUCCCAAGCUCUUGAUGUUUGCUAACAAUGGUACUAGCAUUUUGCCUAGCACCAACACUUUUCUUUUGCAGGGUUCGGAUUCGAAGACGAAUCCUUUUCAAGAGGUGGAGGAUGAUACAAUCCUAGGAUCGCCCAACCCUUUCACUAGAAGUCAAGUUCGAGGGCUACAAGGUUCAACCAAAAGAAGGAUGUUGGAGCUUGAUUUGAGGCCAACCAAGGGAUGCCAUGAUCCGGAGAUCGUGUUGGAAGGCCAAAAUGACAAGAUUGAGGGAGGAGCUCAUUGGUUUGGUGCGGCUGGAGGUGCGAUGGACUGUCACCAAGGUGACUGGCCGUCACUGUGGCCGUGGCCGUCCCAGGAAGCCCAGGGAAGUAGCCCACUGGUUCAAGUUGACGGCCAAGUUGACUGACCGUCACUUGGAGACAAAAUGUUAAGUUCGUGGGUUUUUGUUUCUUUUAAUGCCUAGGUCACUUUUGGGCCUUAGUUUGGACUAUAAAUAGAAACUUCUAGGUUAUUUUCAUUAGUUUUUGUUGAAUAUUGAUGAAUUAACACUUGUAAGUGUUGUUGAGUUCUUGUUGAACUUGUUGAUUAGAGAUGGAGGAUGUUAGGAAUUUGAUAUCCUUACGGUCUCCGUAAGAGCUAGGUGCUUGUGGUAAUUAUUAAGGGGGGUUUUAGGGUUUGAAAUACCCUUUGAUUGCCCUUUAGUUAUUAUCUUGUGUCUAUCUUUCUAUCUCUUUAUCCGUUAAUUAUUUGUCUCGUUUUCCAUUGUUUUCUUUCGUUUUCGUUUUUCAUGGUUUCGCUUGCAUCAAACCUUUUGGUGAUACUGCACUAAUCAUUUCAAAGACAGAUAAUCUUCUGUUUUUGAUAUAAACAAUUUGUACAAAGAUGGGUAUAUAGAAGUAGGUUCCGAAGUAUAGAACUCCAAGAUCUAAAAGAACACAUGCGAGAAUUAUUUAUUAUGCACUGCACAGUGACGGCUAUGGAGCCCUUUUUCAAACCUGUUCCAUCUUCCAGUUAUGUUAUGUCCUUAUUUCCCAUGCUGCCGUGUGAAAAAGAUUUUGGACUAGGUCAAAGGAAUUUUGUUGUGGAAUGGGAACAAAGAAAAGUGAGUGGUUCAUUUGUUGAACUGAGGUAGGGUAGUUCAAGUUGAAAGAAGAGGUGGACUCGGGAUGUAAAACUUGAAUGUACAUAGUAAAGCUACCAAUGAGAUGGUUGUGGAGGUAUGGAAAGGAGAUUAGGAACUUAUGGAGAAGGCGAUCUCUUCUAAAUACAGAAAAUAGAGAGUUUGGUAUACAAGCGGUAUCUAGUCUUCACAUGGUUUGAUCUGUGGAAACACAUUUGCACUUUUAUGGCCAGUUUUCGAAGCUUACACCAAAACUAAUGUUGGGAGUGGCAGGAAUACAAGGUUCUGGCAGGAUUCUUGGAUUCUCCACUUAUGAUAGCAUGUAAUGAUCUUUUUAGCGUCUCUUCCUAUGCAGAAACCCUUGGACUUGCCCAGUCUUGUUCUAUUUUUGGUGUAAAUAAGAAUUUUAGAAGAUCCUAAAUCUAUUUAUGAUGUAUUAGAAUCCUUUUGAGAAGACAAAGGAUUAGAAGUUGUUUUUCCCUUUAUCUUGUAACUGUGGGUGAUCACUACACCCUUUUUGUAGUUUAUUUAUAUUACGUUUUGAAAAAAAAAAGAGUCGAGGAACGGAUAAGAUACAGAGUUCAUAUCUAAUAUCAUAUAGCUGGAACCUUGAUAUGCCUUAAUGCGUUUUCUAUGAGGUUCUUUAUAUGUUGAGAUUGAGCUUGAGCCUGCAAAUUGAAUCAAAAUUGUGGAAGCGACAUCAUCAAUUUUGUUUUUUCGGUGCAGUAAGAUGCUACAUGGUUGUUUCUCCAGUUAAUAAGAUUUAAAUCUGGAACAUAAUUGGUUAGCAUGUUGCUUUGGAAUUUAUCGCACGUUGAGCUAAGAAACUUCAUCCUCAUUUUGUUUCUUUACUGUGCAGUUGAGAACUUUUUUGAUCCGUAAUGGCUUGUCGACUCUUUUCAAAGAAGGCCCUUCUGCAUAUAAGGCUUAUUACCUCAGGUGAGGUUUACCUGGUUGGUUUUUUGUUCUUCAAUGGACAAGUUCUAGUUGAGCUCCAUGGUGCCUUCAUAUGCGCUGUGUUUGCAUUUCAGUUGGUUCGAUAAGGAGCUGCUGCUAUGUUGUAGUCGACAUAAUUCAUUAAUUAUAAGUAGUUUAAUCCACAUCUUAAUUGUUCUUCUAAGGGUGUUUGAUGUCAUAUAAUGAAGUGCUACAGUUCUAAUGAAUUGUGCAAGUUGUCUGAGAUGCUCAUAGUGAAAUACACUUGCCUUAUUUUUUUUUUUAAAAUAGAAUAUUUGUCGUGAUCAACCUUCACAUUAUGGUCUUGAAAAGCCAUAUCUUCAUUGAAUCUACUAGGCUAUUGAACUAUUGACGAAUUUCUAGUUUUCAGAUCUUAUAUGUCCAGUCUGGCUAGUGUAACUACUUUAAUUCUAGACCUUAAAACUUUUUAGUAGUUGUUCCUCUUAACCCAGCUUGAGGUUAUCUAACAAAUGUCUGUAUUUUUACAUUCUCAAGCUUGUGUUUUUAUGCCCAACCUGAUUCAUUGAUACAAGGACAUGUUUCUAGUGAACUUCCUUUCAAAAAGAGUGAACGGUGUUUUGGCUGUACUAUAUAAUCUAUUCUCAAGGAUAAGUUAUAACGUAUAUUGAUCUCUAUAGCAAUAUGAUCAAUCUAGGCAAAUGAAAAUUUGGAAUACUUCAGCAGCCAAGCAACGAGAACUCAGCAAGAUGCUUGAUGAAUGGUAAUACUAAAUAAACUAAUGAUUUUCUAUGAUGAGCCUCUUUUAUCUUCCCAACGCAGCAUCUUACAGGACCUAAUUUUUCAGGGCAGUAUAUAUACGCAGAAAAUAUGGGAACAAACCAUUGUCAUCAUCCACAUACCUAAGUGAAGCGGAGCCCUUCCUUGAACAAUAUGCAAAGCGUAGCCCACAAAACCAGGCUUUGAUAGGAUCUGCUGGAAAUUUUGUCAAAGUUGAAGAUUUUAUGGCUGUUGUUGAAGGAGAAGAUGAAGAGGGUGAUCUUGAGUCCAUGAAAGAUAUUGCUCCUUCAAGCCCUAGUAUUACCACCAAAGACAUGGUUGCAAAGAAUGAGGGCCUCAUUGUUUUCUUUCCAGGUAAAAUUGAACUGGUUUUGAAACAGUACCUUUUAUCAGAAAAAAAAGGAAGAAGAUUGAACUGGUUUCGAAUAUUCAGAUUGUGUACGGCAUCUGAUUUUUUUAUGUACUAUUAUAAUUUAAAUGUAAUAAAACCUCUAUUAGAACCUCCCGCAACUAUUGAAGUAAGCAUUCUUUUUGACAAGCAAUGCUAAAUUGCAGGAAUACCAGGCUGUGCUAAAUCUGCACUGUGUAAGGAAAUACUGAAUGCUCCAGGAGGGCUUGGAGAUGAUCGACCAGUUCAUAGUUUAAUGGGUGAUCUUAUCAAAGGUAUGAGGUGCUUUUCAACAUCUUUUUGUUUGUUCCUUGUUCAUAAAGGAAUUUGAUUUUGAAUGCCAUGUGUCUUGUGCCUUUAGGUUGUUGUCUGCAUAUCGUGUGCUCACUUCUGCUCGUCCUGUAUGAUAAUGUUUGACGAGCACAAGGUUUAGGACGUGUAUUUUCCUUGUAUAUCGGAGCAGUAAUAGUGGAAGAAUAUCUUCAAAUUAAUGGUUGGAAGUUAGUUGAUAGAAAACAACCACAUCAAAUUUUUUAAAAAUUGAAUUCUUAGCAGUUGUGAAAGUUGGACAUUUUGGGACAUCCCUUAACGGAAGGACUUCUGCAUAUUAUUGGGACAGAGGGAGUAUCAAUUAGUUGUUCUGACAAGCAUUUGCUCUUUAAUACAGGUUGAAACCAAUUGAAACUAAGUUUUACUUAGAAUUAAUGCAUUGUCAUCUGGUUCUUUCCUGCCACAAACAUCUGACUCCUGAAAAUUCUAUUACUCCCUCCGUUUCAAUCUAGGUGUCUCAGUUUAAUUUUUAGUCUGUUUCAAAAAGAGUCCCUCUUUCUGUAUUUGGUAACUCUCUGUUUCCAACAUACUACAUCUCUUGUUCAUGAGAUUCAGUGGAAUUUUGGUACAGCACACACACAUCUUUGUUAAGACGACAAGAUUCAUGAGUCUCCGGUAUUUUCCUAAAUUUCGUCCUAGUCAAACUUAGACACCUAAAUUAAUGUGGAAAGAGUAAUAAACUCCCUAUUUUCCUUGCUUGAAGAACUUAAAUCUCUCUCAGAUAAUAAAGUUUGAUCUUUGUAUGUCCAUCAUAUUAAUAGGUAGAUAUUGGCAAAAAGUUGCUGAUGAGCGUCGAAAAAAACCUUCCUCGAUCAUGCUUGCAGACAAGAAUGCACCAAAUGAGGAAGUACGGAGACAGGUAAAGUUUUGUAUUUAUUGAACUGUUCCCUGAGUAGUACAAAUCCUCUGAUGCAGUUUUUCAUGAAUGGCCACUUUUUAAGGUUAUUUUAAGUUCCAAGUUAACAUAAUGCAGUGUUAGUGCAUCAGAUCUUGAUAUUAAACAUUCUAGUUGUAGCAUCAGUUCUCUGUACUUUGGGUACUGCUUCUUACAAUGCCAUGGAGUGCAUCUUCUAAUUUUAGAGUACAACGGAAUGCAUAAAAAGAACUUGAGUUUUAAGGUUAUUUCAGUUUGGAAAUAACAUAAGAUGUAGUACUAGCACUUCAUUAUCUCACCGGGUUUUAUUCUCAUCUUUGCAGAUUGAGAACAUGUGCCUAAGCACCAAAGCAUCUGCUAUCCCAGUUAUACCUGAAUCAGAAGGUCCUGAGAGAUAGUUCCUUUUUAGUUUCUGAAUCUAUUAUGCUGCUUCUCAUGCAAGUUUUCUUUAAUUUCUGAAAAGCUGGAGCAAUUGAUUUGGUAGUUCACCCAGCAGUUUUAUUUUGCAUUUCUUACUAUGUGAUUUGUGUUAUUGACAAUUCUUGUUUCUUGCUAAGUGAAAAAUUUUGUCCAAUUCAUGUGGAACUGUGACUUUGCAGUUGUCUUGUCUGUGUAGCUUAUAGCGGUGAACCCUCAUCUUGAUAUAUGCUUUUGUUUCUUGGAGAUGAGACAGAUACUUCCCACCUCCACGCCUGGUAUUGCAGUUGUGUUAUAUUUUUCCUUAAGAGUGGUGAAGCUCUGUAUCAUCUUGUUAUAUGUUUGACAAAUGAUAGGCUAAUUUGCUUCAUGGUGCUUGCACAAAUGAUGUUCAACAUUACCUUUCUUUAUGGGUCAGUGGUGUUGGUAGCGGUAGUAAGAAUUGCUUGUUAAAAAGUUCAUUUGCUUGUUCCUUGAGUCAUACUCAUCUUAGUUACGACCCGUCUAAUCAUGCAGGAACUGUCAAUCCAUUCUCCAUUGAUGCACUUGCGGUUUUUAUAUUCCGAGUACUUCACCGUGUUAAUCAUCCGGUACUUAACACUUCAUGUUACUUUGUCCUUGUAAAAUUCUCUUCACCCAUUUACUCCAUUCAACUUGGGUAUUGAUACCUCAGUCCUCUCUUUUUUGCUUGAUCCUCAAGGGAAAUCUUGACAAGUCAUCACCAAAUGCUGGUUAUGUGAUGCUAAUGUUUUAUCACCUUUAUGAAGGAAAGGUACAAAGUUUUGUUCAGCUAACAAGAUUAUCUUUCUUUCUCCAGUAUUUCAUUAGUCAUAAAAAGUAAAUAUAUAAGGCAUCUGUAUGAUUCUGUUGGUACACUUUCACUCUGAGCCGUCAAGAGUUCGAGAGUGAGCUUAUAGAACGUUUUGGCUCACUUGUCAAAAUGCCUCUACUGAAACCUGAAAGGUUAGUAAAUUUCUUUCUUCUGAACCCCAAAUAAUAUGGUUGACCUCUUCCGGUUGAAGUGAUUGAAUUGCUCAUUACUGGAUUAGGUGACCUUUUUGCUUCCUCUUUAUUAGUUGGUUAUGUUAGAUCAGAGUUCAAACUUUCUUAAUAAUCCAUCAAAUUUUGAAUCAUUAGUAAUUUCUCAGUUAUAAAGAGAGUGUUAGUGUUAGUGCAGCAGAUACAAAAACACCAGGUCAUCUUGCCAUUUAUCCUAGCAAUGGUGGAUAGAGUUGCCUAGUACCCGUUGCUGGUGGGAGGUGACAAGUAUCCCGUGGAAUUAGUCUAGCUGCAUGCAACCAUGGCCCGGACGCCAUGGUUAUUAAAAAAAAAAUGUUACUAUUGGACCCAGAUAUCAUAUUUGUUGAAAUAAUGAAGCAAAUAAAUGGAUGCUCCCUCUAGUAGCACAAUUCAACAUAGUAUUAGAGCAGAUAGAGGGUCCCAAGUUCUAGUCUUAUUGUCGCCAGUUGUCAAGAAAGAGUUUCCACAUCUUUUAGCUGUUGAAAAGCGUCUGGCGUGCGUGUGAGGGAGGCUUGUUGAAGACAUAAUUAUGUAGAUAAAAGUGUGCUAGCUUAAGUUUUCAGGUGGGAUUGUCACACACUUCAAUAAUUAGAUUGGAGUUAGUCACAAGAGAAACGUGUAAAUAUGUAUUAGUGUUCCACAUAGGACAAAUAUCAUAAAUGUUCGCAUGGGACACCUAUAAUUACAUUUUCUUCAAUUCAUCAAUUCAUAACUAGAUCUCUCCUGUCCUCUUCUUUAUGCCAUUGUACUUUUUAUAUGCUAUUUGUCUCCUUAUGUUUCUAUCUCCUCUUAACUUCACCCUUGCUUUACUUGCUGUUGAUAUUGUUUUAUGAUCAUUUGAAGGUCUCCUCUUCCGGAUUCUGUGAGGUCUAUUAUUGAGGAGGGAAUCAAUUUGUACAAACUUCAUACAAACAAACAUGGAAGGUCAGUGUUACAUUCAGCAAAUGUAGUUAAUGAGUUCCUCUAAACUCUCUCCCCUUUUUGCACUUGAGUUAUAGUGUUAAUGGUAAGAAGCUGCAUGAUGCCUUCUGAUAUGUUGCACGACGUGGAGCUAUCUCUCUAUUUCAUCCUCAGCUAAAAUUAUUUUCAAUGCAAUAGUUUGUAUUAAAGCAGUGUUUCUCAAUAAUGUGGUGUUUUACUAGGUUAUGUCUGCCUUUUGCUCUCUCAAGGAUGGCAAGAGACGUGUUAUGGAAUUGAUGGUGGAUAUUGAUUUACAGAGGUCCACUUAUCCUAGAGUGUCACCUUCUGCUUGCCCCUUUGUGGGUUUCCAAAGUCUUGUCAUGUCAGUGGCAAUUAUCUUCCGUCUUAGUCACGUGGAUGCUAAGGUGCAGCUUUGCUGUGAAUAGCAACUCUUUAGUUCUAGUAAAGUUCUAAAUAAUUUCAGAAGAAGAUGUUGGUUUGGGAAACAGAAAUUACUUUUCUUGUGUGGAUUCAUCAGAAACCGAGUAGAAGCACCACAAAUAAACUAAUGGUCAAUAUGUAGAUGUGGAGCACAAACACAGAUCUGUGUAACUGGACUUGUAAUAUAAGAUCAGUAAGUUAAAGAGAUGUCCUGCUUUACUCUGUUUUAUAUUCCCUAUGGGUGCCGUAUCUAUGUUAUGUCAUCUGCUGCUGUGCUGUACUAUGUGUUUGUGUGAUAUCUCGUGACUUGAGCCGGGGGUCUUUCGGAAACAGCCUUUCUACUUCAUCAGAGGUAGAGGUAUGGACUGCGUACAUCUUACCCCCCCCCAGACCCCACUAAGUGGGAAUACACUGGGUUUGUUGUUGUUGUUGUUGUUGUAGUUUGUAUUGAAGAUUAAGAUUGUGUUUGAGAUUUCCACUUUCUAUCAGAAGUAGGGAUAUUACGAGUUUCAAAAAUAAAAGUACGGAUAGUAUGUGUGAAUCUUUCUUCCAUCUUCAGCUUGGAGGCUUCGAAUCUCAUUAACUUUGUGAUAAUUGAGUUGUAUUAUGAUGCAAAGAGGUUUUGAUACUUAAUAAUUAACUAUGAAUACUUGUGGUUGGUGGAAAAGUUAGAAGAAUAUUACACCUUAAAACAAUGAUUCUCCACCCUUAGGGCUUUGGUGUAGUGGUAAGAGCACAUGUGAUACAUGUUAAGGUGCACGUCACAGGUUCAGACCGUGUCACAGGAAAGGCAUGGUAAGUGGAAUAGGGUAGAGGGACUGUCCCAUUAUCCACCAAGUUCCGAAUAGUGCGCCGCUAGCCCUAGGGGAUUUCUCAGUUGCUAAGGAAAAAACAGAAAUUUUGCAGUUAAAAGUAAUGCUAUGUUAUCUUUAGUUUCCUCUUUCUUUGGUUCAAGAAUUUCUACUCCUUUCAUCACUUGAAUAUGGUCAGACCCUUCUAUUUUGUUGUUUGUCUUUUAAUUACUGUUUUGGUGUCAACUUUUAGAAUGGAUUGAAUGGUUCAAAGUAGCUCAGAUCCCUAUCAGAAAAAAAGUAGCUCAGUUUUGGGGUUUAUCAGUGUUAAGAAAUUUAGGGCUGAAGGGUUCUAUGAUUUGAAAUGGCAUUUGGAACUUUCAAGCAUCAUAUAGUUGGGGAAAAGAUGGAUCUGAGGGGGCUCUUAUAGGCUGGCAAAGCAUUAACACAAGUCUGAUAUAGUCACUGAUUUCCAGUGUCUUGACUCUACUGCAUAAAUUUCUGGCUUCUGUAGCAUGAUCUGGAGUAGUAAACUCCUUUUUACUCUUGAAUAUAUCAUUCUGACCUCCUUGUGUUGCUUUGCCUAAUAAUAACUUCGUAUAUCCACAUAUAUUCACUGUAAUAAAUUAACUGCAAUGCAAGUAUGAAAACCUGCAAUUUUUCUUCAUGUUUUAAUAGGGUCUAAACAACUUAUAUGCUUUUUCUUUUGGGGUUAAGAUGUCUUUUCUCAAGCAUGACAAUAAAAGAAUAUAUCUCCACCAACCAAAAGUUGGGUGUAUAUAUCGGUAUGACUGGCUUUUCCUAGCAAAAUCAUGUCAUUUUUCUAAUUAUACUUGGCAUUUGGAGGACAAGAAAGUCUGGUGUUUGGUUACGCAUUGACAAAGUUCUGUUUUUGUUUAUUUGAGUGAUAUGGUCAUGAGAAAAGGCUAAGGUCAUCUUCCUCUGUCUAUAUAAGUUCUCACUUUAUUAAAAAAGUUUAGAGAAUUAGUCGGGUUUUCAAUUGAUUGUGACUGAUGAAUUUUCCCCCUUUGCAUGAUUUUGUCCGUUCAAUCUGGUAGAUUGGAGUCUACAAAAGGGACAUACGUAAAAGAGUGGGUUAAAUGGGAGAAGCAAUUGAGGGAUAUUUUACUUGGAAAUGCGGACUAUCUCAAUUCAAUACAGGUAAAUUUGUGCGACUUAGCAGUCCUUUCAGAUCUCUGAAGGCAUGUAAUAUCUCAUCUCACUUUCCACUGGAAAUGCAAUUUAAAUUGCUAUAACGUUAUUCAAGCCCUUCACUUCAAAUGUUCCCGUGACGUGUAGCGGUACUACAUGCAUACUCUAUUUGAGUUGUCAUACCUGUGUAGGAAUUGUAUGUUAAAUACUGGAGUAGUUCAUGUGGGUAUCAAUAAACCAUUUUAGUGAGCCAUUUUUUUUUUUUACCUGCGCUGUUGCAUAAAUGUGUUUUUUCUCUAUGUAUCUUUAUCAUCGGAAUGUGCAGGGGUUUGGGGUGGGGGCAAGUUGGAGGUCAUGUCUGUAGAAAAAGACUCAAUUACUUUUCCUUAAAUGAGCUUGUAUGCCAAAGAAGAUCAUAAGUGCUGCAUUAGUAACGCCUUCUAGUUGGAUGAUUUCGUUGGAUGGUUCAGCAAUCCAUGAAGCAACCCCCCCGGAACCCCCUGGCUCAGUGUGAAAGGAGAGAGUAGUGACAGCUCUAAAUAAGUCACCACAUUGUGGUAGGAGAGCUUUGGAGUGAUUCUGCAAAAGUUUUGUUUCAGGUUCCAUUUGAAUUUGCUGUUAAAGAAGUCAUUGACCAACUGAAAGCUAUUGCGAGGGGCGAAUAUGCAGCGCCUACUUCUGAGAAGAGGAAACUAGGAUCUAUUGUGUUUGCCGCUAUCUGCCUGCCAGUUCCAGAAAUUCUAAGUCUUCUGAAUGAUGUAAGUGAAUUUGCAAAAUUAUAAUUAUGGAGUCCUUAUGACUGGAGAUUUUAUGUCUUGAUGGUUGUAGUUAGUGGUUUAUGUUCUUAUCGUACUUCUUAGUUUGUGCACAAAACAUAUAAUUCCUUGUGGCUGGAUAAUUUUCUUGGCAGGUUGAGGAGACUGAUAGUAAUUCUUGUUUAUUUGUUUGCUGCCUUUGUUUUCUUUCAGUUAGCAAUUUCUUUAUUCUAGAAAAUAAAAAAAAAGAUAUUCUGCUUUGACUCUUUUGUCUUUCCAAUCUGUAAUGAUUUCCCAUCAUCUGAAAUUUCUGCAUUUCUGUCUAAAAAUCCUUCGGGUAAACAGUGAAGGAACUGAGGAGAGGCAUUCUAGUUUUGCAUAAAAGGACUCGACUAUGUUAUCUCAUGCUUCUCAUUUAUUUGUGGACAGCUAGCCCAAAAAGAUCCAAAGGUUGGCAAUUUCUUGAAGGACAAAAGCAUGGAGAGCUCCAUUCAGAAGGCCCAUUUGACCCUGGCUCACAAGAGAAGUCACGGUGUCGCUGCAGUUGCCAAUCAUGGUUCCUUUGUUCACGAAAAGGUGCCGGUAGACGUGGGUGCUUUGUUGUUCUCCGAUAAAUUGGCCGCACUAGAAGCUGAGCCUGGCUCUGUUGAAGGUGAAAAGGUCAAUUCUAAAAACCAAUGGCCCCAUGUCACAUUAUGGACUGGGCAAGGAAUUGCAGCCAAAGAUGCCAAUACACUACCACAGCUACUUUCCCAAGGGAAGGCUAACCGCGUUGAUAUAAAUCCACCGGUCACUAUAACUGGCACUCUCGAAUUCUUUUGAAUUCUAAUUGUAAUUCCAAGUCUUUUGUGGAUUUACGUAAUGUGAACCCUACAUGGGUUCUGAGUGAAUAUCAUGUAAUGAUUCUCCCAAGUUAACGGAACAAUUUUGCAGGAUAGAAUUAGAUCUAGAGAAAAUGUAAAGAUGAUUUUGAGCGCUGUGGGUAAUUUUGAAACCCCCCGGUAGCAUUUCUAAUAAAACCGUUUCGUACCCGUGUUUGAUAUAACUAGUGUUAUUCCUGAUAUGGGUUUGCAUCUGUUCUGCAGCAACUUGAAAUCGAAAUCGAAAUCGAAAUUGAAAUCUGUUCCAUUAAAUUGUCAUUGGAUUGAAAUUGUAUUUCCAGAUUCAUUUGUUUGGGCAGUGUGGUAAGACAACCAGCAAAGUUCCUAGUAGUAAUGAGCUCACCAAAUUCCUCCGCGGCAUCUAUUUGAGACAUUCUCAAUCCCAUGUAAUUGCAAUUGUGGCGUGAGAGACACUACUCAUCUGUACAUAAUUCUAUGUGAAUUUGCAAAGGAUCAUCUAAAAAUUGAAACAGGGUUCCAACUACUGAUCCAAUUUGACAGCAUCUCCACAUUUUUGCUUAUAUCUUCAACAGAAUCACUUCCAAGUGCCACCACAAUAUCCUCUGGAUAACUCUCCUUUGCCUCCUCCAGCAAAAUUUGAAAUAUUUCGCAUUCAAUAUUAUUGGUGAGCUUUUGACCUGUGUAGCCCCUGGUAAAUUCAGAAAGUCGAGACAGAUUUGUAUGAGCAACACCAAGAGGAAUAUAUGAGAACAAAAAAAAUAUCAAUUGAUGGUGUACCUUCUACUUAAUCUAUCAUACAAGACAGUAUUGUCGGUUUGAAGAACCACCACUCUAUCGAAGCAACGUUCAGGAAAGAAAUCACAACCAUGAUGAUCAACUAUGUUUCCACCUGCUUCCAUCAUGUCCUCAAGUGCAUCACAUACCUACAGUAGCAAAAUCAUGAAACUUGUACAACACAAUUUCUUCAUAGUUAAUUGUAUGAAAUACAAGGUCCGUUUCCUUAAGAGUUGACAAAUACCUUUUAUUGCAUUACUACAGAAUAUUUUUAAAACUCAAAGCACUAAGAACACAGAUGAAAAGUACAAUUUUAGUAUAUCUGCAAGAGUGACAAUACCGGUUAACCACAUUGGAGCAAUAUGAACAUAAAUUAUCUAUACAUAACACCAACUAAUGUACAAUUUCCAUCAAGCAGCUACAUUGUAAUUGGCAAACAGCAUUCAUUUGAUUUCCUAUCAGUUGAAAAGGAUAUGAUUGGGUGCUUAGAUUGAAAUAUCAAAGCUGGAGUAAUUGGUAACUAUAUUCUGAAAGUGGCUUACGAGUGUGAAGAAAUAGGGGAGAACAUCCAAAGGCCAGAUGUUGCAAAAGCUCAAACGCAACAAAGGCCAGAUGUUGCAAAAGCUCAAACGCACCAGUAACACAGGACAAUUUUGGUUUCUGUGACAAAGUAAAACUGAUAUGCCUUACCUUUUCUUCCUUGUUUGCUUUGAUAAGAAAACAUGUUUAUACAGAAAGCAGGCAUAUUGGCUGCAGCCUGCAAACCAUGUAGGAAAAUUUUCUCCAAAAAUGCAGGUAUUACCAAAGAAGUCGAGAACAUUAUACCAAUGCAGUACUGUCCCAACAGAAGUUCUCAGUUUUUAUUGCUAAUCUUCAAUUGCAACAGGUUAUCCUAAUUCAGCCAUCUCAUCUCCUUCCUUAACUUGUCAGAGGGUUUUUGCACUUCCCUUUUUUUCUGUCACUUCCCUCCAACCAGUUAAAUGUUAUGAUCAGUGUUCAUGGAAGCGUAAUGCGGAAAAAAGGGACAAAACUCCGCAUCACGCAUUACAUGAUGCGUGAAGCACAAGCAAAAGUUUAAACGAAACAUUAAAAUCACAAGUUAAAUCACCGAAACUAGAGAAAAAAGAAGUGAGGAGUGUAAGUAAAUAAAUAGAGAAAAGGAAAAAGAAAAACAGAAAGAAAAUAGAGCAAAACAGUAACAAAGAAGGAAGAAGGAAGAUAACUAGUAUAUCACUGUCUGAACUAAUUUAAGCAUAGCAAAUAAUAUCAAUAUCUAGUAUUAAGAUAUUGCAAGUCACUAAAUUUUAAGCAAAUAUUAUUGAAUGACGAGCUUAUUCAACCUUGUGAAACAAGCUACAACGAUGAUAGAAAUGAAUAUGCAAUUAACAAAAGUAACAUAGGUAAAUCUUCCUCUAUGCACAUGGAAAUAACAGUACAUUCAACGAACAUUGGAAACAAGGAAAAAUUCGGACUUCAAUAUUUUUUAUUUCAAGCAGUGAAAAAUUAAAACAAAGUACAUUGAAAAAUAUUUCAGAGUAAUGUGAAUUUUUUGAGUAAUGUGAAUUUGAGUGUUGUUGGGGUGGGGGAAGAGGGGUGAGGUGGGGGUGGGGUGUCAUUUUCUGGAAAAUGACUCCCCUUGGCCUAUGAGGGAAGUCAUUUUCCCUCAAAUAGAGGAAAAUAAGUCAUUUUGGAAAACAUUUUCCCAAUGUUUUAGUACAAUCAAACAAGGGAAAAUAAGAAAAUAUUUUUCAGAAAACAUUUUCCAUCAUACCAAACACAAGUAAUCUUAGGAUUUUUUAAAAUUCCACUUUCAAAAAAUUAAAUGACAUUUAAUAUAUUUUAAUCAUUAGAGAAACAUAGAUAUAAUUUUCUUUAAUAAUCUAAGUGAAAAGUUUAUCAUAUAAUGAAAAAAAUUGAAUAAUUUGUACUCCUUUAACAAAAUUUAUUUAGUACCUUCCCAAUAUCGAGAAAUUUCAAAAACAUUAAACUAAAUCCAGUAAAAACACUAAUUUAUUCUUAUUUUUCUAAUACAUAAAUGACUUCUAAUAAGGAGUGAUAUAGUAAAAUCAUCAUUCGAAAGACGAAAAUUUAAUUUAAAACAUUUAGAGUUAAUUUCGAAUCGUAUGUCUAUUUUAUUUUUCAUUAAAUAUUAUUUAUUUUCUUAAUACUUAGAUGACACAUAAUAAUUAAUUAAGAGCGAUUGAUUAUGUUAUUACUAUAAAAAUUAAUAUAAUUUUAUCAUAUCCAAUAGUAAUCAUCNNNNNNNNNNNNNNNNNNNNNNNNNNNNNNNNNNNNNNNNNNNNNNNNNNNNNNNNNNNNNNNNNNNNNNNNNNNNNNNNNNNNNNNNNNNNNNNNNNNNNNNNNNNNNNNNNNNNNNNNNNNNNNNNNNNNNNNNNNNNNNNNNNNNNNNNNNNNNNNNNNNNNNNNNNNNNNNNNNNNNNNNNNNNNNNNNNNNNNNNNNNNNNNNNNNNNNNNNNNNNNNNNNNNNNNNNNNNNNNNNNNNNNNNNNNNNNNNNNNNNNNNNNNNNNAAAAGUCAAUUAAAAUAAUAAAAUUGAUUUACUUUAAAUAUUUAGUUGCAAUUAAUUAAGAUAACUUUUUAUUUUGUCAUGAUUUAUGCUGCACCGAUAAAAUUUUGAGAGUUGAAUAGAACUUUUAUCUAUUUUUAAAAAAGUAUUUUAACUUGUUAAUUAUUGUGAUUUAUAAUAAUUAUUACGUAAUUAUCAAAUAAUAUAUUUACUCCUUGUGUCCCAAGUUAUGUGGCUUUGAUACAAUUUUGAGAGUCAACUAAAAUUUUUAUAUAUCUUUUAAAUAUUUUAAGUUGUUAAUUAUUAUGAUUUGUAGUAAUUUUUUUUUUAUCUCAAUUUAUGUGGCAUUGCUAAAAUAAUGAGAGUCAAUAAAAUUUCUAUAUGUGGUAACAAAUUAUUGUGAUUUGUGGUAACAAAUUAGUUUUGAACAUGAUAGACAGUUAAAUAAAAAAAAUUACUUUCAAUAUGUAGUUAUAGUUAAUUAAUACAAAUUAAUAGAAUAUAUUAAAUAUUUAAACCAUGAAAUAAUAAAAUUAUUAUAUAUUGAAAUAUGAUAUAUAAUUAAAUGAAAGUAAAUAGAUAUUUGGAUAAUUGCAUAAGACCUCUUGUAGAAAUAGAAAUAGAAAAGAACCGAAAAAUAAAACUAUCACUGAGUAAUAUGACAAAACAAAGGAUAACACACUUGUAACAAGACUAAGCGCACAGAUAACAAAACAAAAUCCUCCUACCAACCUAUGAUCCUUGUACACAAAUUCGCAACUUGAAAUCUAAGGUUUAGUAGUAUUUUUUCGAAGUUAAAAUACUUACGAGGUCUUCAUUGAUUAUGUAACAUUCCAAAUUAUCAUCCCAUCCAUCGUGCAACUUCUUCUCUUUAACUAAUUCUCCGACGUUGAUGUGCCGGAGCUCCGUCGCCUCCGACAGUGCCGACGAAGUCGUCGUUUUGCCCGUGCCCGGAGUUCCGGUAAUGAGUAUGUUAGGUUUUCUCCUGCUAUUGUGCGCCAUGUGUGCUAAUUAAAUGCGUUCUUUUCACAAAAAUAGUGAAAAUAUCAGUAGUUAAUAAUGCAAUUCGUGUGAGGGUAUUCCAAAAAUAUGCUAGGCACAAAGUAUAAUAUAGUCAUAAUAAAAUAUAAUAUUAUUUUAUUUUAUAUUUAACUAGAGAUAUUAGAUAGUCGAAAUUAUUUAUCUUAUUAUUUAUAUAAGAUAAAUUAUUCUAUAUAUAUAUUAUGAGAUAAUUAAUUUUGGGAUAACUUAUUUUCAAUCAAACGACUCUUAGGACUCGUUUGGUACGAGGAUUAAAAGAAUAAUUAAUUCUGAAAUUAAUUUUGAAAUAAGUUUAUAACAUAUUUGGUUGGGAUAAAAAACGUGAAAUAACUCAUUUUGAAUUAAUUGUUUAAAAUUAUAGUCUUAUUUCUAUCCCAUAUUAAAUUAAAGAUGAAAUAAGAAGAAAUUCCAAAAUAAGUAAGGGGAAAAUAACAGAAACGAUAUUUUAAAUUAAAUAAUUUUCAUGAAAAUGGUCAUGAAAUUUAAAUUCUAUUUUUUAACCAUUUCAAUUUACUGACUUAUUUUAUACGUUUCUACACAUAUUCUAUACAGUUUCUAUACAAAUAUUAUACAUAUAAAUAUUCUAUACGAAAAAUUAUAUAGUUUUAAUACACAAUUUAUAUAAUAACUGCACGUUUUUUUUACACAUUUUAUACAAUAAUUAUAUAAGUUUCAUAUACUUUUUAUAUAUUUUUAUAUGUAUUUUAUACAUAUACACAUUUGAUAGAACAAUAUAAUUUCUAUACAUGUAUCUUAUAUAGAUACGUAUUCUAUUUAAUAAUUAUAUCAUUUUUAUAUAAUUGAAUUAUUAUUUCUAAACAAUAAAAAAGGUAGAAUAUUUGAUCAAUUAAAAAUUUUAUAGCAAAAAAAAUUAAAAUAUUUUUAAAAGAAUCGAAUUGCCCAAAUUGAAUACUAUAUCAGUAUUGUAUAUAGACUGUAUCAGUAUUCUAUAUGAACUGUAUAGGGUGAAUCUCAAUAAUAGAUUCAAAUUGGGAUGACUUUCAAAUUUUAGCCCCAAAUAAAAAAGCUUCCUUAAAAUAACCUUUAUCUAUUAACUAAUAUUUUUUCGGACAAAAUUAUGUCUGAUCAAUGGAGUAAAUUACAUAAAUGAUCCUCACAAUGGAUAACAACUCCAUGUUUAUAUCUUUCAAUUUUUUUUUCUCCUUUUAAUUUUACUUUUAUUUUUAUUUUUUAUUUUUUAUUUUCUCAACCCUUGCUUUUUUUCUCUUUCCUCUCAACUUUUUUUUUUUCUUUUUAUUUUAUAUUAUUUUUUUCUAUUUUCUUUUCAAUUUUUUUUGUUCUUUUUAGUUUUUCUCAACCCUUACUUUCUUUUCUUUACACUUUUCAACAUCUACUUUUAUAAAAAAGAAAAAAAAAACUUUUUUUUAUUUUUUUUCUUUUUAAAUUUUUCUGAACCUUUAUUUUUAUUUAAUCUUUCUUUUUUUAUAACUUUUAUUUUUUUCCUAUUCUCUCUCAACUUCUACAUUUUCUUUGAUUCUUAUUUUUUAAAUAUUUUUCCUCAUUUUCUUAUUUUUCCGCAAGUUUUAUUAUUUUGUUCUUUUCUUCGAUUUAUUCCAUUCAAGUUACAUCUCAUGAGUAAGAGUCGACACUAUCACAAUAUAAAGGCAAGACUUAUGGCUUUCGAAUAAUAAGCUACGUUUCAUGGGUAAGAGUUGACAUUACUAUAUUGUAGAGGCUAAACUUAUGACUUUCAAACAACAAGUUAGGUUUUAUGGGCAAGAGUUGACACUAUCACAUUGUAAUUUGAUUUAUGAGAUGUUUUAUAAUUCUUACCUUAGAGGCAAGACUUAGCUCAGUGACUUUCAAACAAUAAAUUAUACCCCAGGAGCAAGAGUUGACUCUACCAGAUUAUGUUUUCAUUUACGAGACGUUCUACAACUAUUGUCUUAGAGGCAAGAUUUAGCUCAAGGACUUUCAAAUUACAAAUUAUAACCAACGGGCAAGAGUUAACUCUACCACAUUAUGUUUUCAUUUAUGAGAUGUUCUACAAAUAUUGUCUUAGAGGCAAAACUUAUUAGCUCAAGGACUUUCAAACAACCAAUUAUGCCCCACGGGAAACAGUUGACUCUACCAUGAUAUGUUUUCAUUUAUGAGAUGUUUUACAACUAUAAAAGAAUUAAAAAAAUUGUGAAAAUAAAAAAUGAGGGAAAAAAUAAAAAUAAAGUUUGCGAAAAAUGAGGGGAAAGAAAAAGAACUGAUAAAAACCAAAAUAAAGGUUAAAGACAAACGAAUUAAAAAAAGAAGAAAAAAAAUAAUGCUUGAGAAAAAAGAAAAAAAAAAUAAAGGUUGAGACAAACGAAUUAAAACAUGAAAAUAAAAUUAAAGGAAAAAAUAAAAAAUAAAAAUAAGAAAAAAUAGAACAAUAAAAUUAAAGGAAAAAUAAAAAAUUGAAAAUAAUAAAAAAUAGAAUAAUAAAAUUAAAAAAUAAUAAAAAGUGAAAAAAUAAUAAAAAUUAAAUUUGAGAAACAAAUAAGUGUGAAAAGUUUCAAAAAAAUAUUUGAGGCAUAGAGGGGCAAAAUGAUACUUGUACUAUACUUAAAAAGUAAGGAAUGUUAUUCUUUAAAGACAUUUCUUAUUGGGGUCAAAUAUCUAAAGUCACUCAUAUUUGGAUCUAUGACAUGCAAUUUUCUGAAAACCACCAGUUAAGAGCCUAAAUAAUGGCCCAAGUUUGGAUUGACUGUAUGUUAAAGUCUGUUUUUAACCUAUUUAAUAUUUCAAAAAUAAAAUUUCACAAUGAUGUUUUUAAAAAAUUGAGUUGGAAUUUACUAUAUAAUAUAAGGGACAAUUCAUAACUUUGGUAGUCCUCACAACCUCUUAAUCACUCUUAUGAUUACAAAUAGUUGUUGUAAUUGGUUGUUUAUCAUGUAUUGUCAUUAUUUGAAAGCCAAAUUAUACUCUACUCAUAAUAACUACUUUUGUUUGGUUUAUACAUUACAAGUGGCCCUUUUCCACCCCCUCGCUUACUUUUAAUUUUUGAUUUUUCUUGUAAUUAAAAUAGAAAAUGAUUAGUAAUAAUUUAUAUUAUAUUUUGUUUAAUACAUCAUAUGUAGUGCAAUUUUUGAAAGAAAUUUUCUUUUCACUUUAUUGUCAUUCAUAAUUUAUUUUUAGUUCUCAUGAUUCAUUUUUCGAAAGUCAAUUUGAGUAAUUUUUAAAAUUAAAUUAGAUUAAAUUAAUUUGACAUUUCAAAAAUAAAAUUUAAAUAUUUAAAAAAUAUAUCAAAAUUAAUAUAAAUUAUAAUUUUCUCAUAUCAAUAUGAUGAAAAACUAUAUAUUUUAAAAUAUUGGUCCUAAUUACAUCGAUUGACUCUUAAAAGAAAAACUAUAACAAUUAAAAAGGAAGAAGGGGGUAAAAUUUAGGGAAUUUUAGAGGUAAAUUUUCUUUGUGAAUUAAAGUAUUUAUUUGAUAUUUUUUACAUUUAAUGAUUUAAACAUAUCUUAUAUCAUAUAUUCCUCUCUAUACUAUGGUUCUAGAAGAAAAAAUAAUUGGUAUAAAAUACUUAAAAUUACUUGGUUAAACUUUUGUCAUAGAUAAGAUAUGUUGAAAAAUAUUAUAUUUCAACUUUUAUCAUGGUUUAACCUUUAAUUUCUUUACAAGGCAAGCCAAAUUCCUUUUCUCUUUCUUAUAAUUUGCAUUAAAUAUUGCAUCUGUUUUAAUAAAAGGUUAGUGCAUUGAUUUACAAUAAAUUAGCAUUUUUUGAGAAAAAAAAAAGAAAAAGGACAAGGACUCUUAACUUUUUAAAGAAAUUUAUUCAGUUAAGUAUAAUAUUGGGAGAUGAAGAAGAGGAAAGGAGAAUAGUACGAUCUUAAUUUUUUGAUAAUUAUAUAUUUGUAUAAGCUAUAGACUAUUCAUGUUGACCUACUUUUUUCUAUCUUUUUUAGAAUUCAAUAAAAAAAUUUAUGAACAAUUUAAUCCACACCUUUAAAACAUGCAUUAUAAAUAUUAAAAGCAGAAAUUAGUGAAUGAUGUUAUAUAAUGUUGAAAAUGAAGGUAGCGUCAUUGAUCAAUAUUGAAUUAAUUAUGCAACAAAAAUAACAUAAUUUAUGCUUAUUCAAUCAAUUAAAAUUAUAUUUAUUAUAUUUAGGUUUAUGUCCAGGCUCAGCACGGGUCUCGUGCGACUAGUCUAGCAUAUAUGCUUGGAUUUUCACCUUUAAAUAUUUCUGAACUCCGGCAUAGAUAUAUUAUGUUGGAGUUUCACCGGCAUUUAUUGUAAUGGAGCUUAUGAAAGAGUACAGUUUUUGUUGAAGAGGAGCUAAAUAUUGAAUAGUUAUGAGAUCAUGUUGUAGACAUCGUUAGAGUUCUUGGAGGCUAUUAUACCGUAAAUCCUAGAUUAUACUUAGAUAAAGAGACAAUUAUUUCUUGAAAAGACAUUUCCAAUAUCCCAAAAAUUCAUAGGAUAUUCAUAAAGAGAUCAAGAUCUCUAGUAUCUCACAAAAUCACUCAUAAAUUCACGGAUAUUUAUCGAAAGAUCAACCAUCUCAAAUAUCCCACAAAAUCACGGGAUAUUCAUAAUGAGGUCAUCCUACGUUCGAGAAAUAUGCUACUAACGACCCUCGAAUUACGGUGAAAAUCAAAAGAGGAAUCUUCGAGAGAGAAGAAUUAACGGAGAAAUAGAUUUAUACCCAUAUCUUCAUCAAUAAAUAUUGAUAAAUAUUCUCGUUUCUUCAUAUUUUUUGUGAUUGCAAUUUAUUUGCCAUAAAAUGUAUUGCAAACACAUGUGUAAAAGUUAAUGACGUGUCUGAAAAGGUGUUAUUUGACAAUUUAUCUCAUUUGUAUGUUAGGUUACUUUGUUAGAUUUGAAGAAUAAUAUGACGAGAAUGGUUGGGCCUCGUGUCUGGACUAGUGCAACACACAAUACUUCGCAUCAAAUAGAAAAGCCCAUGUGCGAGAAACAAAUAGAGAAGCCCAUACAUUUGCAAAUUGCAUCAAAUAGAAAAGCCCACGUGUGAGAAACAAAUAGAGAAGACCAUACAUUUGCAAAUUGCAUCAAAUAGAAAAGCCCAUGUGUGAGAAACAAAUAGAGAAGCCCAUACAUUUGCAAAUUGCAUCAAAUAGAAAAGCCCAUGUGUGAGAAACAAAUAGAGAAGCCCAUACAUUUGCAAAUUGCAUCAAAUAGAAAAGCCCAUGUACGAGAAACAAAUAGAGAAGCCCAUGUCCUUCCCUCUCCAUUCUCUGUGCGAGCCCAUAUGGCUGAAGCCUUGUGUUUUUGAUGGAAAAAUAACAUAAAUUUCGAUAGUUUGGAUCUUAAUUACAAAAAAAUUAUAAUUACUGAAAAUAUCAAUUUUAAAUCCGUUGAGCUACAUUAUUAACUCUCCGAUACAUCCAACGAAGAUACAUUUUUUCCUUUAUAAAGAUACAUAAUUGGCUUUCGAUACAUUUUCUCUUAUUUGGUGUCUGUCGAGAUACAUAAUACAUCCAACGAAGAUACAUUUUUUUCUUUUGUAAAAAUACAUAAUUAGCUCCCGAUAUAUUUUUCUUCAAUUUUGAGUGUCGAGAUAUAUACUUAAUUAGCUCCUGAUACAUCCAAUAGAGAUAUAUAACUAAUUGAAAUUUUUGUAAUUACUUUGUAAGGGUAGAGAUUUGUAUAAACGUGAUAAAUUAAGGUGUGUGUUUAUGUUACUGUUUUGUUAGAAACUUUAUACCUUAUAUAGCCAUUUAUCAACACUAACCUCUCAUACAUGUGAAUAAAUUAUUCGUUCAAUUAAGCAUAAUUUCGAAGUGCAAAACCAUGUCUGUUUUAUUUGAUAAACUCCUUAUAUAUGAGAAAAGAAAAGUACUUGCCAUUUUUUCUUUUAAUCCUUUCCUUCCCAAUAAAGAAUUGCAAAUAGAGACGAGAGGGAACUUUCUACUGAACUGUGAACCAUCGAUAAAAAGAGAAAAACAAAUAGGUUAAAUAAACAACCAUUGAAUUAUUGUCGAUUGUAGUAUACGGUGGCAUACAUAAUUGUAGGUGACACUAUCAGAAAUUAGAUCUAUGGUGACGGUUGCAAAAUCGUUGCAAUAGACCAAAAAAUAGUUGCCAUAGACCUAUCGCAACGGUUCUGCAACCGUCCCAUAGGUGGGCGUUGCAAUAGAUCUAUUGCAACGGUUUCUGCGACGAUUGUCUAAACCGUCGCCAUAGGUAGAGCUAUGGUGACAGUUUUUGACAACCAUCGCCAUAAAUAGACCUAUUGAGACGGUUAUUUCUUGACUUAUUGAGACGUCUAUUUUUAUCUAUUGCAACGGUCACAAACCGUCGCAAUAGAUGUUAUUGCGACGCAUUUGUUGUUCUAUUGCAGCGCUUUUUGACUACCUAUUAUAACUAUUUCAUUACUUAUUAAAACGCCUAUUUUCAUCUAUUGCAACAACAUUAAACUGUUGCAAUAGCAUCUAUUGCGAUGCUUUUGUUAUUCUGUUGCAACGCUUUUUGACUACCUAUUGUUAUUCUAUGCUAACACAAUAUAUAUACAUCACAAAACAAAAUCAUUCAUUAAUAAUAUAAAUCAUUCAUUAAUAAUCCAAAUGAUUAGUUAAGUUUUUACAUACUAGCAAGUUCAAGUCACGAUAAGUUUCAAAAAAUUCAACACAAAACUAUUGAUAUUAGAGCAUUUAUCCACAACCCAAAAAUCUUCUCCAGUAAGGUCAAUGUCUUCAUCAUUUUCUUCAUCUCUUUCUUCAUUUUGGACACCUAUAAAAAGAGAACAAAUAAUAUAAAUUAGCACUUAAAUGACAACAUAAAAAGGACUAUUCCACAACAAAAUAAGUACAUAAACCACACAUAAGUUAGCUAGUGAAGAGACAAAUCAACCAAUCAUGGUUAGAAAGAAGUACAAACAUCCAAAUGUGAGAUGAUAAAAAUUAAAGAACAAGUGAAAUUGCCAAAAGAGAAAACUACAGUUCCACAUUUAUAUAGGUCUAACAUAUGUGAUCCAGUUAGCACGCUCCACAGUUCAAAAGAGAAACACAUUCCAAGAUGAAAAAACUUGAUUAUUCUCUAGUCUAACAAUUAGAUGUCCUAUAAUGGUGAAGCAACAGCACUUCCAAAAUCACAAUACUAUUUUUGAGUUUCAUUUGUCAUAACACGAAUUUGGUAACGUAGUUUUUUUCAUGAUUAAAUAACAUAGCCAAUACCUGAAUUUAGCAACAGUAUCUGGUGUGUAGAGUAUGCCUUGUGGGGAACUUGCUUAUUACUUAAGAGAAAAGACAAGUUGUUAUACUAUUAAUUAUAUCCAAGAAUGAGGAUAAUGAGGAAUUAUAUAAAAAAAUAGUUAGAGAAUUACCUUUCUCAGUUAUAAGAGCAGCUAUAGUUUCUGCCACAUCCUUCAAGACACUACAAAAAUGUUUGACAUAUAAUUUUAGUAGAACUUUUAGAUUCAGUUGCAUAGUCUACACAAGAAACUAAAGAAUACCUGCCACCACUCCAUCGAACUAAUAGGCCAUUUGAGAAUAUGAUGUUACUCUCGAAAGCUUUUAGCGCACUGUUGAAUGCCUCCAACACAAGAAAGAAAGAGCAAAUAACUCAAACUAGGGAACUGAAAACAACAAAUAUUUUUUUGAAAAUAAUAAUGAAUACCACUAGAUUAAACCCAAUGUCCAGGUUGGAUUGCAGGUCCCUCAAUGAUGAGAUUGGGGACUACUCUUAGUACUGUGCCGUGAGGCACCAAUAAGGCAUCCAAACCAACAAAAGCUGAAAAUAAUAAAUAAAAACACUUGCUGCAAUAAAAGACAGUAAGAGCACUUACCGUCUUCGACAUCUUUCAACUGGUAGUACUGAGGUGCUAUUUCUACAAGCCAUUCAGGUUUAAGUUCAGGUUUUAAAUGUAUUGUCUAUAAUCAUGUUAGGGAGAAACUUGUAAUUAGACACUGCUUACCAACUGUGAUUCUGCCACUGAGUCCUGUCCAUGUAGUUGUCCAUCCUCCACAUUGGUAUCCAAGAUCAUCAGCAUGAGUUCCAGCAACGAGUAUUUUUUUGCGGUCUUAUCUAGAGGAAGAAAUGGUUUCUUUGGAUCUUCCUCAUUUUUCAACAAAACCAAGGAUUUGUGAACUGUUUCAGGUGAUAGGUCUCUAUGUGCCUAAAUAAUGUGAAAAAAUUAACCAGACUUAAAACUGAUCGAAGAUAGUGAAAUACAGAAUCAUUAUUGUGCUAAUGUAAGACAAUAUAUAGCCAACUGCUAUUUAGAUUCCAUAUAAAAAACAACUAUAGAAGAGUCCAACGGAGAACUUCAACAAUUGAAUAGAACAAAUACUGGUCACAUGUAAUCUCCUUAAAACUUGAACAUUUAGGGAAGAGUAUGAUAUACAAGGUUCUAGAAGGCAUUUUCAAAACCAACAGUGACUUUCUAUCUAUAAAGAUGGGGUUGGAAGGCUAUUAAUCCAUUUUAAGAGGGAGUUUCUUCUAAGAAGUGGUUCUUGCCUACUCAUGUUAUACGAUUGUUCUCCAAUAUGAGAUGAUGUUGUACUCUUAUAAAUGUAGAGAAAGUAGUGUUAGACUCAGAAACGCCUAAAUAGUCCCAAUAGGCAACAGAAAGAUGUAAGAAUACCUUGCAACCAACCAAAUCCAUCAAUGAUCUAUCUGUAAACGAAUGUUUAAAUAAUUCAUUAACAAAUUUAACUCUCAAGAUUCUUUCAACAUUAUUAUCUAUCCUGGUCAUCAGUAUCUUCCCUGAUUCCACCAGUGAUAGCAGCUCCGUCAAAAUUAAUUCAUACCUAAAUGACACCAUGACCUGCAAGUAUUCACAAAAUGCAAACGGAUGGUGUGAAUUAGGCUAAAAAGCUAUUUUUUUUUUACUUCCAACUCAAGGUUUUGAUCAUAUCAUUGGCUGGUUGAGACUGUCAAACAACAUCAAUAACAUAAGCUUUAUCAUGGUAUGAAAGUAGAAUAAACUCUCAGAGAUUGGGGUUGGGGUUGGGAUUUGGGGGGUUUAAGAUAUGGAUUGCUUUCGAAAAAGCCAAUAUAUCACAAGUUGGUGGUGAGGGGAAAAUCAAGUUGUUGUUGUUAAGGGUACACGUAAAGAGAGGCCCAAUAUUACAAAGAUUGUCUGGUUGAGCGACAGCUUUGUGCAGUAAGGGAAGGUUGCAUAUAGCAGGAGUGAAUGAACAUCAAUUAUUAGCUGAAUUUUACUCGACGCAUCAAAAGUAUUAUGUGCAAGAUCAAAAAGUGGUUAGCACUCAAGUGUGUGAAUGCAGACACCUUAAUCUAAAGAAGCAUACAUCUGAGAAUCUUCAUCUACCUUCAUACGACAUACUACCAAUCUAAGGUAACACUAAUAAACUAUCUCAUCGAGUCUUACUGAACUUAUCAUGUUGUUUUUUUCAAGAACCUAAAUUCAUGUAGACAAGCAAAUAAAUGUCAGUGACAGCAUUUUGAGAUUAAAAGAUAGUUUGUACCUUGAAAAUAGUAAAAAAAAUUUGUUUUUUAAUGCGGAAGCUCUUAACUUUCUCAAAAUCCACCAAAUCAAAAUAUAUAUCUUUCCCAAUCUGUCGUCAUAUGUCUUUAUCAUGAGCAACCUAGUCAAGUCAUGCAAUAAUUAAAAGGUAACUCGAGCAACAAGAGUUUGUCCUGAAUCAUUAGAUGAACAGGACCACACUCCCAGAUCAAAACAAUUAUCUUCAAAGAGAGAAUUUAACUGUCAGUUCAUAAGUACUCGCCAAUUUUCAGAGUCAAAUAUCAAGAUAUAUACAUCCAUAAUUUUAGAAUGUGCUUCUGUGAGAAAUUCAGAAAAAGAAAAGAGACUACUACAAAUUCCUUCAGAACAAUCAUUUCAUGUCCUAAAGCCAGUCUAUAAAACUACACACAAUUCAAUAAAGAAAAAGUUAGCUUCAGUAAAAUUUACUGCCCAAUUCAAUAUAAGCAAAUAAAAAAGGUAAACAGACAAGAUAAAGCUUCAUCAGUUUAAGAUCUAUGAGAAAAUAUUUGCAACGUGGAAAAGUACUUUGAUUACUCAUUUCAUACUUUUCUUGUAGUUCCACUCUUCAUUUUUUAUAGGAACAGACAACAAUGGAAAGGGGUGUAGGACUAACACUAUAUAUCAAGCAUAAAUUCAACAACAUAGUGUACCUGUAAGUUCAAAAUGACACUAAAAUGCUUAUUAGAUCUUAUGUCUUCCCCAACUUGACCUCUAUUGUUCAACUGUCUUCUUCUUAUUGAACAGAUGAGCAUCGACCAAUAAAUGUGGAACACAAGUAAGGUCAAGAGCAUUGUGUUGAAGAAGUAGUAUAACAUUGUAUCAUAUGCCUCUGACAACUUCAAGACCUCCCACAGAUAAUAACUGGGAAGUGAAACACAUCGAACUAAUUAGGAGAAACUAGAAAAGGGGAACAAUACCAUGAGUAGAAAAUCUGAUAAGUGCUAACCUUGAGGAUCGUAUGACCCAAAAUGAAAAGAAAAAUAGCCUAAGUACAAGCCAGGAGACAACAAAACAACCAAACAGUACUCUAGCUCCAAGCUUCUUCCACAAAUAUUUAAAAAGUUUGGCAGCCUCCAUAAAGACAUCACUUGCAUCAUGUAAUGCAAGAAUAACAAUCCUUAUUCGAAAGAAGCUACACAUGUCAAAACACAACAAAUUAAUACACAAACUGCAACAGAUUAAAACUGCUUCUUUCUUCUAAUAUAUCGGCAGCAAUAGAAAUAUUUUGCAUUUGCUAAUUUAUUUCCUCGAGUGUUAGCGAAAUAACACUGGGUUAGAGACUUCUUUUCAAAAUUUCAAGUAGUCUGACAAGGUUUUUGACAGAUAAUCUCUGCCAUUGAAACUCUUAUACACCAAAAAACCCUAGGUUUUUUUAUAUAUGAAUAUGCAAAUUAAAAUUAUCACCAUUAUUGGCAUCUAAUUGUUCUUCCUUUGGCAAUAAAUGUUCAGUUGUCCACUUCCCUUCUACUAUUUUUACUCUUGAACUAGGUUUUCAGAGUUUAAAAUCUACUUAGACCAAACAUCCCUUACCCUACCAUCAAUUGAAAAUGAAAAGAAAAGUUAUCUCUUAAAAUAUGUCAAAGAAUGUCUGAGCUCUGUGGUUAAGUGCAUAUGAAAAUUUCAAGCACAUAUAAAAUUCCCACUUGUAUUGCACCCACCAUAGGCAUAGAGACCAUAAAAGUGUUGAUAACAUCAUACAUAAAUCAUGUCCCUGUUUUCAUAUCAAGAUAGAGUAUACAUACACAAAUGAAAAAAAGAUAAUGAAAGGAGGAAAGUGAUAACUAAAAAACAAAAGGUUAGCUACUGAUAAAUUAAACUUUACCUUGAAAUAUAUGAGAAUGAAAUCAGAAUAACAGUGACUAUGUGAUGAGACAUCCUUACAGCAAAGUCUUUCCGUUGCGUUUCCCAAAGAAGGAAAGCAACAAUGAAAUAGAUGUAGAACCCACAUUGGCACAUAUAGGUAAGUUUAAUUCCAUCCCUGAAAUGAGAAAUGAACAUAAGAAGUCAGAUUCUAUCAACGCCCAUGUAAACAUUUUAUCAAAUAUCCUUAUGGCUGCAAGUACCGGUUACAGGGUUACUUCUACCAUCUGGGUUGCCCCGCCAAGAUACGGGUCCGACUUCUUUGAUGCCCAAAUUUGCUCAGAAAGAAAGAAAAAAAACAUCAUAGCAUUAGAAUUUUUGCUAGAAUUAUUACUAGUAAAAUUGAUUCUCGGUUUGGAUGUGAGCAUUUUGGAGAGAACAAGCAAACACUUUAAGGGGUCGUUUGGCUGAGUUUAAUUGAAAAAAGGGUUGUUGAAUUUAUUUAUAUUUUCACAGUAGAAAUUGAAAUCACAGGCAUAACAGAGAGGAGUAACAACCCUUUUAACUUUAUCCUCUACUCUCCACAACCCUCAUUUUUAAUCUCUGAGUUUUUUUCCUUUUAGGAAAAAUUCUCGUGUGUUUUUCAACCUAUCAAUUCCCCAGCUGCCUUUAUGAAAAAUCAAACAUUGAGGCUCAGAUCUGUAAUGCUUACAAUACAACAAGAGAGACCGGAUCGCCGCAAUGACUGCAAACACCGAUUGCAAGCUCACCUGCUAUCCGGGUUGCCCCGCCAAGAUACAGAUUCAAUCGCUCUCCUGCAUUAAUGAAUUACUCAAAGAAGGAAAGAAGAAAAUCAUCAUCACAGCCUCAGAAAUUUUGCUGCAAUUAUAAUUACAACUACUACUACUAAUUCUCACCUUGGGGUUGAGAGUUUGGAGAAAAUAACCAAAGAUUUAUAGAUAUUUCAUUGAGUUUUUAACUAAAAAAAGGGCUAUUGAAUUAUUUUUUUUUCAUAGUAAAAACUGAAAUCACAUCUACUCUCCGCAACCCUCAUUCUUCUUUACUUUUUGAACUAAGCUUUUUUCCUUUUAUUGGGAAAUUCUUGUAUUUUUCAACAUGCAAAUAUUCCAGCUGCAAUGAAAACAACAACUAAAGUAACUCAUUUCUACCUUGUGGAGAUAAAGAGGAGAUUUUCAAUAGACCCUUAGCAAAUUGUGGCCUAAGUUGCUCGGCCUCUCAAAAAUGUUACCUGACUUGCCUCCCUCGUGUCGAUUCGUCCAAAAAUGAAUUACUUUUGGAGGAUUCUAAGUGCACCCAUCAACAUUCUCAAAGAGUCCGGGAAACUUAGAAGAAUAAACUAACCUUAAAAUCAAUUAGAAGAAUAAACUAACCUUAAAAUCAACAAAUUAGAAGAAAGCCUCAAAUUUUGGAGGAUUCUAAUCUGAAUUAUUGGAGGAUUCUAAUCUGAACUACUUUUGGAGGAUUCUAUGCGCUGAGGUUAUUUAGUCAGAAUCAUCAAUUAGAAGAAUAAACUAACAUUAAAAUCAACAAAUUAGAAUAAAGCCCCAAAAAUGAACUACUUUUGGAGGAUUCAAGUUCGAACUACUUUUGGAGGAUUGUAUGUGCUGAGGUUAUCCAGGAAACCUAGAUCAAAAUUGUCAAUUAGAAGAAUAAACUAACCUUAAAAUCAACAAAUUAGAAAAAAAACCCAAAUUUUCUCCGAAAUUGAAGUGGUGGUCGGAGCAGUGGUGCCUCUUUACAACCUCAACGACUAAAAUAUGGCAGCUGAAAAUUGAAGGAUGCUGUCGCAACUGAGAUUAGAUGGAUGGAGAUAGAUCCUGUGGCUGAAAUUCGGUGUGGAAUAGGAUGGAGAUAGAUUUGGGUGAAAGUGAACUCAGGUCCGUGAGGUCGGAGCUUGAAAUAACAGUGAGGUCGGAGCUUGAAAUAACAGUGACGGUUGGAGCUGAAUAUCAGUGGCGGUCGGAGGAGCUUUGCUUUGUGGUGGCUGAUAGCGGACACACAGUGGAUGUUUUUGACGGACAUAAGUGUGUAUGUAUAUAUNNNNNNNNNNNNNNNNNNNNNNNNNNNNNNNNNNNNNNNNNNNNNNNNNNNNNNNNNNNNNUAUAUAUAUAUAUAUAUAAAAUAAUAUAAAACGGAUGAAAUACGUUGCCUUAGAUACUUUAUGAAAACAGUUUUGGACAACCGUUGCUACAGAGUACUCUAAUACAACGGUUAUAUGAUAAAUGCAAUGAUUAUACCAUCAAAUAGGUUUAUUACAACAAAAAAAACUGCAACGGUUGAAAUCGUUACAAUAGGCUAUCUAUAGCAACGUUUUUUCAAUCGUUGCUAAAACUUUUAUUGCGAUAGGAAUAUUUUCUGGUAGUGUGAUCAAAUUUCAACUAGAUAAGGAUACAAGGGUUUACCAGCCAACCACAUUAUAAUAUUCCGCAGCCAAAAUGAAGAAACACAUUGAGUAUAUAUAUAUAUGAUCCAAUCCAAAUGGUUUGGAGAAUUUGUGAUGUCCUUUGAUGAUAAAACGUAAGUUAAUACAUAAAAAUAAUCCUAAACUUGACAUCAAAUUAUAAUUUUGAUCUUAAACUUUGAUAAUGCACAAAUAUGACCUUUAGCUAUUCAAAAUUGUACAAAUAUAACCUUCAAUCCUACGUGGCAAAACGCGUAUUCAACACGCAAAAUUGGGUGCGUCCAACUUAAAAUCUAAGGGCAUAAUACAUAAAUAUGACCUUAAACUUUAAUAGUGCACAAAUAUGACCUUUAACUAUUCAAAACUGCACAAAUAUGACCUUUAAAUGACUCUUCACUAUUAUUUUUUCAUUAUUUUCGACUCAAAGAUGAAAAUGACAUCUAAUUUCUUUUGUCAUUACGGAAAAAGAGUAAUAUUGAAGAUUUAUUAAUUAGGCGGGUCAGCCUCAUACAAAAAAAAUUAAGCGAAUAUGUAUAUAUAUUAUAAAGCAGAGAAUAAAUUUAAGUUAUAUAAUAUAUUUAAAUAUUAUUUAUUUAAGUAUUAAAUUAAAGAUGAAACUAUACUAAUGAUAAAAAAAUUAUAAUUUCAAUAAAACUUUAUGAAAUUAAUGUUAUUAAGGAUAGUAGUAGUAUAUUAAACUAACGUUAUCAAAUUAACAUAAUUAAAAUGUUAUUAAAACGUUAUUAAAUUAACGAGGGGCGGACCUACUUGGUUGCCAUGGGGUUCACUCGAACCCCCUCGGUAAAAAAAUUACGUUAUAUAUAUAUAAGAUAGAAAAUAUAUAUUUAUGUACGUAUAUUAAUGUUGAACCACAUGAAACAAAACAUUAGAUAGCCCAAAAUCGGAGGUCAUAUUUGUUUAGGUUUUGAAUAGUUAAAGGUCCUAUUUGUGCACUAUCAAAGUUUAAGGUCAAAGUUAUAAUUUGGUGUCAAGUUUACGGUAAUUUUUAUAUAUUAACUCUAUUAAAAUCAUACUUUCCUUUUCAAGAAAUAAAUUCACAAAAUAAACUUCUUGUACGGGUAGUACUUUUUAAAAUUAGAUUGAAAAGAAAUAAUAAGUUCAUAUAAAAGAUGAUGUAAAGUUGAGGAUUUGGGUAUGAGAUUAAUUAUACUACUAAUUAGGUGGUCGACAGUUGUAGAAUUUUAUUUUUCAGUGUUAUUAUUAUUAUUAAUUUUACAAUUUUAGUCUCAAUUUAUUACUAUCUCUUGUUGUAUCCUCUGCGAUUCUUUGCUCCGAUUACUAUAUAUUAUUUGUUGUUCUUAUUAGUUUUUCAUUAUCACAUUUUCACUGAUCAUUUGUACUAUUGCAUGUCAUUUUAUAUUAUUUUUAAUACGUUUUACUUUAUCAAAAAUCUAUGAAAAACACCCACACUAUCCUUAUAAUUAAGGAAAGAAUAAGUGUUAGGAUAGGAUAAGACUGCUAUAGACGAUCCUUUCCAAACUUUUCCUUUUUUGUUACUCCUUUCAUCUCUACCUUAUUAACAAAGUAAACAAUGUUAAAAACAAUUUAACUUAGAAUUCUUAUUUUAUUCAUAAUAAAUGAUUUAUAGUGGAGAAUUUCCAAUAGAGAUAAAUAUUAAUUGAUUUCUUUUCAUCUGUUCUAGUUUUGAUUAACAGAAUUAUCUGAUAUCUGUUAGCGGUGGGAGAUAACAAGAAUUUUUUAGAAUUAAUCAAGGUGCACAUAAACUAACCUGAACACUGUAGUUAUAAAAAAAUUCUAAACAAUAAAUUUUAAAAAAUCAUAAUUUUUUUUCUUAAAUAUCGUACCAAAUAAAUAAUGCAACAUAAAAUGAAACGGACAUUGAACCUGAUAUAUAUAAUUGUUGUACAUAUAUAUUCGACACGUAGCCAAAACAACAAAUUGCGAUGUCCCCGCCGCAACAAAGCACAUGGUACAUCCCAUUUGCAUGAUACACGUACUUACACCAACACCAAACUCUAAUCAUAGCUUUACACAUGAUGACCAGUACUGUCUUCACUCCUUUUUGGAGGGGGGUUGGAGUGCCAUUACAUAUGUACUAUUGUAUUUGCCAAAUGUUUGUUGUAAUAUAAUGUAAUAGCCACAUGGUUAUUGCCAUUGAACGACACUUGCAAAAGAUCAUAGUUUACCUGCUUCAUGAACAAUACAUUGGAAUCCUCCAUUUGCUACGUCUUUCAAUGAGAAGCAAGUCAAUAAGUAUUACUAACCACACCCAGUGGUGCAGUGGAUGAGGCCGCUUUACCCUUAAUCAAAGACUGAGGAUUCGAUCUUGGACACAAAAAAAUUUUGUUGGAAGCGUUACCCCCGAAUAGAGUCUUAUUCGAUGCGAAUCUGAAUUAGUUGGACUCCAAUGCAGGUACCAAAUACUGGAUGAAAAACCAAGAAAAAAAGUCAAUAAGUAUUAAGUCUUUUGAGCAGAGCCGUAACCCGUAAAUCUAAAUUAGUCAGAUUUCAAAGCUAAUACCGAACACCGGAUAAAAACAAAGGGCCAAUAAGUUUAAGUCUUUUGAGAAGAGCCGUGGCCUAUUAUAUUGGAACAGGUUUUGUGAACAUGACAUUGGGGCCAUAGAUGCUUCACUUAUUUGCCAACUAUAUAUUGUGUACAUUUCCUUAACAAGUGUGAAAAAAAAAAAGAGAAAAAGUGCAAGGCCCCAUUUCGGAAACUACAAUGAAUUCUGCCCCUCUGCAUAACUGAAUCUUAAUUGUAAUGCACUUACAUUCGACACGUUAUGGUACUACUCAUCAAUGGUACGCACACAGCAUCCUUCCAAUCUCUUUUUUGUUUUUGAUUUUUCAUCUGGUGUCCGAUUUAAUCUAGAUUGCAUGUUACAGGGCCCAUUAAGGCGGCAACGCUCUCAAUAGAGUUUUCUCCAUAUCCAGGGUCGAACCCUCGAUUUCUAGUUAAGGGUGGAGCAACCCCAUCUACUGAACCACAACUCAUGUUGGUAGCAUCCUUCUAAUCUCAUAAUUGCUGUGAAGUGGUCAAAUAUUUUAGUAAUUUAUCCAAUAAAUUCUUAAUUUUAAACAACAAAAUUUAUUUUUUUUGCUUAUACUUAUUUAAAUUUUGUAACAAUUAGAAGUGGACAAAUAAAGUGAGACAAAAUGUUAAAUAGCCGGCUAUAAAUCACGUGCGAAAUAAUAAAAAAACAAGAAUGGCAAAUAUUAGUGAAUUGUACACACGUUGAUGCGUCCAAUCCAUGAAAUACGUUUAAAAUUUAGACUAAUAAAAUUAACUCAAAACAUGAGUGAUCUAAUCUUAACUUGGAACAAAUGAUAUCUAAUUGACACUUUUUUAUUUUGGUCUUGAAAAACUAUUAAUCUCUGUAUGAUAAAAAAAAAAAAAAAAUGGUGGAUGAUAUGAAGCUUUGCCUCUAAAACAUCGAGGAAUGAUGAGAUCCAUUCUUGUGUGCAUUUGCUCAAAAAUCUAUCUACCUAUUUGGGGAGAUCAUUUCCAUUACAUUUUGUAAGAAAAAUGAUUCAUAAUAAGAACACUAAGACGAUACUAAUAGUACUAAUAAAUACUACAAAAUAAUAGCAGCAGCAUUUAUUGAAAACACCUAACAACAAAUUAUGGUUCUUCCUGUAUUUGAAUCUAAAACUUGUUAUCCAACCUCUAAUAUAUAGAAGGUUAAAUAUAUAUAACCUGCUCCCUUAUUUCUCUCCCCAGGUUGGCCAAAAAAUUAAUGCGAUUAUGUGUCUCAUUUCGAGAAUAUUAAUUCCUUCCAUUUUAAUUUAUUGUGCUGUCCUCCUAAAUCUUUUUUUUUUUUUUAAAAUACUGCAUCCGUCCCAUCUUAUGACACCUUUUGCUUUUUAAUCCAGAAAAUUAAAGUCUCACCUUACUAUAGUUAAAAAGACAAUUUAACUUUAAAUACUUUCAGUUUCCACUUAAUACAAUAAUUUAUAACCAUACCAAAAAAAUUACCAUACCAAAAAAAUUAAGAUAAUUUUAAAAUCACAAAUAUUAAAAAUCUUCCUAUUUUUAAAAUACCAUGAAUACGAUGCAAGUUUAACGAUAUAAAAUGGAAGCAGUAAAAGUUCUUAAAUGGAAGGUGAAGAGUAUCUCUUUCCGAAUUUUAUAUGCAAAAGAGAAGCAGGUGAAAAGAUGGAAAGUUCAAAUUUGUGUACAAAAUAUUCAACAUAAUUAAAUAAGUUAAGAAUAAACUUAACUUUGUUAUUGCAUAUUACAAAUUUACAUAAAAAAUAAAAAAAAUUAAUAACCUAAAAUAACAUAUCAAGCUUACAAAAUAUUUCGUACCUACACAAAAACUUAAAAUAAUUCAAAAGACGGAUGCUCCAAUACUUUCAUUUUUCGAAACUCAAGGUGCAUGCCCUUUUUAUAUCCACUCUUAAUAAUACAUAUAGUCCAAUUACACUUGGGUGUAAAUUUAGUAUUUUAGUUUAAAAUUUCUCGGAGCAAUUCGUGUAUAAGUGAUUUUUGUUAAACCAAAGAAUAUGGUUCUCAGCUUUGCAUCCACUUCACUUUAAAGUUAAAUUUCUUCACCACACGAUCUUUGCCAUAUAUGCGUUCCCCUACCAGGAACCACCACGUUCAUUUUCCUGAUCCCCAAUAUCUUACAUCUUCAUUAUCAAAUUAACAAUAGUAUUCUUUUCUUGUUCUAGUCUUGGUCAGUCUUGACAAACAUGUAAAACUUCUUAUAAUCACAAACUUCAAAAUUUUCAUAAAAGUAAUUUCAUGCGGAAGAGAUAAAAUAGAUUCGAAUCUAACUAAACGGAGAAAAAUUGCCUCGCCGUAUAAAGAGUCCAGAAAAUCUUAGUUCUUACCGAUAUGAUAUAUUUCUCAUCAAACAAUCAAAAAUAUGCUUUAUAUAGCAAAUAAAUUAAAUUAUCCUCAAAGAAAUUGCAAUACGGAUGUGAUAAACUAAACCCCACAAUUGAACAAAAUAUCAAAGAGAUGUUAAGAAACAGGAACGCUAAAGCCCAGGUCAGAUUAGUUACACGAUCAUGGAUCUGUUUCCAUGGUUCAAAAGAGUACCCACCUAGUAGUAAUAAAACUGUAUUUUAACAAAUAUCCCUAACCAACAUCUCCUCCGAAGAACAAGAGUUGCCAACACAACUAGCAUAAGUAAAUCACUUAGCCACCACCCAAACCACCUUUUUUUAAAAAAAAAAAAACACACAGUAAAAUAGAAAAUUCUAACUAAAAAUAUUUACAAUUUUGUUCUGACAGAGAAAAAGCAUGCAGUGUGCAUGUUCUCUGUACGUACACAAGCGCAAGGUGGCAGAAUUAUUAGUGGCUGGGUUGUAGAUUUACUUCUUUACCCUUUGGAUUGAGUUGAUAUUACGUAAUUUACCUACCGCCCCAAGGAGAGCGCUGCUUCUGUAUCCAACCUCCAUGCAAAUCCUCCGCCGUCCAUUCUCCACACAUCGCACGGCAGAAUCAAUGAAUUCUUCUCCUUCCCGCAUCGAACCACCCUCACUUUGCAGGUGAACGCCGCCGUUGUUUUGCUCUCCGGCAGAGGCACAUCUUCCUUCAUCAUCAGCCAAACAACUACUUCCCCUGCAGGGGUUCCAUCACCUACCAGAUCUUUGUAGGCCAUGUUGGCCCACCUAACUCUGUUUAAACCGUCUGAUAUAAACCCUGGACAGGUGUCCUGCUCGAGAUUUAUCAAUUUCUCCUCAUCUGUACGUCCUAACCCAUACACUUCCACCCACGCGUCUGUUACGCUUUCCACUUUUACCCAUGACCCCACUACCCGUACUGACUGAGGAAACAUCACUACUGAACGAUCCAUACC
RNAcentral lists this long non-coding RNA (112590 nucleotides) under Capsicum annuum. RNAcentral's name for it is "long non-coding RNA (CANN_LNC004199)". The record is from RNAcentral. Lineage: Eukaryota; Viridiplantae; Streptophyta; Magnoliopsida; Solanales; Solanaceae.